UCCCAGCUCCGGAAGAGGAGACUGGUAUCGUUUGGAGGCAGAAACUCACAAGAUGGGUUGUCGAAAAAUUCCACCCGCACCUGAUCAACGACUCCAGUUCUGAUAGUUGGGUCAAGAAAAAGGUUAGGAAUAGGACAUUCCCCCGCUACAGCUAAGGUUACAUUUGGGUAUCCCUUAAGUGCCAGAGCAAGAACAUCCAAGUAAUUCGGGUUUCCGCUGUGGAUGUGAAGCUCUACGCCAUCUAAAACAGCUGUGCCGAAUGGACGGUCGCUUGAUUCACCGCCUAAGUAAGUGUUCCAGACAUAGGCUGCCACUUCUUGCGCAUCUUCGACGGAAGAAAGAUUCGAUGGUCCUGCGAGAGAAAUAAACACUUUGGUCUGAUUAUUCUGGCAAGAUUCUAUGUCUGCUGCGCUCGGCCAAGGAUGAAUUACGUUCAAUUCAGGCAUGUGGCCGCUACCAAAAUCUUUCAGAAAGGCAAUAUUCACGUCGGUAGCGAAUUCUCGCCUGCAGAACUCAGCCAAACUUGAUGGUUCUGAAUGGCCUCGGCCCCAGUAUUGGACAAUUCCGGCAGCUUCGGAGGACCCAAUCAGAGAAGCAAUCAACAACAGGAAUGUUAUUGCUGAGAACAGUGGUUGCAAAGAGGCAGCCAUUUUUUUUUCUUUCUUUUCAGUGAUUUUUGGAGCUUUGCUUUGGUGAGUUCACUUGCACAAAUGACUGACCAUUUUAUAGUUGAGUUUAUCUCAAGUGGAUGUUCAGCAUCUAGAAUAUCCAAACAUCCGUACACGAAAACGUGAAUGGCAUGACUUCUCAUUUCUGCGCUCAAAAACGUGAAUGGUAUUAUUUAAUUAUGUUUAAGUUGUCAAGAUUUUCCCACUCAAUCCUUCAUUCAACAGCUGUGAUGGUGCUGUGACGCGCGGUCUUAAGCAAGAAAUUUUUUUUUUCCUCGACCUCAAUGUGAAUGUGACUCACAUAUAUAAAUAAUCUCAUAGCAAAAUAUGUUCUUACUGAUCACAGAAGUGAAGCUUGUGCACAGGAAUGUAUAGAAUCCAGUUGCAUGCAACUAAUCACUGUUUAAGCAUACGAAUUAACCAUCACGAGCUAAGACGCAGAGGCAAGCCAAACUCCAAAGCCAAUUCCCAGUUGGCUCUAGUUAAAGGGAUCUUCCUCUAACCUGUCGUCACUUCCUUUACAGAAGCCAAGACAGCAGAAACUAUGUCCACAGCCGAGAUAUGUCUCUGCUGAAACAUAGACAAAUUCCUUGCUGUCCAUAGCCACAACAUUGAAAGCCAAUCCCCAGACCUGAUCAGCAAAAUAGUUUUGAGUGGCAGUCCAGGUGCAAAUGCAACCGCGUUGUGAUACAACAUUGAAGGCUCAAAACAUUAAGGUUGAGAGUUCAACAAUUAACCCUUUUUGUUUCUUAAAUUCCACCCUUCAAUCCUACGUCAUUGAAGGCUCAAUAGGCUCAAAACAUAUUGAGCCUUCAACUACUCAUCCUAUUUUUCUAGAUUUUUAAUUUUUUUUUUCAAAAAUUGAUUCAUGUCUUCGGUUUGGAUUCACCAUAAUGUCAUGCAUUGCUUUGUUGCUUUUAAUUCCUUAAUUUUAACGUAGCCCCAGACAUGGCAUAUAAUAGUCACUCUCUUAAUAAAUGCAAUUAAUUAAUCAUACCAAACAUAAGGUUGGGAUUAGGUAUUGUAGCAUACCUUAGUUUUAUUUUGUUCCCUAUUUUACUUAGGCCUUGUUUGGAUUGCAUUUUUCUGAAUUUUUUGUAGAAAAAUUACUGUAGUAAUUUAAUAUAUGUGAAAUAAAAAAGUGAUAGGGAACUAUGGUCACAGAAAACGUAGCAAUUUUUCUGAAGAAAAUCGCUGUCCAAACAGAUCCUUAGUUUCAAACAUGCCCUACAAUGUUCAACCCUAUAAUAAUGCAAUUAAAUAAAUAUACCAAAAAUAUUUAUACAUAGUUGAAACUAAAAAUAAUUGUAUCCAUAAUAAUCAAUAUAAAAAAUUGACUAAAAUACAAUCUUUGACUAACAUAAACUAAUAAUUUAAGUUCUUGUCCUCCAAAGAAAUAACAAUAUUCCAAAUCACACAAGCUGAACAGCUUAGCAAAUUAGCAAAACUGACUAACAAACACAACACAAAAUUACGAAAUAUUCAACAAUUUUGUAUUCUUUUCCUAACUAAAAUUUACAAAUCAUACCCGAAAAAAGGGAACUAAUCUAAGUUCCUAUCCUCCAAAGAUAUAACAAGAUUCCAAAUCAUAUAGUUAAACAAUUUACCGCAUUAGCAAAAUUGACUGAAAAAAAUACAAAAAGAGAACAACAAAAAUUUCAAUAUUUUUUGUAUUGCUUUCCUAAGUAAAAUUUACAAAUCAUACCCAGAAUAAAAAAAUGAAAUAUACUUAUCAGAUACUUCAAUUUUUGGAAUCACCAUGCACAGAAAAUAAAAAAUAGCUCUAAAUUUCAGCCCAGACCUAGAUCUAAAAUUGGACCUGAAUUAUAUAUAAUCGGAUGUUAUUCAUGCUAUUAGAAUUGUUAGAUUUUGUUAGAGCAUAAAAAAGAAAUAUAAUAUUUUUACCUAUUCUUUUGUUGAGCAAUUAGAAUCAAAAUUAUAUCAUCGUUAUGACUAAAGAAAUGGAGAAGGAUAUUUUCCAACUACUUAAAGUUUUUAUUUAAACUAAAGACAAAUUAAAACUACGAAAAUCAGUUUAGAAAGGAUAAUAUGAAAAUAAUGCACAAAAUUUGGCUCCAAAGAUGCAGCAUCUACAGAAGGGACGAUUUGCAUUCAGGGGUUGCGGGGAUAUGGAAAAGUAGCAUGGAACGGGGUUGUUGCAAGGUGGAGUAUGAGGACAAGUUAAUUUUUCACAAAAUUAAUUACAUCAUCAAGUAAUAAAAAUUUAAAUAAAUAAUUUCAAACCAAAUCUAAAAUAAAUUAAACACCAUAAAAGUGUUUUAUCCUAAACCAAAUAUAAAAUAAAUUAAAACAGCAUAAAAGUAAAAAAUAACAUAAUAUAUUAUUUGUCCAAAUAUAAUAAUUUUAACUUCACACAAGUUAAAUAAAUUCAUUUAGGAUUAAGUAAUUAAUACCUUUGGAAAAAAAGAAUGAUUUAGUUUAGUUAGAUAAAAUAAUUUUAAUGUUUAUUAAAUUAGUUUUAAUUCGUAAAUGGGUCACAUCGGGUCAUAUCAGGUCACCACGGGUUGACCCGAAAUUGACCUGUUUUCUUUUCGGGUUCAUCGGGUUCGACCCGAUUCUAACCCGAACUCCCGAAACCUCAACCCAAACCCAUUAAUUUCGUGUUAGGAUCGUGUCGUGUUUUCGGAUCGUGUCAGGAAUUGCCACCCCUAAGGACAAGGGAAGAAGGAAGCAGGAAGCUGACAAGGCAGGGAUUGUCGGAAAAGUUAAAGGAAGCCAAGGCUGUUUGGACAGUAAUUUUUCAAAGAAAAAUUAUUACUUUUUUCGUGAACAUAUUUUCUUAUCAUCUUUUUAUCUAAUAUAUGUCAAAUCGUUAUAAUAAUUUUUUUACAAAAAAUUCAGAAAAAUACAAUUCAAACAAGGCCUACAUUUACGCAAUGAUACUAAACUACUUAAAGUUUGAACUUCCAAACUAAUUACUUAGAAUAUAGGUUGAAAAAAGAAAAGUCAGACAUUUAUGGGUCUGAAAGGAGUGUGUAUAAAUCUAUGGGUGCCGGGCAGCCCGGCACCUGACACAAACCUUUUUUUUUUUUUUCUCUAAAAAGAUGGCAGGUGCCGGGCUGUGUCUACCCGGCACCUGACACAAAAUAUUUUUCCCCAAAAUUGAACAACUGAAAUGGCCUCCCAAAAAAAUGAGCUUUUGACCAUAAGGGAUUACUUGAAUAAUAUCACUUCUUUGGCGUUUUAUUUGAAUAAUUUUUAUAUUAUGUUAGUUAAUUGGUGAUAAAUAUUUUAUGUUGUUGUUAUAUUAUGUUAUUAAUAUUUUUUAUUAAAUAAAUAUUUAAUUUAUUGUAAAAUAGUUGUAUACAAAUAUGUAAUUUACUUUUUAGGUAAGUUAGCUAAUAUUAGUUUAAUAACACGAUACAUGCUUAAUUGAAUUAGUUUAGUGAUAGAAUUACUUUAAGUAGUUUAAUUAGUUGUUUAAAUUUGUUUAAUGGAUUAAUUUAAAGAGACUAAUUAAAUGAAUGUAGAUGUAAUUUAUGUAGUAUUGAAUUAUGAUUAUGAAAACUUGUUAAUUAGUUCGGGUUAUUUAAGUAAUUGAAAGAAUUGGCAUAUUUAAUAAAUUCAAUACAUAAAAUUGAUGUAUUUAGCAUAACAUAAUUAACGAUAUUAGUGUUAUUAGUUUAAUGCAAUUCACUUUAUUAUGCAAAUUAGUUGAUAAUUAGUUCAUGUUAUUUAGUAUAUGAUUAGUUUAAUUAGUUUAGUGGAUUAAUUAGUUUAAUUUAUUGUGGAAUUAAUUAAUUUUAAGAGGUUCGAUUAAAUGAAUUUAGAUGUAUCUGGCGAGGUUAAUUAAUUGAAUGAAUUUUUGUAUUGAGUUUUGAUUAAGAUAGCCAUUUAGUCAAGGCAAUUUAAGUAUUUGAAAUAAUACCCAUGCUAAUAAAAUAAAUACAUAAAAUUAAUGUAAUUAGCAUAGCUUAAUUUCGACACUAGUGAUAUUAGUUUAAUGUAAUUCACUUUAUUUGUUAAGUUAGUUGAUAAUUAGUUUAUGUUAUUUAGUAUAUGAAUAGUUUAAUUAGUUUAGUGGAUUAAUUCGUUUAAUUAAUUGAAUGAAUUAAUUUUAAGAGGUUAGAUUAAAUGCAUUUAAUUAAGGUGCUGAAUUAGGUUUAAUUUGUUAUUUAUUAAAUAUUCAUUAAUUUAUUAUACAUGAUUUAAUUAUUUAAUUAUAAUACAUUAUUUGAUGUUAUUUGUUAUUAUUUGUUGUUAUUUAAUAGACCUUGAGAAAUUUCUUUACGAAACUCCAUGGCUGCGUAAUAGUUAAGUGCAUAUAGGGAUAUUUAGAAGAAUAAAGCGCCAAAGAAGUGAUAUUAUUCAAGUAAUCCCUUAUGGUCAAAAGCUUAUUUUUUUGGGAGGCUAUUUCAGUUGUGCAACUUUGGGGAGAAAUAUUUUGUGUCAGGUGCCGGGCUGUGUCUGCCCGGCACCCAUGGGUCUUUUUAAAAAAAAAAUUUGGGUGUCAGGUGCCGGGUUGUGUCUGCCCUGCACCUAUAGAUUUAUACACGCCCUCUGUCAGACUCAUAAAUGUCUGACUUUUUUUUUUUCAACCUAUAUUCUAAGUAAUUAGCCGAACUUCCAAUUGAAAUUAAGAAUAAGGAUGUUUGUUAAACAAAAAUUAUAUUAAAAACUAGUUUUGGGUGGGAGUGUUUUUCAAAAACUAGUUUUUCAAAUACAAUAAAAAUUUUUAAAAAGUAUUUUGAAAGGUAAUCUAAAAAUUAGUUUAAAUUUUUCUAAAAUUUUAAAAAUAUUCCAAAAUAUAUUCUAGAAACUCUUAUACUCUUAAAUAUCCCAUAAUAUUUUCUAAAAAUAUUCCAAAAUAUACUCUAAAAACUCUGUUACAGUAAAAUUUUUUAAAAAUACCCUUAAAACAGCUAAUCUAAAAGUAUGAAAAUUAGUUUAGGAACGACAAUUCACAAAUGUUACACAGAGUGUGGCUCCAUUUUGAUGGGUUACUUUUAGGAUGCUUUUAGAAAACUUUCAUAAUAGGAAUAUUCUUUUAAAAUCUUUAUGUGUAGUAUUUUUGGGGUCCAUUGAAAAUUUUUGGCAUGUUAUGUUUUCAUUGUUGGCAUUGAAUACAUUUAAAAAUGGCCGGUAAGCAAUAAAAUGAGUCUCGGCAAUAGCGAAAGAUAGUUGGUGAUGGGUCCACCGCAAGGUUGUGCGUUUUAGGCUAGUAGGAAGGCGGUGGAGUGUAGGUGGCAAUUGGCAAAGAUUUAAGAUGACUAAAUUUAUUUAACAAUAUUAAAUUUACUUUGGAUUAAUCUUAUAUAUAUUAUCACUAUUAGAUAUAUGACACAUGAGUAAAAAUUCAAUAUUAUCACUAAUUAGAUUUUUUUCUCAUUAGAUAUAUGACACAUUAGGUAUUUUUACAUUUUUACUCAUUAGAUAUAUGACACAUUAGAUAUUUUUACUCAUGUGUCAUAUAUCUAAUGGUGAUAGUAUAUAUAUGCUGACAGUGUAUAUAAAAUUUAUUUAUUUACUUUAUAGAAAUAUCAGAUUUACAUUUUAUUAUCAUUUUAUGAGAUUAAAUUUACUUAACAAUAAAAUUUAGUUAACAAUAUUAGUUUCAUAUUUCUAUUUUUUACCUGUUAAAUUUACUUAAUAAUAUUGAUGUAACAAUAUUGUAUUUGUUUGGAUAAAAUAUUAUUUGAAAUAAUUAUUGUAACAUUUUUAUGAUAUAAUAUAUGUGAGAUAAAAAUGUGGUUAAAACUAUAAAAAUGUAGGUUGAAAAAGGUAGGUGAUAUCUUAUCACAAACACAAGAUUUUAUUGUUUAUGGACAUAUAGAUAGACAUGAAAUUGUCCUCAAUAAUAAAAAAAAAUUUAAGUACAAUUAUGCGUUUGAAGAUGAUCUGGCUCUUUCUGGCUUUACAUAUAAAGGGCAGCUUUUGAUUGAUCAAUUUUUGAAUCGCGCGCGUCUCCAUCGCAACGGUUCACCAUCUGUAAUUAUUUGGACAUCGGGGCGUACAGACGUGGAUUGGUUUGACAGAGUCUGGGAUUUAAAUGUCAAUUGUGCAAUAGGGAUCUCAGCAUUUUACGGCCAGCUCAGCUGCUAAGGAAUGAACGGUUCUUGUAGCUGGGAGCAGGAUAUGCUCCCCAAGGAGAUUUUCUCAAAAGGAAUAUCUCUUAAUUUUUCAUGGUGGAUACAAGCUUCUUUCGGCUUCCCUCCUGUCUGUCUAGUACAGGAGAGAAUAGAUUAUACAACAGUUAUCGUCUUGAAAAAAAAAUUUUAAAACUUCUAUUAUCCAGUUGGCCCAACCAAUUGGUCGUCGAAUUUUUUUCCACACAACUUAAUCAUUCAGAUAUUUUUAAUGAAUGGGAUAUCUUAAAAUAGUCAAGUCGAGUUACUGGAGGUACUUUUUUUUUUUUUUUUUUCUUUUUAACGUCAAAGUUUUAAUCCUGUUGCAUAUUUCGAUUUUAGUGCAUGUUUAUCUAUCAUUAAGAUAAUGAUUCACAUCAAUCAUGCUGCUUGACGAUUUUCAGCACUUUUGAUUGCCCUAUCUGUGUUGGAUAUGCUCAAAUUAUAAUUGAUGGACUUUAGGUGAGAGCGGGAUAUGCCUCCCAUGGAGAUUUCUCAAAAGGAAUAUCUCUCAAUUUUCGUGGCGGAUUGAAAAGGAAUGCUCAAACAUGUUACUUCUUCUUCCCCUUUUUUUUUGGCCUUUUUGAUGUGCAAAUUUUAAUUGUGUCGCAUAUUUCGAUUUUAAUGCUUGUUUUAUCUGACAUUAAAAGAGCAACGAUGUAUAUCAAUCGUGAUAUUGGACGAUUUUUAGCACUCUUGAUUGGCCUAUCUGUGUAGCAUAUGCUGACCAAAUGAUAAUUGAUGGAAUUUAGAUCCGAUCAGGAAUUACUCCGCAGAAAGGAGUGCACCUAGAUCCACGCAAGUAUUGUAAAGAGUUCUGGGAAACAACUGUAAUGGAGAACAAUUGGCUGGAGAGCAAUUGCAAGGUCAUUCGCUUAGCAAAAAGUAUGUGGAUCCUACUCCGUACGUUUUGUCGGCUUAUUCUUGGAAAUGGACUAUUCUAACCGGUUCUCACCCGAGUGGUCCAUUCCAGUGAUUCUGACAUCAUUCGACACAGUUUGUGGGAAAACUAUUUUAAGUGGUUGUCUUUUUAUCAACAAUUUUCUAUAGACAUCUAGAAAAUCAUAGAUAAAUGAUUCCUUCAUCUGAACUCUCUUUUUUUUUCUUUUUUUUUUUGUCGACACAGGGAUGUCCGGGUCAAUCCUUACAGGGCCCGAUUAAUCUCCUGCGAUCCGGGUUUAGCGCCCCAACCCGACCCUAGCACGAUAAGUGCGCGGAGAAAUCCAGCAGAGUAGAGACUCGAUCUCGGGACCUUAGGGGUCACUAGUGGAAGGUGCUACCGUUGGACCAUUCACGCGGGGCAUGCCUGCAUCUGAACUCGCUUUUGUGGAAAUUAUUCGUGUCACGUGACUGCAAUGGAUAAGCUUAUUAUCAACUGCCACUUGCACUAAAUGCUGUUAUGUAGUUGUUACGGUCCAGAACCAGGAAUUUUUGCAGGAAAUGGAAAUGAACUUCAGGAAAUGAUUCAAUAACUCACAAAUUCAGAUGAACUCAAACAAACAAUUCCAUUGCAUUAAUGAAUCUCAAAAUUUAGUUACAGAAACAGGAUUGGCGGGAAAAGAGGAGAAGGGGAAAGAGACCGAAGGAAAACAAACAAUUCCAUUGCAUUAAUGAAUCUCAAAAUUCAGUUACAGAAACAGGGUUGGCGGGAAAAGAGGAGAAGGGGAAAGAGACCGAAGGAAAACUUGAAGAAGAAGAAAAAAAGACAGAGAGGAUAUUCCUUCUCUGAUUACAAUAACAAAUUUCUCAAAAAGCUAAUGACAAUUGCAUGAUCCUCUCGUUUUAUACUGUUGCUACUCUAACUAACUUCCUCCAAGAGCGAAUGAGCGUCUAACACAUGUCCGAGGGGAUCUUUUAGCUAGACUGGUCCCCAGCAUCAGCAAAAACAACGUGAACCUAGCAAAGGCGUGGUUUCUUGAUCACGCCUUCUCUUGUUAUCCUCCUGCAACUUCCACGCCUUUCCACGCCUUCCUUUCUUCUUCCUUCACGCCUUCCUUCCUUUUCUUGUACAGCUAUUUCCUGACUUCAUUACAACACUCCUCUCUUGGAAGCAAUCUUGUCCUCAAGAUUGAAACUGGGGAAUUGUCUUUCGAUUUCUUCAGCAUAUUCCCAUGUGGCUUCUACAGGGUCUGUGCCCCACCAAUGAAUCAACCAUUGAACUACAACAACAUUUCUUCUUUUAACUAUUCUUCUAUCAAGCACAGCUACUGGCUCCACUUUCUAGUGACCCCUUUCGUCUAUUUCUGGCAGCUGGAGUGUAGGUGUGACCUUGUCUCCGAUCUUCUUCUUAAGUAGGGACAUGUGGAAAACAGGAUGCACCUUUGAGGUGGUAGGCAGCUUUAGUCUGUAAGCUACGUUACCAGUCUUCUCUUCUACCUUAUAGGGGCCAAAGUAUUUAGCUGAGAGUUUGGUGUAUCCCCUUAGGGCUAAUGAGCUCUGUCUAUACGGUUGUAGUCUCAGAUACAUCCAAUCUCCUUCACAGAAUACCCUCUCACUCCUCUUUUCAUCUACAUACUUCUUCACCCUCUCUUGAGCUAGCUUCAAGUUCUGCUUCAACGUGUUGUCCAUAUGUAGCCUUUCUCUGAUGUAAUCUCCAACUAUAGCCACUCUGGUCUGUAGGUAAGGUCCCAUAGCUAGCUAAGGGGGGGACAUGCCAUACAAAGCCUUGAAUGGGGUCAUUUGAAUGGCUGUGUGACGUGUGGUGUUGUAGCACCAUUCUGCCAAGGAUAGCCACUGGUUCCAUCCCUUAGGCUCCAGAUGAGUCAGGCAUUUGAGCUACAUUUCUAGCACCUGGUUAACUCUCUCAGUCUGUCCAUUAGUUUGGAGGUGGUAGGUUGUGCUGUAAUCUAGUUUAGCUCCCAACAUAGUGAAUAGUUCUCCUUAGAAUUGGCUGACAAAUAUCCUAUCUCUGUCUGGUAGCAUGCUUUGGGGUAUCCCAUGUAGCUUACUGACAUGAUCAAUGAAGAGUCUAGCUACCUUUGGGGCAUCAAAAGGAUGUGCCAUAUUGAUGACAUGGGCAUAUUUGGUAAAUCUGUCUACAACUACCAUUAUAGUGUCUUUCCCUUCUGAUUUUGGUAACCCCUCAAUGAAGUCCAUGGUGACAUGGCUCCAUGAAUGCUGUGGGAUAGGGAGAGGUUGUAGCAAUCUUGGGUAGGCCACAUGCUUAUCCUUACACUUUCUACAGAUGUCACAUUCCAGGACUAACUUCUUGAUUUCUUUGUAUAUUCCUGGCCAAUAAAAUAGUUGUUUAGCUCUCAUGAAGCUGGCCUAAAUGCCUAAAUGCCCCCCUAUUUGAGAGUCAUGCAAAGCAGUGAUGAGUUUCUUUCUUAUGUCUCCCUGUCCUCCUCCCACCACCAGUCUCUUCUUGUACCUGAGAACUCCUUCAUGAUAGGAGUAGUCUGGUACUUGGGUAGGAGUCAAUAACACUUGGGUUAUGGUUUCUUGAACCUAUUCAUCCUCCUUAUAGCUCUCAAUCACUUCUCUGAUCCAACUAGGCACUGCACAUGAAAUGGCUGUGCAAUCUCUUGUUUCCUCCCUGCCGUAUCUGGAGAGGGCAUUAGCUACCACAUUGUCCUUCCCUUUCUUGUAGUGAAUUUCAUAGCUUAGUCCCAGUAGCUUGGUGAGCCACUUCUGUUGGAGAGGGGUAGUGAUCCUUUGUUCCAACAAAUAUUUUAAACUUUGAUGAUCAGUGUGUAUGAUGAAGUGGUGCCCCUCCAAGUAGUGUCUCCAUUUGGUCACAGCAGUCACCAAUGCCAGUAGCUCCUUCUCAUAUAUGGACAGCCCCAUAUUCUUUUGCCCAAGGCCUAAAUGAAAUAGGAUAUAGGCCUCCUGUUUUGCAUCAGUACAACCCCUAUGCCAUUAUAGUAUGCAUCUGUCUCAAUGAUGAAUGGCUGAGAGAAAUUAGGUACUGCUAAUACAGGUGUGUGCUGCACAUGACUCUCUUUAACUCCUGGAAAGCUUUCUCUAAAUCCUCCCCCAAUUGGAAUCUGUCCUUCUUCAACAAAUUGGUCAAAGGUCUGGCUAUGUCUCCGUACCCCUUGACAAACCUUUUGUAGUAUUUUCAACAAAUUGGUCAAAAUAUGUUGUAUUUUAACAAAAGAUUAUAAAAACAUAAUUUUUUCAACAUGUAAAACUAAUUUCUAUGAAACUAAUUUUUGCAACUAAAAAUUACUAGCUUAGGACUGGUUUUUUUAAUCGUAAUGUAAGUAUCAAUAUCAAACUAAAUCCAAAUAAAAAUGAAUCAAUGUUUCUAUUUUAAUCUGUAUGUCACCAAGGAUUUCUCCCACAAGCACGCAAUGAUUUUCCACCGUGAUUUCAAUUUUUUUUCCAUGAAGACUUUUAAGUCCUCUUUGUGAAAUUGCAAAGAGAAAACUUACUUAAAGCUAACAUUCUCCAUUUUUUUUUAUAUUGCCACAAAAUCUGUAGAUUAUUAGUAGAAAAUUUAAAAGAAAUAAAAUAAACUAACUUAAAGCUAACAUAGAUGUGCAACAAAAUUAUUUUAUAGCGAAGAUAGAGGUUGAUGAUGGUAUGUGAUAAGAAACCCUUUCCAGAUACACCUUUCAGCUGUGUUUUUAAACUUGGAUCAGACCGGCCGGUCCGAUCGGGAAUCGACCAAGUGUCCGGUCCGAAUUAUUCUAAAAAAUCGGAUUUGACCGAGUUUGACCAGCACCGGAUUUGACCGGCAAACCGGAUGAACCGGUUUGAUAUCAAAGCCUUCUCUUUUUUGCUCUUCUUUCUUACAAACCAGCGGUGGGAUCCUAGUGGGCCCGAUGGAAAGAUAUAAUGGGGCCUUCUUAAUUGAAGCAGAUCUCUAACAUGGCAUGCGCAUCAGAGUUGGAAACCUCAGUCUCUCAGUCCUGCCACCCAAAUUUUUUUUUGGAAAGGUCAAACCAAUUUCAAUAUUAUGUUUUGGCUCCCAAGUUGUUAAAAAUUAUUAAUAUAUCUUAAAUAUUUCAUACUUUAUAAAUGUUGUCCUAAAGUUUGGUGUUAUUUUUCAAUCAAAUUCAUAAUUUUAAUUAUAAACUUGUUAAUGUUCAUUGAAUAAUAUAAAUUGCUACUUGAUCAUUCUAAUUUUUUUGUAUUUUCUUGUUAAAUAUAUUUGAAGCAUCAAAUAUAUAUAUGAAUAUACAUGUAUUAAUAUUAGCAUAUUCUUAAGUAUUUUACAUACAAUAUUUUAAUUUUUAAAUAAUUUUUAUUUAUGACAUCAUCCGGUUUAACCCCAAUCGAAUCCGGUCGAAUCCAUUGAUCUCUGACCACUGAGGACGACCGAGUCGAUGCCCAGUCCAAAUAUGAAAACAUAGCCUUUUAGGGAAGAAGUCAGAGAAAUUUCUAAAAUUAUGAUGAUUUUUAAAAAAAUUCUACAAAGGGGGCAUUUUUUGUAUGGGAUUCUGUCCAGGGGGUCUUCGCAUUCAGCAAAUGCGAGCUCAAGGAGCUCGCAUUUGCUGAAUGCGAGCUUGAGCUCGCAUUUGCUGAAUGCGAGGUCUCCUUGAAUUUUCCUAACAUCCAAAUCAAAAAAAAAAGAAAAAGAAAAACAAACCUCGCAUUUGUCAAAUGCGAGGUCAUAUACCUCGUAUUUAACAAAUACGAGGUUCUCGGCCAGGCAACUCAGCUUGCAUAUAGCGAGCAUUGUGACGAAAGAAGCCCCUGGUCCAGUGAGCGUGAGCAAGCUGCAAUUUUACAUAAAAAGGCUGCUCAAACAAUUGACAUAAGUUAGAAGCCGUGCGUGUUUCAUCAUGCUAGUGAUGAAACUGGAGCCAAAAUUUACUAUUUACCAUCUUCAAAUUAUUUUCAAGAACAUGAAUCUAGAUUUUGCCAUGAUUUUUCUUUUUGCUUCAGUUCCAAUGCAGGCCUUCCCUUGCUUUAUGAUUUCACUGCAAAUUAUAAAAUGAUUUACAAUUUGCAAUGAAAAUCUCUACAAAUUUUACUACCUAAGGCUGUAAAUUCAUCAAAAUUGGAAAAAAAAAAAGAUCCCAUAAUAUUGCCAUCAAUACUUGAUAAUAAUUUGGGGCAAUAAAUCUUAACCGAACUAGUAUGCUUUCGGCUUUAUUGUAUCUCACAUCCGAAAAAAGCGAAUUCCUAAAAAAUUAUAUUCAAUUUGUUUUUUAAUUAGGAGCACACAAUCAUUUUUGUUUUUGCAUUGACAUUUAUCAUAGAGGAAUAAAUCUUUUUAUUUUAAAACUCACACGAGUUAGAAUUUAACAAAUGUGAGGUCUCAAUACAAAAUUUUAUGUACUAGUAAUUCUUUGUAUAUAAAUAACCAAAAAGUUAUAUUUCUUAUAGAUUAAAAGAUUUGAUAAUCAUACGGUUGAAAACACCUAAUUUUAUUAUUAAAUAAUUUUGUAAAGAAAUAACUAUAUAUGUAUAGUUCUUUGUGCAGUUGGAAACAAGCUUUGGCUUUGUGUUCAGAUUGAGGUCCUCGCAUUUACGAAAUAAUUAUUUAUCAAAUGAUUAUUAUGUGAUUAUUUAUCUUAUAGAUUAAAAGAUAUACUUUCCUAUAAAUGCAAAAAUUAUAAUCACAUAAUAAUCAUUUUCAAAUUAAAUGAGAAAAAAUAUUCCCAAACCACAUAUAUUUAUUUCACUAGGAUAUUUGAAAAACAUUUUAUUUGUUUAUUGUAAUUUAUUAUGAUUCAAUAUAUAUAAGUUUUUUUUGAAAAAAUUUUGAUAAAAUCUCCCCUUAAAAGUGAACUAAACUCCCUGCCAGCAAACCCAAAAUAAACAACAUUUAAUACAAGCAAUAUUUCCAACAACUUGUCAGCCAAUAAUCACAAACCACUGCAAAAGCACAAGUCUUUAGUAAAUUAAAAAACAGAAAAAAGUAAAAUCAAGUUAAACAUCCAACAUUCGACAGAUUAAAGACAAAAUGCAAGCAAAUCCAUGUACAAAUAAUAUAGUGAUCCUAAUGGUGCAGCUUCAAUCGUCAUCUUCAUCUGCAGCUCCACCCUGAGGUGAAGUAAUGCCUAAAUGAUCAUCUAUACGUGCCAAGCGAGAGUGUCCAUUCUCUGCAACUGGAAAAAUAAAUUAGAAUUAGUAGCACAAGACUAUGGUACAAAUAUUUUAGUUAAUAUUUUAGUAGUACAGGCAAAUGUGAUACAUGCUUGUCUUGUAUACAUAUUUUUAGUUAAUAUUUUAAGUUAAUAUUCCCUCUAACCCCCUAUACAUUAUUACGCAUCGUGCCAAAAUGUUAUUCAAGAAUUCCUAAUUAAAUUGAAUAUAAGUUUAUUAAAUACAUGCUUAUCUUGUUUUAUUUAACGUUUCCAAGCACCCCCCUUUCGAGUCUAUAUUGUAGCCAAUUUGUCUUAUUAUACUCUUAAGGCAAUCACAAACCAAAAACACCCAAAAAUAUUUUUAAAAAAAUUUGACAGAGUCUCCCCUGUAACUGGGCUAAAACUCCCUGCCAACCAACAUAGGCACAUCGAUUUUCAAACAAUUGAGAAAUAUGAGAUAAUUUAGACCACUACAAAUACGGUAGAAUAAUGUGAUAUACAAUAAUUUCUUAUAGAAGACAAGCAACUGUGAUAUUUUGACAAACCUACAAUAACAAUAUAAUGUAUAUAGUAGAAUGUGAAACAACAAUAAUUUCUUAUACUCCCCUGUCCUCCUUGAAACCUGCAAUUAAAAAAUAUACUACAGUAGAGGGUCUCACUUUACAUUCAUGAAUUCACCAUAAAACGAAUCCAAGCAAAGUUCAAAAAAUUAGAACAUUAAUAUGACUACAAUUAAAUCUACUUGUAAACUACAUGACUUACCCAAUGAUUUGCCUCAGAUUCUGAAGAUGCACUUGUGCAGACUUGAUCCUAGUGGUACCAAUCAAAGCCUCUUCAAGUCUCCUGGCUUGUGUCGAAAACUUUGUAUGCACCUAUAUGAAUAUGAUGGAGAUCACAGAAACCAAGAUAAGGUACUGGAGCAGAGGAUCUGGGAGGUGUUCGCAUUCUAUAGAAAAUAAAAAAAGUUCCACAAAGGGGGUUACUUUGGUGUCCUAUUCCGACAAGGGAGGUGUUCGCAUUCUAUAAAUGCGAUCUGUGCUAAGUUCGUAUUUCUCAUAUGCGAGUCUAACAGUUUAUGCUCUUUACCAAUUCCUUCACACAUAUUAACAACUUAAGAGUUUAUAUUUAUCUCAUUAUUUGUUCAUCCUUUGUAAAACUCUUUUCCUUUCUCUUGAUGCCAAGGAGUAAAUCAUGAUGAUUACCUUUUCUUGUUUUUAUCUUUUUUUCAACAAUUCUAUAAAAUGCAGAUGUAAAAACAAAAACAACCAACCAUAAUGUUUUCACAAAAAUAAAAUAACAAACAAAAAAAAAGAAAGGUGAGACCUCACAUUCACAUUUUUUGUUUUUUAAAAAGAAUUGUACGUGAGUUGUUCUCUUAACAAAAUGGAGUUUGUUUUUAAGAACAAUAAAGUUAAAAAAAAUAAUAUCCUCAAUGAAGAAAAAUUUGAACGCUAAUAAUAACUAGAAUUGUCAAAUCUUAUAUAGUUUAUUUUUCCCAAUGUUUUUAGCAACAAGUUUUUUUUUUUUUUUCCAAAUAGCGAUAGUAAAUAUAGGAUUGGUAUAAAAGACAAAAGUAGUGGAGCGGGAAUAUUAAGCAUUUUCACUUCGAACCUUGCCUUUACCUCCAUAAAUGUUAGCUUUAGUAAGGGGUGUUUAAUAUAAAGUUCGUAUACAGGGUUUAAAAAUUUGGAAGGAUAAGGGUGCUUAAAUUCAAGUAUAAUUGUUUGAGUAGUUGUUGUCAUUAUGGACUUAGAUUUUUUUUUUCCAACAUUUGAUUUCCCCAAAACAUUGUUACACCAUUAAGGAUAACUUAAUAACAAGUUGGCAUAAGAAGAUUAAGUAAUUAACAUGCUUCAAAUGCAAAAAAUGAAUAAUGAAAAGGAUAGACAAAGAAUUAAUGGAUAAAUUCGAAAGUGUGUAAACAAAUUGUUUUUAUUUUAUUUUUUUGUAAGUGCGUAAACAAAUUCUUACUCCAUUUAUUUUCCAAAGUAAAGACAGCAACAGGGGAAAAAAUGCAAAGGAUAGAAAAAGACUGUUGAAUGUUGAAAAGUAUCCUAGGUUUUAACUUAUAGGAAAAGGAUAGAAAAAGCAGGAAGCCUUACAAAAGCAAGCUACUUAUGUCACAUUUGUAUAUAUCUUCAAAUUUGCUUUAAUUAGCUGGCUUUGGUCCAGUAGGCUCUUCAACACAACUUGAUAAUAGAAAUAAUAUAGCCGAUCACACAAAAGAACAAUUAACAAAUCAACCACGAUUAUGUGACUGAAGUACAUACAGAUAUGACAUUUUCUUUAUUUCUGUCAUACCUAUGAACUCACUAAAAGAAAAAGUGAAAACCACUAAAGCUAUAUUAAAAUGAAUGUUGAGUUUAUUGCAUUCGGUUUCUCCGUUGCACUACCAAUUUGGCCCUCUGACAUAAAGAUAAGAAAAUGUGACCACCACUAAAGCUACAUUAAAAUGAAAACGGGAUACCUUUUACGCAAUCAAAGAUACUAAUGCAUCGUGGUAAAUAAAAAAUCACCUCAAGAAUUCUCUCUCUUAAUUAACCAAUCAAAUCAACUGGACUAAUUACAUUUUCUCUCGUCAAAUGAAAUGUACUGACUAUACUCCCCGGUGCUCUGCAUGGGUUAAAACUUGGUAGUUUCUAGGAAAAUGACUUUCCAAACAAAGGCCUUUUGGGUAUUAUUAUGUUGGUUCACCGCUGCGGUCUAAAUUUAAAUCUGAUAUAACUUUUAAUGCUCCUAUUACAAAUUAUCAUGCUCGUAGUACUUAUGAUUAAUGCAUUAGAGGGCUGGAUUUAGGUUAUAGGGGUAUAGAUGUAGCCCAUCCCAUGUGUACUUCAUCAUUAUCUCUAAUUAUGCCAGAGACUUUGCACCAGUUUUUUUUCUUGUACAAAGCCACAUAGUUGUUGAGAUGACCAGAGGACAAUCAAGUAAAUGACUAGAACAGCAACCUGAUGUGGUUCAGCAGAUUGCUAAGCGUAUUGGAAAGGGAAAAACAAUUCUUUUGCUCUUAGUGAUCCUAAAGGAUCAGCGUUAUCAAUGCAAAAACUUUAUCUUUUAUUGUCUACAUUUAUCAUUAGACAUUCUUAGGACAGGCCAUUCUUGUAAUCAACCACAAGAAGACACUUAGCUCCGAUAACAAGCAAUGUACAAUGUCCAAAUAAGAGACCAACCGAAACAACAACAAUGUCCAAUAAAUUGCCAAAUCAUAAAAGGCACUUCAAUUCGGAAAACAAAAAUUCCCAGAAAACAAAUUACAACUCAGAAAAAAAUUUUAUUCUUACCUCUUGUGCUGUUUCUGGUGAAAGGAAUGGCAAAUGGAGAAAGCCGGAUGCCGGACUUAAAUGGAGCUAGCUACCAGAGAUGGGUUCCCAAAGGGGAAGCUCUGCAAUGGCCGAGAGCUUCCGAUGCUUCUGAUGAGAGCUUCGGACGAGAAGAAAUGCUGCCUUUCUGAUUUCGCAUGAGGAGAAACUCCGCAACUCUACAAAAUUGAAGAGCUUUCGAGGAGAAGGCCGAGAGAUUCCGACGACAAAGCUGUGACUCUGAUUUUCGAUGAGAAAGCUCAGACCAAGAUAAUUUUGAGAGUGAGGAGUUUUGGCUGCACGGAGAGAGUGAAGGGAGAGUGAGACUGAAGAGAAAUGCGAAAUUGGGAAUUCUGAUUGUUUUCAGAUCGAGUACCUCGCAUUUAAGAAAUGUGAGUUACAUAAUCUCGCAUUCUCCUAAUGCGAGCUUAAGAAGCUUGCGAGCUUAAGAAGCUUAAGAAGCUUAAGAAGCUUAGCAGAAUGCGAGCUUAAGAAGCUUGCAUGCGAGGUACAUAAUCUCGCAUUCUCCUAAUGCGAGCUUCUUAAGCUCGCAUUAGAAUGCGAUCUUCUUUUUCUUUGUUUUUGGAAACACAUACCUCGCAUUUGUGAAAUGCGAGGUAUCUGAACUCGCAUUUCACAAAUGCGAAGAUCACAAGUCUGGAACCAACUUAAAAAAUUACCCCCUUUGUAGAAUAACUUUUUUUUUUCAUCACCAUUUAAGAAUUUUCUCGAAGAAGUCAUGGGAACGAAGUUAAAUUGGCAUUGCAUCUACUGAUGGAACUGUUAGAAUCGAGUCACAAUAAUGAGUACCAGUCACUCAGCAUAUGAUUCGUUGUUCCUCGAAAAUCGUUAUCCAUAUUAAAGUUGGAAAACAAUUUAAUCAAAUCGUACGGAGUACCAUUCAUCCAUUUUUUUGGUCUUUACUUUAACAGUACAACUUAGAGACAUUCAGUAUGUUUGGAUUGAAAUAUUUUGAGAUAAAAUAAUUUAUUUUACAAAUUUCAAUCAUUCUUUUAUCUUUCUAGUUAUCUUUUUGUCUCACAUACAUCACAGCACAAAAAGUGUUAUAGUAAUUAUCUCAAAUAAAUCAUCUAAAUAAACUCAUAUCCAAACAAAUCCAAAUUGUGUUUCUACAAAUUCUUUUGUCAAAAAUGGCCCAAGUAUGAUUUUUAUUUAAAAACUACAAUAUUGUUGGUCCCUUAGCUUUUCAAAUUGUCUAAAAUAAUGCCAUAUUUCUACUCUAGAAUAUUAAUUUAGUCUUUCAGUUGUCAACUAUUGCACUGAAUUUUCACUUAUGGAGGAGGUGGUGGGGGAGAGGGGAGGAGGGGAGGAGAGGGGAGACGAAGGAGGGUUGGAGAGGUAGGUCAUCUUUAAAUAAUGUAAAGGAGUAGGUGAUCUUUAAAUAAUAAAAACUAAAGUGCAUCUACACUUUAAAUAUGAUUUAGACAUAACAAUAAAAUUUUGCCAUAAUCAACACGUUGGAUGAUGCUAUUGGACGUUCAGAAAGAAUUAAAGAUCAAGCGGAAACGUGUCAGUACUAUAUUAUGAAUUGGUUUAACAUUAAUUUGUCUGUAACCUCUUACAUAACUCGCCAAACUAAGCACUAAUUAUUUGAGCCAAGAUUAUUUCCCACUUUGUGUGACGACAAAAGAAUGUAGGAAGUUCUGUAGUCAUGUGAUAUAGAUCAAGGUAGCAUCUUCCAAGGAGCCCUUCCUGAGUUCCUGCGGCCGAUACAAAUACAAAUGGUGCAUUGUGUGUUUUAAAAGGCGAAAACCGCGGGCGGGACAGUCUUUUUAUUUUUAAAUAUUUUAAAAAUAUAAAAACACGUACACACACACACACACACACACACACACACACAUAUAUAUAUAUAUAUAUACAUGUGUGUAUGUAUAAUAUUAAAAAUACCCAAAAAAUAAAGAAAAAUUAUAACCUUAUGUGAUUAAAAUAAAACCUGCCUUGUGUGAUCUCUUUGCAAUCAUGUUUUAUGUUGGUAUCAUAGUAUUUGGUUUGAUUAUAUGUUAGAAGUUACUAAUUCUAAAAUUUAGACAAUUUUUUAUUUUUAUUUUCCUGUAACUCAUUACUUCCUUAUCUAUAUCCUACUUUUCAAUUCAUUUUUUCAACAAUUAAUUAUCUUCCUUUUUGACUUUCUUAGUUAUAGCAACUUUUAAUGAAUUGUAUAUGAGCCAUUCUAUGUAUGCAAAUUGUGUUCUUGAAUCAUCAAUAUCCGUCAAUAUUUCUACAAAUUCAUUGCACAAAAUGUUUACUACAAUUAUUUAGAUCUUCAAACUAAAUUCUUUUGCAUCUUCAAAAACAAAAUGUUUACUUUAAUUUUAUUGUUACCAAAAGUAAUUUUCAAAUUUACAGAAUCUUUCAACAAAUUAUUUGUACUCCCGCUGAAGUAACGGUUGAGAUGCAGAUUGGAUGACAAGAUAACGUCUGCUGAAGUCAAUUUUUGAAGCUAUGCAUGCAUCCAUCAAAACGGUGUCCAUUUACUCGUAAACUUUUCAAAGUCUUAUAAUUAAUUUCGUUGAAUUAAAUGAAUUGUAUGAUGCAAUUGCAGGGAAUCUCCAUCCAAUUGGAAACAUUUUCCAGACUACGUGUAUACAAUUAAUCCAUCGUUUGGAAUUUUGUACCUCAAUCACACAUGGAAUUUUGAAUUUAACAGCAUCGCCCAAUAGGGUGGCUUUAUCUGUUUUCCUUCUAAAAUGACUCUUAUAAAUCAGAGGCAUGAACAGUUCAUUGCUUGGAAGAGAUCCCUUCAACAAUUGAAAGUCCACUACAAGAAAAUCAGGCUUUUGUGACAAACCAAAUGUAGUCAUUAAAAAUCAAAAAGUUGUCAUUAUAAAAAGAUAGUGACGACUUUUUCGAUUGUCACGUGAUUGUCGUAAAUGAGUCCAUGUAACAACUUUAGAUAAGUCGUCAAAGAAUCAUAUUAUUCUAUGAUAAAGAAAAAUUCGUCACUAACUAAAACCAUUUUGUGAUGACUUUUCUUGUCAUUGUUUCACCUGUAUUUUUGUCAUAGAUAAUGUAAAAGUCGUUACAAAUUUCAUAUCUACAAUGAUGACUUUUACAUGUCACUUAUAAUCCUGUUCAUUAGUGACAAGAAUUGUUGUCAUUGGUUGAACUUGUAGCUAGUGACAACCUUCCCUGAUGUAGUCACUGAACUUUGUUUAAAAUGUUUGAAAUUUGCCAUAAAAAGCCUACUUCUAUUGCAUUUUCAACAACCAUAGCAGAAAAUUGUGGCUUGACUAAUGCAAAAAAGAUAGUAAUUAAUGUACAAUGAACCCUCAAAUAUAUAUAUAUGUAUGGUUAUAAACAUCUCUAAAUUCAUCAAAACACACAUUAACCAAAAUGGGUUCCAAAGCCCAUAUUAGUUCAAGUACUAACAGCCAUUAUCCAUCCAAACAAUAGAGUACUAAGUUCACAUCAGUUCAACUAGUAACAGCCAUUACGCAUCCAAAAAAACAAAAUACUCUUUCCAAACAAAAACAUAGACUAAAGAAGCAAUUUGUGUCAAACUGAAGUCAUCUUCAUGAGCAUAUCCAACAGCCAACCUUUUUCAUCUCCUCAAGAGCAUUUAAUAGCAUUGUACUGCAUUGAAAGAAAAGUAUCACACGCAUUAGAAUCGAUUUCAGUCAAAAAAUAUGCCAUUACAAGCAUAUACUAUUGAAUUUGAAUGAACAGUCAUACUGAACAAAAAUCCAAUUAAGUCAAUAUGAUAAGAGAUAAAAUAAUCAGUCAAACAAGAGUUUCAACCAAAACAUACUAAUUAGAAUAUAGAUAAAAUCUGCCCAAAGUACCUCGUUAGAGAUCAAUAAAGUCAAGUUUGUUUCAAUCCUACUAUUAAGGGUUAUUUCAACCAAAAUUAACUUGAUAUAAUUGACAAAUGAAGCUUAAAGAGUGGCUUAAGCUUUUGAACUUGAUAUAAAAAACUCAAAGGGAACUUGAUGUACAAAGGAACCAAGAAAAAAAAGUGCAACAAAAACAAGUCCUUACCCAAGGAUAUGAUGACGAAGGAUAUCAAAGUACUAAGUGCUCCAAACAGCAUUAUAGUAAUGAAAUUGCAAAAGAAUUGUUUCUUUUUAACCUCGAACCUGAUAAUUAAGGGGAAUGAAAAUUGAUCCCAAAUCAGCCCUGUGCAGAAAACGCCUCUUAAGAAACUAGACUUCGGCAAAGUUUGUCAUUUGCUUGCUAUCUAAGCAAAUUAAUUUACUAAAAUUCAUGCUCCCAGCAAAACCAGGCCUAAUAAUGCUGAAUCUCAGGUUAUUUUUUUCUUUUGAACUUUUUCCUUUUUCAGAAUCCUAUAUCCAUGUAGGGAAGAAAAUGGUUCAAUAAAUUUACUACAUACCCAGCAUUGAAAAUGAUCGGAGGAAGUAGAUAAAUAAAGAAAAGAUCUUCACUGAAAACCAACAGAUGCGAGCUUGUUCCUCCACUAAUUAGUAGAAUUACCAUCACAAAAUUGUCUCCAGUCCUUGAAAAUAAAUGAACAAACGAUUGAAUGUCAAAUCUCCAGCAAAAUUUACAAAAUAAAAACAGGGGACUCAAGUGUAUUUAUCUUUGGUAUCAUACCAGCCAAGAAAUUAAUGAAAGCUGAUUAUACAUGGUUGCCUCUUUUAUGUAAAUGCAGUUUUAGUGCAAUUCUGCCCAAAAUGUCAAAGUUACUACUGUAAAAACCUUAUAGCGAUUAGAAUAUGUAAAUCUACAAUAACUUAAUAAUUAAAAGACUUCAAAAUCUGCUAGUUGCACUCCGAUAGUGUACGGUGCUGGAUCUAAAAAGAAAAGGAAAGUUACCUCUAUGGGUGAGAAGUUCCUGCCAAAUUGGAAAAAGAUGCAACAAAGCCAGGUUAACAAAGCUAUUAUGUACAAGAGAGUAAGGGAAUCAACAUGUACUUUCUAAUAUUCUUUGUGGAAGAAACAUAUGAAAGAGAGUAAGCCCCACCUUCUAACGAAGUGAAAUAUCCUCUAAGUUAUGUUCCUGCUUUUCAAUUAAUCUUCUUGCAAGCUCCUUAACCUGAAAAUGGAGAAGAGAACUGGUUAUUUAAGCUUCGCUGACCACCAGUUUAAACAUGAAAUGGUGCUAAUGCUACUAGUUGGAUGAACAAACUUUUGUUGAGAAUCAAAGGAAGGCUGAUGUUGCUGAAGCUAAUGCUCUUCUAGCUAACAGAAAGGCUGGAUGGGCAAAACAUACCCCUUCUGAAGGGCAUAGAGGACGUUUGCACUACUAUAGUACUAUGAUGAAGCACAUCACAAUCUUCAUCAAACAAUGGAUUUAUAGCUACCAAUUUCAACAAUCAUUACAGUACUUCUCCCAUCAUACAGGACAGACAAACUUACUGCGUGCAAAGGGAUAUCCUAAAUCAAAGAAAGAAACACAAGACAUUCCAAGCGUGCAAAAUAGCUUAGUAUAGAAAAGGGAAAUGCCUUCUCUGAAUGCUGAUAGCGUGCAAAACAGCUUAGGAUAGAAAAUGUUGGUUAAACAAACUACACCUGCUACUCAUUGUAGAAUAAAUAGAUAUCAAAGAACUUGUCUAUGGUGUAAACUGUAAAUGACAUGAUAUUGCCAUCAGGAAAUUAAGGUCAGUGUACGCUACCAUGAUUCAGAGGAUCAAGAUUCAUGUAUAUUUCUUCCAAGCAAUUGAUGAUCUUAAUGCUACGGCAAUCUCUAACAACUUUUGCUUUAAAAAAUCAUCUGAUCUACGGGCAUUCUUUUUCUAUCUUUGUUAUCUUUUUUGCAUGCAAGUACAGGUGAGCCGAAUAAAGGGAGAGGGAUUACCUCCAGAGAACUUUCGGAGAUGAAAAUCAAGAUCUAAUACCCGAAAAGGAAGUCUAAGAUAACAAGAAAUUACUCCUUAUGAUAUCUGAUACCCCUUGCAAAAGGCCUUCACGAGCUUAUCCCCUUCAGUACCAUAUACAACCAGAGGACCUUUCCUGCAGAUGUAGCGGCAGUUACGCAUCUUACCCUUUCUUGGGUGGAUACCCUAGCUGUCUUUAGCCUUCUCAGCAUCAGGGUAAGCCCCAAUUUUCUUGAGAAGACUAAUAGCGUUGGAGGUUUUCUCCAUGGCCUCAGCAAAAUCGGAGAUCGUACAAGGGAUUUGCAGGACAGACUCGAUGCGGUGGCCGCAGGCCAUGACAAGGGAAGGCACUGCAGAGGGGGCGAUGGCAGAAACCACGGCAUACCGUUUCUUGUUGAUUGGGACCUUGCGGUGCCAAAGGCGCCAGAUCUUGGUCGGAGCAAACAUGCGGCAGCCGCGGCACAUGUUGCCAUAGGCACCCUCGCCAGGAACACGAGAGAUACGAGAAACAGCGCGACCAGUACCCCAGGACUCGACGAAGGUCUGGUGGCCAGCGGACCUACAGACGGUGUAGGUUGGUGAGAGUUCUUGGAGAUGUCGCGCGAUGAACGUCUUGGAGGAUGUCUGGCCGGAUUGGGGCUUUCAUGACGUCAGGCAGAGGGAGGGAGUUGGCGUCGGCCUCCAUUUCAUUCUCAAGAGGGAUAACGGUAACUACAGGGACAGCGGCGGCGGAAUUAGGGAUUUUUGCUAUCUACAACUCCACUAAAGCUACACAAAUCUUUUGGGUAGCUCAAAUUACGGAUGAAAAUGGUGGGCUAAUAUGAUUUUCUGGAUAAUUUCAGCAAAAUGAUAGUGGAGAGAAGGAGAAGAUGUAGUGUCCGAAGUUGGCAAGAAGAGGGAAAGCAAGUUUUGUCCGAAAUUUUUCUAAGUGUUACGAGUGUUUUUGUUUUAACUCUUGCUAAAAUGACGUCGUUUCUGCUUCUUUUGUUUACCCGUCUCUACUCGUUCAAUUUUGUUCAAUUUUUAGCUUCCCCCGCCUCUACUCCAAAUUUCAGCUUCACCCGCCUCUACUCCAAUUUUGAGCUUCCCAUUUCCAUUUUAGCUUCAGCCAAAAAACGCUUUCAGGUGACUUUUGUACUAACUAUUUGGACCUUUCUUUAUAAAAACAAUGCCUUCUCUAGUAUAUCUUUUUUCUUUUCUCCAUCUUUGUGUAAUUAAAGUUGUUUUUUAUUUUGAGUUUUUAGCUCACAAGUUGUAUUAAAACUUUAUUUGUUGCAUUAAAAGUUUAGAAUAUGAAAAUUUAGUGUUUUUGGAUAAUUUUGUUUACUAACACAGGUUUUUUUUAUCUCUACAAAAAAUUAAUGUCCAAAAACUAAAAAGCUUAUUAAAAAUAUGUUCAUGAUUCAAAAAAAAUCUUUUAAUGUAAAUAUUUUUGGUAUUAAUUUAAUAAUUUUAUGAAUUAUGUACGAAUUAUGGUUUGACAAGACCUAACAAUACUGUUUAGUUGAUCAAAUAACCAAAAUAGUUUGCUAAUACAUUCAUGACACACUAAAUGUUUUUGGUACAAGUACCGAUCCAUAAACCAUAAACAAUGUGACUAUUGUAAUUAAUAAUAAACUCUACUCAUCCAAUUGGUUUACUAGUUGAUAAUAAACUAGUUGAUCAAAUAACCAAAAUGGUUUACUAAUACAUGCAUGAAACACUAAAUCUAUUUGAUACAUGUAUUGAUUCAUAAACCAUAAACAAUUUGAUUAUUGUAAAUUAUAAUACAUAACAAAUUCCAGUCAUGGAAUUGUCAAGAUUUUUACUUAAUUUCAUAUUAAAUUUUAUUAUUUUCUUCCAUUAUUUUCAAACUAUAUUAAUCAGUAAUUUCCCAUAUGUUGUCAAGAGAACUAAAUAAUGAAUUCAUGAUAUUUUUUUAACUUUAUAACAGUGUAUUUGCUAUGAUUGGAAUAAUUAAAAAAAUAGGUAAACAUUGUUUUUUACAAUACCUUCGUCAUUUUGCUAAUGAUAAACACAACCUAAAGUGUAAAAGCAUAGGGUGCCAUAAUAGAAUUAAUAAAACCUUUCUUUAUCACAUACGAGACUAAAUUGCAAAAGAUAAGGUGUCAUGGUAGAGUUAAUGAGAUUAGUUUACCAAAUAAGGGGCUAAAAUAUAAAAGUUCAGGUGUCAUAACUUAAUUAAUUAAAUUUACUUGCACCAUAUGGGCCAUAUAGAAAAAAUUAGGGUGGUAUAUGGGGUUAAAAUGUAAAAGCUAGGGUGUCAUCACAAAAUUAAUAAAAUUUAUUUACAACACAUGGGCCAUACUAAAAAAAUUAAGGUGGUAUAUAGGGCCAAAAUGUAAAAGUUAGGGUGUCAUAGUAGAAUUAAUAAAAUUUAUUUACAACAUAUGGGUCAUAUUGAAAAAAUUAGGGUGACAUGGUAGAAUUAGUAAAAGUGAGAUGGGAAUAAAUGCUUUGGAUAGUGACGACUAGUUGUUGUCAGUAAUUUAGAACUGACAACCAUAUUGUGACGAUAUUUCAAGUUGUCAUUGUAAGACGAGUUUCAGUAACAACAUGUUUUCCAGUCGUCACAAUGGUAAUCUCCCACCACACUGGAUAGUUGUGCGUUAUCCAUAUUGUGGCGACUUAUUCCGUAUUGUCACUGUUGACGGGUGAACCCACGAUCAAGUAUGACGACAUUAAAGGUCGUCACUAAAGUUUUCAAUUGUGACAGCUUUCUCUCUUGUCACAGAGAAUGUUGUCACAAAAGGCCAAAUUUCUUAUAGUGAGUAUUGGAACCCUAAACCUAUUAUCCUAACCCCUUUGAAAUGCUACACAUGGACUUCCUGAUCUUGAAGGCAACGUGCUUUGUUUGGAUUGCAUUUUUCUAGAUUUUUUCUAGAAAAAUUAUUGUAACGAUUUGAUAUAUGUGAAGUAAAAAGGUGAUUGGAAAAUAUGUUCAUGAAAAACGUAGUAAUUUUUCUUUGAAAAAUUGAUGUCCAAACAAGUUUCUUCGUUUUUCUUGAUUUGAUAUCUUCACUCCAAGUUGCUGAUCUAUUUUUUUUCUUGAAGGCAACACUUUAUGAUUCACAUUAAUGUCAAAGAACGCCUUCAUUGCAGAGAGAAAUUUGGAUUAGCUCAAAAAAGUCAAAAAGGAAAAAGGAGUUUCAUACGUACAUGUCCUUUGGGAGAAACUAAUAGAGGUCAUCCAAUUAACGUGUUUGUCACACUAAUGCAACUGACUUUAUGUAUAAAAUGUUUUUUGAAUGCUCAAAUAUCUUAUUCAAUGACGUAAACUUUUAAAUGAUCAAAUUUUGACAAGGAACAGGAACAAAAAAAAUAAAAAAGAAAAAGAAAAAUCAAAGUCUGUACAAAGCUUUUUUUUUUUUCACAAAGUGUGCACCAUUUUUGGUAGCCAUCCAACACGCAUUGUGGACUAUUUUUUUUUAAGUAUUAAUUUUGUCCCUCAUGCUUUAGAAUUUGUUAUUCUCAUGGAAACCUAAUUUACUUGCUUGCUUCUUUAACGUUGACCUAUCAACUUUAAGGUAUGUGACAAAUUUCCAAUCCGUUUAAUGAUUUUAUGCCAAACAAUUUUAAAUUAAUUUAGAUUACAAAAGAGGGGAUCGUAAAUCAAAAAAUCAAUUUCACAACUAAUUGUUUAGUGAUUUUAACAAAAAAUUUUAAAUUAAUUUAGAUUACAAAAGAGAGGAUCGUAAAUUGAAAAAUCAAUUUCACAACUAACUGAUAGAGAAUCAAAAUUUCCAUGAAUUCAGCACAAAUUUUCCAUAGUAGGUCACGAUUUCCAUUGAUGGAUGGACUUAGACCCAACACGUUGGCGAAAUUUCUGCCCAACAUGGAGCAUUUUAUGUGGCAGUCAAGAUUUUAAAGGCUCUUUAUUUUGGCUUUCUUUGCUUCUCCUAAUUUUAAAUGCACAUUUGAAAUUCUUGAUCUGUUUAUUCCUCUUUUGGCCUCAAUCUUUUUAUAGUUUAAAAACCACCCAAACUUUUAUGCUUAUUAAAAAUUUAUCAAGUCAAAAUAAAAAGAGUUUAUUGAGUCUCAUUGAAUGUGUUAAACAAGGUUUUCACGACAUAAAGAAGUAUAGAUAUACACAACUAUACAUUAAUGUUGUAUACAUUAUUACUGUAAAGAUUUUUUAUACUAACAUGUGUAAAUAUAUGACAUAUGAGGAAAAAUUGAAUUCAAAAUUUAAACAGUGAUAAUAUGACAUUUAUCUAAACCUACUUGUAUGAAAAAAUCUCUACGCUUCAUAUAAACAAUGUAAAGAGUUUUCAUGAAACAAAGUUUAAAUUUCUUUUUAAUGUGUGUACCAGUCCACUUUAUUGAAGAACAAUCGCAAGCUCAUCUACUUAGCAAAGUGUGUGGAUCCUAUUUUGUAAGUUAUCAAUUUUUGGUUGGUUUAUUCUUGGACAUGGACUAAUCCAACCACAAGCGUGUGGAUCCUAUCUUCUAAGUUAUCAAGUUUUUGAUUGGUUUAUUCUUGGACAUGGACUAAUCCAACUAGCUAGUAACUAAGUGGUCCAUGCCAAUAAAUCUAAUACAAAUCCUUUUUUUUAGCAAAUUAUCCAGAUGGCCACUAAACUUUUGCAAUCAUCGAGUUUUGAUCACUCAACUAUUAAAAAUCUGGUUUUGGCCACUAAAUGUAUAAAGUUAAGACUCGAGGCCAUUCUGUUAGAUUUAGUCAUUAAGUUUGCCGAUCUGUCUGCUCGUGCGAUUUUCAAGACAAAAGAAAGGGUCAAUUUAGGGAGUUCAACAUGCAUCUUCUUCUUCUUAUAGUAUAAACCUAAAGAAGGCUCUGCUACUGCUGCAACAAGAGAGAAGGAAAUGGAAGAAGCCCAACUUGGAUUAGAGGAAGUAUGACCAAGCUCAAAGCCAUCAAGAGCCGUGCCAGCAAGAUCCAUGUUGCCUACAUCGAUGCCUCAUCUACCUACUUGUGUUUGUGGGAUUAAGAUAGUAAUGAUAACUUCAUGGACUGCACAAAAUUCGGGAAGAAGAAUUGCCAAAUGCCCAUUAGGGGAUGUUUGUAACAUCUUUCUAGAUACUUAAUUUGUUAUUGUGUAAGAAACAUAAUGAUUUUGUUUAUUUUUGAAGGAUGGAUGUUGCUAUUGGGGUUGGAUAGAUGAUGAAAUGUGCGCUCGAUCUACAAUGAUUAUACCGGGUCUACUCAGAAAGAUCAAUAGAAUGGAGGCAAAAAUGGCUGAAUUCAGAAAUGGUUAAUGGAACCAAAUAUCUUUUGUUUGAUUAGUUACUAGUUUCUGCCAUUCAUUUUUGGAUGUUGAAAUAACUCAUAUCCUGUGUUCUAACACCUUGGGUAGACUAAUUAGCAAUUUACAAACUUGCUGAUUUUCUUUUUUUUUUUUUUGUUUCUUUGCAUUCAUUUCUGGUUUAGUUAGCUCUCAUAAUUGUCAUUAUGGGUUGCAAUUUCAAUCAACAUUUGAAUGGCCUUUAUGUCAAACAAUAAUUCUAUGUUUUUUUGCCUUCUUUAUCUUUUUAUAUCUAGAAAUUGUCUUUCCUCCUUUUUGAGUUGUUCAUCUUGACAAUGCCUUGAGUUUAGUAAGUUAAGACUUUUCUUAUUCUAGGUAUCGGAAAUGGAUAAAAGCUGGAUAAAUGAUCCAAAUAUUUUGUCAAGUCAUUAUAAGUCUGGUCUUAAGGAUUUUAUUGAAUUUGCGAAGACCAAUGGUAUGGGAUUGGAUGGAAAAUUAUUUUGUCCAUGUAGGAGAUAUAGGAAUUCAAAGAGAAAAAGCAUUUCUCAAGUUGAAUCAGAUUUGUCAGAAAAAAGCUUUUGUAUGUAUUAUAAAAAUUGGGUCUUCCAUGGGGAACCAUUUUCUACACACUCUUAUAUGUCAAGUGGAAAGAACAAUAAUCUUGAUGAGAAUGGUGUUGGAGGUGAGACAGAUUUCCUCAAUGAAACUGUAUAUAAUGACUUUGAUAUGAAUGAAAAUGGUGAAUCUGAUGAGUUACCUGAUUUGUUGGAUGAGAUAAAAAAUGCACAUGAAUCAGGGAUAUCGAGUGAAUGGGAUUCAAAAAAUUUUGACAAAUUGUUAAAUGAUGCACAAAGAGAACUUUAUCCGGGAUGCAGAAAGUACUCCCUACUACAUUUCAUUGUUUCCUUUUUCCACAUCAAAGUGAUGAAUCAUGUGACUAACAAGGCAUUUGACAUGAUGCUGGAAUUUUUAAAAGAUGUGUUACCAAAAGGAGAAAUACUUCCAUCCAGUUUUUAUGGGGCCAUGAAAAUUCUAUCUGGUAUAGGUUUGGGGUAUCAAAAAAUUGAUGUCUGUAAAUUUGAUUGUGCAUUGUUUUGGAACGAAAAUGAAAAGAUGGACAAGUGUCCUAUUUGUAAAGAAUCAAGAUGGAAAGUCAAUAAUGGCAAGGAGAAGAAAGUUCCACAAAAGGUGAUGUGGUACUUUCCAUUAAAAGCUAGGUUGCAAAGACUUUUUAUGUCUUCUAAAACUGUUGAAGACAUGAGAUGGCAUGAGGGGAAACAGGUUAAAGAGGAAGGUAUCAUGAGACAUCUGGCUGAUUCUAUUGCUUGGAAGUAUUUUGAUAAACAAUAUCCUGAUUUUGCUAAAGAUUCUCGAAAUGUAAGACUUGGAUUGGCCACAGACGGAUUCAAUCCAUUUGGUAACAUGAGCAACUCAUACAGCAUGUGGCCAGUUAUUUUUGUACCUUACAAUUUGCCUGCAUAUAAAUUUAUGAGAAAGGAAUAUCUUAUUCUAUCACUUCUUAUUCCUGGUCCACAUGCCCUUGGAAAGGAGUUAGAUGUGUUCUUAAAGCUAGCAAUAGAUGAUUUGAAAGAUUUAUUUCAUGGAAUCAACACUUAUGAUGCAUAUAAUGGACAAAAGUUUCAAAUGUGUGCAGCAAUUUUAUGGAGUAAUCAGAUUUCCCCGCAUAUGGCUAUUUGUCUGGAUGGAGCACUAGUGGGUAUAAAGCAUGUCCAUGUUGUCUUGAUGAUACUGCUUCACAAAGACUAAGAGGCAAAAUAUGUUUCAUGGGACAUCGUCACUUUUUGAACCAUGACUACCCUUGGCGAAAGCAAAAAGCUCAUGUUGAAGGAACUAUUGAAACACGCUCCAAGCCAAAGGACUUUUCUGGAGAACAUGUUUUAAGACAUUUAAAUUGCUUGGCUGGUGUCUUUGGUGAGUUUGGUAAGAAGCUAGUUGCUCGGAAAAAAAGAGUUGACAAAAUUCAGGGUAAUUGGAGGAAAAAAAGUAUAUUUUUUGAGUUACCAUAUUGGAGAAAACUCACAAUGAGGCAUUGCCUAGAUGUGUUGCAUAUCCUUAAAAAUACAUGUGAAAGUUUAGUAGCAACAUUGUUGAACAUUCCUGAGAAGACAAAAGAUACUAAUAAAGCUCGUGAUGAUCUCGCUUGACAUGGGAAUAAGACAUGAACUAUACUUACAUGAUGAUGGUAAAAGGAAAACAAAGCCUCCAGCCUUGUAUGUGCUGUUUUCAAGUGAGAGAAAAGGAUUUUGUGAUUUUUUGGGUUCAAUUAAGUUUCCUGAUGGGUAUGCUGCAAACAUUUCUAAGUGUGUUAAAGAUGGUAAACUGAUAGGACUUAAAACACAUGACUACCAUGUCCUCUUGCAACGACUUAUUCCAGCAAGCAUUCGUGGGUAUUUGUGUAAAGAAGUCAAUGAGACAAUUUUUGAGUUAAGUGAGUUUUUUCGAGAUUUGUGUUCUAAAACCCUGAAGAUGGAUGACUUGGAAAGGUUGGAGAAAAAUGCUCCAUUAAUAUUAUGUAAGCUGGAAAAAAUCUUUCCCCCUGCCUUCUUUUGACAUUAUGAUCUAUUUGAUUGUUCACUUGCCAAAGGAAGCAAAACUUGGUGGGCCAGUACAUACUAGGUGGAUGUUUCCAUUUGCAAGGUACAUCUUCCUUAUUUGUUUGACUAAAAAUUUUGUUAUUUAUGUAACAUUCUGUUUUGGGUGGAAAAUUAACUCUUGCUUUUGAAAAGGUAUCUCUCGGAUCCCUUAAAAAGUAUGUCCGCAAUCGUGCUCGUCCUGAAGGCUCGAUUGUAGAAGGAUAUAUUGCAAAUGAUUGCCUAACAUCAGUGGCGGAGCCAGAAAAAAAUCUCAGUGGGGGCAAAAAUAACACUAAAAUUUUUUAUCUACUCUUUUUUUUUAAUUUUUUGAGCAAAAAAUAAAUAAAUUCACUAACAAGUACAAAUGAUAUGUAUAUUCCAUGAAAAACAUAAAAAGACAAACUCAAAAUUAUUAAUGUAAUAAUAAUUUUAUUUAAAAACAAACUAAAUUAUUUACAAUUGUUCACGACGAGUUUUCAUAUUUUGAUAACGGUUUACAACUUUCUCAUUUUCAACUUCACGAAGUAUAUUUUUCUCAAUAUAAGUAACUAAACAAUCAUUCAUCCAAGUGUCUCUCAUUCUAUUUCGUAACCGAUUCUUCACUAUAUUCAUAGCUGAAAAAGCUCUUUCUACUGUAGCUGUAGCAACAGGCAAAAUCAAAGCCAACUUUAAGAGCAUAUAAACCAAUGGAUACACAAUAUCUCUCUUAGUCUCCACCAACCUUUGAGCUAGAUCAGAGAUUUUUCUUAAAUCGAGAAAUUCCUUAGCUGAUUUCAAGUCAUUAAUAUAAGUAUCCAAUUCAGUGUCAAGUGCAAGAAUAUCCAACUUGGAAAACUCACAAGGAUAAUGUUCUGCAAGACGAAUCAACUUUUUCUUAUCAAAUGCUGCAAAGGAAUCACUUGGGUUCAAGCAUGCCAUACACAGAAGCAACUCCAUAUUGAUUUCAUUGAAACGAUUGUUGAGUUCUUGGAAUUGUAAAUCUAUGACAGCACAAAAUAGCUCAACUCGAUAGUGGUGAAGGUUUGUAAUUUGCUGAACUUUUCUUCGAGAUCUCCCACUAGUAAUGAACAUUUCAUCCAUUUUCGGAAUGAUGAUCUCAUGUUUUUCACAAAACAAACAAACUUCAUCAAGUAAAAAAUCCCAUCCAUCUUCCCUAGUAGCUUGUAACUGUUGCUUGGAAACUUUGACCAGACCCAUAGCAUUCACAAUAUCUUGAUCCUUCCUUUGUAAUGCUUCAGAUAGUGCAUUCGUUAUUCCCAUGAUUUUCUUCAUCAAGUGUAAAAUAAAUGCAAAUUCAAAAGAUUGCAAAGAAUUAAGAAGUGCAUAUGCUUGACCUCUUUGCUCCACCAGGCCAUCAUUUUCAAUUAUCAAAAGAACAUCUAUUACAGAAUCAUACAUAAGAACCAACUUUAACAACGAGCCAAAAUGUGAACCCCAACGUGUAUCACAAGCUCUUUGAAGGCUAGUUUCUUGAUUUAAGCCCCGACCACUGACAAGAUCUCCAGUCAUUAGAUCAUCAACGACUUUCUUAAGGCGUUGUUCUCUAAGAAUUUCUUGUCUUUUAGAUGAACCUUCAAGAACAUGCACUAAGGUAGACAAUGUAUUAUACAUAGAAGAGACUUGGACAUGUUUCUUUGCAACCCCUACAAGUGACAAUUGCAGCUGAUGUGCAAAACAAUGAAUAUAAUAUGCAGAAUCAUUUUCCUUCAUGAUCAAAGUUUUUAAACCAUUAUAUUCACCUCGCAUGUUACUAGCACCAUCAUAACCUUGACCACAGAUUUGUGAUAUGCUCAAACCAUGCUUUGAAAAUAAAUCAUCAAUUGCUUUCUUAAGUGAAAGAGCAGUAGUAUCUCUUACAUGUAGAAUACCAAGAAAACGCUCAAUCACAUAUCCAUGUGAAUCCACGUAACGGAUAACAACUACUAAUUGCUCCUUUGUUGAUGCAUCACGAGAUUCAUCACAUAAAAUAGCAAACAAUCCAUGUCCAAUGUCAUUUACAAUAAUGCUUGUAGUCUCACUUGCCAAAGCAUUUGAAAUACCCUUUUGAAUAUCUGGAGCAAUGAGUUUGAGAUUUUUAGGGGCAUUUUCAAGAACAACCUUCUUUAUAUCAUCAUUAUGACCCGCAAGGAAGUGCAAAAGUUCAAGAAAAUUUCCCUGAUUUUCAGAGGUAUCAGAUUCAUCAUGACCACGAAAAGCCAAACCUUGAUGUAGGAGAAAUCUAGCACAAUCUAUUGAGGCUAAUAAAUGAGUCCGAUACUCAGCCUUCAUUUUCUCUGAUUGCUUAAAAAAUGCCACUUCGAUGUGCUGAUUUUGAUUUAAUAAACUUUGACAUUUACUCCAACUCAGAUUGUGUGCGCUAUUAGGACCACCAACAUGAACAUCAAAUCUAUUCUUUUUUUUUCCAAUUUGUGAAUCCUUCCUUAAUGAAACUAUCACCACCAGAUUGUUCACCCACAUCUGGUCUAUAUAGAUAACAACAUAAGCAAUAAACGGCAUCUUUUUCAAUACUAUAUUCUAACCAAUUCUUGUAAUCAUCAAACCAGCCCCGAACAAAUCGACGCAUCUUUUUUCCUAUCUUUCUUUGUGGAAAAACAUGCUCAUGAGGUUGACAUGGUCCCUUUUGUAAGUAAUAUCUCCGAAUUUCAUCUUGAAGGUUUGGAUGAUAAUCCCCAAUUUUUUUUCUUUGGGCUGGAUCCGCAGGUAAUUCAUCUAAGUUAAUUUCCAAGUAACUUCUUUUAUUGUCAUUUUUUGUACUUUCAUUAUCCUUGGCUUCUUCUUUAUUAGAUGACUCUUUUUCCAUUGAUUUCCUUUUGAAAUAUCUCUCCAUAGCUAAAGAAAUCAAAAUCAAUAUAUAAGAUACUAAUCCAAUUAAAAUAUUAAAUGUACAAUAAAAUCUAAUAAUCUAUCCAAGAACUAUUUUACAAGUUAAAGUUAUUUAUUAAAUCAUUAAUCACAACUUAUUUAUUUAUUACUAUAUCAAAUCAUUAAUCACAAUAUAUGAACCUAAUCAAGUUAAUUAGACAAAAGGAUCCAUACAAGAAUAAUUUAAAAGUUAAAAGUAUAUGUCAAAUGGCCCUCUAUUCAUCAUUACAUUAACUCCAAAUAAGAAACUAAUCAAGGAAAAUAAAAAAUAAAUUAUAAAUCUAUAAAAUCACCAUUUCACAAGUUAAAAUAUUUAUCAAAUAACCCAUUUAUUAGUUAUUACAUUAACUAAUCAAUUUUCAAAUUUCUCUAAAAUAGUAAUAGUCUCAUGCUCUAGAAAUAUAUUUGCAAACAAAUUUAAAAUAAUAAUAAGAAGUAAUUGUUUAGAACCUGAUUUUGAUGGUCUCCCAAAAUUGGUGAAAAGAGUUGCAAAUCAGUGGUGGACCCAAGUCCCUUUACUUCUUUUGUGCCCCGUAUCACGUUAUUUAAUUGGAAAGAAGUCAGCUUCAAGGACUGGUUUCUUGCAGUUGAACUGAAGAAAGCAGGUCCUGGUUUUCAAAAAGCCUACUCCUUUAAUGGAACACUGCGUGACUGCGUGAAGAAGUCAACAACACCAUUUUCAUGACAGAAAACCAGGAUUGGACUAUUUGAUGGGAGAGACCAUUUUCAGUGGGGACAACUAAGAGUCAGUAGAGGAAAGGAAAAUUGGGGAGUGGGGGACAAAGGAAGUAAAUGAUUAAUGAUGAUUGGAUGAAGUAAUAAAAAGAAAGAGUAGUUAGUUGGAUGUGGAAGAAGAGGAGUCGUGGGUUGUGAAGUGAAAUGGGGGACCACAGGAGUAAAGGGAACUUGGGGAGUGGGGACCAAAAGUAAUGACUGAUAUAAUUGGUAUUUGGUCCUUAGAGGAGGAAAGUGAAUAAUAUAAAUUUUGUGACCCAUUCUUUCAUAUUUUUUUAAAAAAAAUUCUGGGGGCACCACUAAAAUUAUGUCAAAAUUAUAAGAGUAUUAUAGAAAUUUAAGGGGGGCAGUGGGGGCCCGUGCCCCCCCUUUAAAUCCGCCCUGCCUAACAUUCAUGUCCAAAUAUCUCCAUGGCAUUGAAACAAAAUUCACCCAUAAGAGAUGCAACUAUGACUAUAAUCAGGAUAAGGCAGAGGAGCUGGUGGUUUUCUCACUAACUGUUCGCCCAUUUGGACUUGUUACACUUCCUACUAAAUUAUCUCAAGUUGAACUAGAUGUGGCUCAUAAAUUUAUAUUGAAUAGCUGUGAUGAAAUAGAAGAGUACAGAAUGUAAGUGCAAUAUGUAUUUCCUGAAUUAUAUUUUAAAUAUUACUUCAUGUGGUUUAUUUUACUUUAUAUUGAUAAUACAAUCUGAAUUUCAGUAAGCAUAAAGAGAUGCUGCAAAGGAUUCAUCCUGAAAAUGUUGACAGCAGACAUGAAGAUCAAUUCACAAAGUGGUUCAAAGAUCAUGUAAGUUAUACAUAUUAUAAAAAUGAGUUUAUUAGUUAUUGAAAACUGACUAAUAGAGACUCGUUUUCUAUUUUAUAGAUAAAUUAGUUGCACAUUAAUAAAUCAGUGAAUGUUUUUGAAGAGCUGUAGGCAUUAGCAAAUGGUCCUACACCUUUCAUGACAAAGCAUUACUCAGGGUGCAUUGUAAAUGAAGUUCAUUUCCACACAAGAGAUCGGGAUGAUUGCUGUACAAAACAGAAUAGUGGCUUAGUUGUUGAGGGUGACCAUAAAGGAAAACACAUUGACUUUUAUGGCUUUGUUAAGGCUGUGGUUGAGCUGACCUUUUUUCAUGCAUACAAGGUGGUCUUGCUUCAAUGUGAAUGGUAUAACACAGGUAGCACAAACACAAUGAAGAGUGAUAGGCACUUUGAGACCAUCAAUAUUAGAUCACGUUGGUAUCAAAAUGAUCCAUUUGUUUUACCAAAUCAAGUCCAACAAGUCUUCUAUAUUGGUGAUACGAAUUUGGAUAGACAUUGGUGAAUUGUACUACGUGUUCAACAUAGGCAUUUGUGGAACCUAUUAGAUUUGGAAGAGAACGAUGAAGAUGUGCUGAAUGGAGAUACAAGUUUUUUGGAUGAACUAUUGCAAUAGAAUGAAACAAGAACUGUUGUGCUUGUUGUCGAAGAUGAUGAACUAGGCCUCUUAAGCAGACAAGGUUUUGAAAUUGAAGUUGUUCUGGAGAAUCCUUUGCAUACUUGCACUGGUGAAGAAGACUAUGGUGAAGAAGACAAUGCUUUUAAAGAAGAUGGCAUGCUUAUUGAAUCUUCUGAUAGCGAUGAAACCAUAGACAUUGAUAUGGAUUUAGAUAAUACUUAAGAAAUAGCAUAGAAAUGUCAAGUGGAAAGGUUUUUUGCAUUGUAGAAGAAAGUGUUACUUUCUAUGGUUUUAGGCAAUAUUGAUCAAAUUGAUAUCCUUUUCAUGGUUUUAACUCUUUGUUAAGUUUUUGGUAUAACUUAAAUAUUGAUCUCUGUUUAUAAUAUGACAUCAAUAUUUUACUAAUGUGACUCAUUUUUUUUAUCAUAUAUUGUGUUAUUGCAGAUAGCACCUUCCGGAAAACGAUUGAAGAGAAACUGCCCACCUAAUACCAACUUGCAAUCUGAACAAUUGCCAACUUCAAACUCAACUUUGGAGCCUCAAUCAGCUACCACAAAUGAUGAUAUCCAGAUUAAUUCAAAUAAUAGUAAUCCUGCUCAAGCAAACACUAAUGGUAAGUGAAAAUGCUGAAUAAUGAUUUAAUUAUUACCAUUCAAUGCAUACAUCCUCUUUGUGAUAAUUCAUAAUAAGUCUCAACUAUCAUGUUUAACAAUUGUUCACAGAUCAAAGAAAGCAAAAAAAAAAAAAAAAAAAAAAAAAGGCAAGGGCCCAACCACAGGAAAAGUUAUCUAGAAGAUGAUACGAGCUAAUGUAAAUAAAAUUCAGUACUAAGAUGCGUACAUAUAUAAUAUUACUGUCUAUUCAAGAUUUUUUUUGUAUAAUCUGUUCCCUAGAAUUUCUAUUGGGUAUACCUGAAUAAUGCUUCAUUUGUUAAUAUUAAGGAGGCAAGCCACUGGAAAUUGUAUUUCUUGAAGGAUGUUGCAAACCAAUCAAUUAUGCUGCUCAACUUGCUAGUGGUGUAGGUUAUGUUGUAAGGCACCUCUCUUCACUGAAGGACAUACGCACAUAUGAUGACAUACCAAAUAAGAAAAAACAAAACCUAUAUGGUGGCUUGAUGGUACCAGAUUACAUAGUGUCUUUUAUAAUGACAUUCAACGUGUUAAUAUUUAUUUUGUUGACUUGACCAAUUCUAAGAAUGAUCCAUUUCUUAAUGGUAAUUUAUAGGGAUGGUUUGACUUCAAAGAUUGGGAAACUAAUCCCAAUGUGGAAAUUUAUGUAGAUGACAUGCUUCAGAAUAGCUACAGGUAGUGGAGGAAUACUAUGCACAUAGAUUAUAAGAUGUUGAAGGCAGCUGGAAAAGAUCCAUUUACCUCGUGUCCUUAUGACUGGAUUGAGCAAGAUGAGUGGAAAAAGUAUGUGUGAUUGGUUCGAAUAUCCUAUAUUCAAGGUGAUUGGUUCUAGUUUCAUGUACUUGCAUGAUCUUAAUCCUUUUUGUUGCCUUUUAUGUUUUGUCUAACUAUCUUUUUGGUGUUUAAUAGAAAAAAUCAGAAGCCAAUACAAAGAAUCGUGCCAUGUUACCCUAUCCGCACACUGGCAAUUCAAAAUCAAAUCAUGUUCGAGCACAAGAGAUGAUAUAUUACUGAUUUUUUUAUUUCCAUUUUGGUUUAUAUUUAUACUAGGAAGAAAACUAGAGCUAACUCAAGAUCUUUUAUGCUAUAAAAUAGGUUCCACCAAGUGUAAUUGAUGCUUGGACUGCUGCUCACAUAAAAAAGGACGGCCAAUUUGUGAAUAAUACUACAAAAUCCCUCGAUGUAAUUUUCACUAUAGUCGGCUGAUUCUAGUAGCUUUGUUUUUUUAUUACUAACAGGACAUUUACAUAUAUUAUACAUUUCAUGACUCCUUUAGUUAUAUGAAUCUAAUAUGUACAGGAUGAGUUAAAAGAAGAGAGAAGACAAUGCAUAGAGAAUGGAGAAACUGUCAAUGAAGUAAAAAUUAUGAAAAAUGUCUUAGGAAAGUAGGCUGGUCGUGCCAAAGGGUUGGGUAUGGGGGUUAUACCACCCAAAACUUCUCGCAAACCCGAAUCUUCAGCUAAUAGAGCACUACUUGAAGAACUAAAACAGUGCAAGGAGAAGAUUCAAAGCUAUGAGGAACGAAUUCAAGCACAACAUACCCAAAUCCAAAAUCUUGUACAAAGCCAGCAAGGGAUACAGGAAAUACUGCAAGAAUUCCUCGUUUGGAAACAGAAGCAGUGUGGAGGGUCUUCCUAGUAAUGGUGAGUUUGUAGAUCUUUAUUCAAAACAAAUGUAUUUAUGUGCAAUUACUUACUAUUGUGGAACUUGAGUUAUGUUAUGAUUUGGAUUUCUUGGUGUAUUAUUAGUUACCUGCAGCAUAGUAAUUAUUAGUAAUUAUUCUUGUACAAGUUAAUGCAUUGCUUGUACUUAUGAUUAGGUGGUCCCUAAGCAAUUUGUAGUGAUCAUCCAUGCAUCAUAACAAAAAUACAUCUUUUGCAUGCCAUUCUAUUAUUUCUCUGAUUUCAGAUUUUUCUUGGUUUUAUUGUACAGGUUUGGGAUGAACUUGUGAAUUGCUUUUGGCUCAUACUAAAGAACUCCUCUAUUUUGAUAUCAUCCAUGUAUAGUAUUUUGUUGACCAUGGAAUUGAAGUCCAUCUUUUGAUUUUAGCAUAUGUUAGGUAUAUGGCAGUUAUCUAGGGAGAAAUAGCAAUAUUUAUAUUGGUUUUAAAUUGUGAAAUGGGAUGAUAUGUAAAUGUUUGACAUGAUUAACUUUUGUGGUUUGACAUAUUAUGGUUGCCUACUAAUGAUAAUUUGUGAAGUUUUGGUUGAUAUUUUGCUUGCAUACUUUUAUAUUUUGAUUGGGUGAGUGUCUAAAUAGAUGAUAUGGUUACUUUGUUAUCGCUAAAAUUGCUAGGCUUAAAAGUGAUGCAGCUGUCAUCAAGAAAAAUGACGUUGUAUUGUCAUUAAAGUUUCCCAACAAGUUUCAAUGCAUGACUAUUCUUGACAAUCGAAAAUUUAGUGACAAAGUUCAGGGUCUUUCUUGACAAAGGCUCGUCAAGAAUAUGAGGUCUUUUCUUGACGACCAAAUCAUCACUAUUACCUUUCCUAAUGAUGUGUCAUAGAAAAUGACACUUUUCCUGAUGAAAAUUCCAAUAGUUGUCAGGAAAACCUUUUGCCGACGGUGUAUAGGUGACCAAUCUUCUCUGACGACAUUGGUGUCACGAAAACUUUUCUUGAUGAAAUACGUAUCUUUUCUUGACAAAAAUUUUUGUCACUAGAAAUCUUUUUUUUUUUUGUAGUGGACUGAGGUACCUCCGUCAAUCACUACCCUAAUUGAGAAAUAAUUUUAUGUACGUCCGUAAGAUUUAAUUUUUCAAUUACCUUAUGUAUUAAAGGAGCUCUAUUCUAACCAAAUAACACACUAUCAGGAUUAUUUUAGAUAGUCUGCGUACUCCCCUAACACAAAUCCAAUCAUGCCAGUUGUCACCAUUUUAGAGCAAUUAAACAAUUAUAAAUUUAACACUAAUUGACAUCAGGUUGCUAAAUUAAUUCAACGUCUGGGACCAGGAUAUUUAAUUAACAAAACAACCAUAAACAUUACAAAUAGAGAAUAUGCAAAUACCAGUGAAUAAGAGGAAUAAAUAAAAUUAAUUCAAUAUCACAAAUUUUAGAUGAACCAAAACCUCCGUUGUUCCUUGACUAGAAAAAGAGAUUAGUUCAUCCCUAUUGAGAAGAAUCCAUACAAGAUUUUAGAAGUAAUGAUCGCGGCCAUUGUCUUCAAUUCGCCGAGAAGAAACGAUGGAAUAAGAAUAUUUUGUCAAAAGUUACAAAGUCAAGGGUUGACUCCUUGUUUUUCUACUUGGUUCCUUUGAUACGUAGGAACCAGUAGCUACUAAAAACAUGAUAAAGUCAAUCUCCAAAGAGGAGUCAAGAAUGGAGCUUCAGAUCCUCUGUCCCCAAAAUAGUCCAUAUCCCCUCUGUCCCUUAUUUGUAUAGCUGCUACGUGUCUCUAGCCUUUUGUUAACCUAAACUCAAAUAAAAUCGAUAAUAAUCGGUUUACAAGUUUUGUUAACCCAAAUUCAAACAAACCGAUAAUAGUUGAUAGACAGGUUUACUCAAAAUCAAUUAAAACAGAUAACUCAAAACUAUUUUUUAUUUUCUUUUUAACAAAAAAGAGUCUUGUUGAUCAUAAACAUAGAAAUCAACUAAAACUCUUCUUUAUUUUUUACUCCAAAUCAUCUUUUUCUUAAACCCUAACAAGUAUUUUGAUUCACUCAUUAUAUCUUUAAUCUUGCAGCAAAAACGCUCAAAGGAUCAAGUAGCAAGAUUCAAUCAUCUUUAUCCAGGUAAAACAAAUCAAUAGAUCAUGUAUGCCAAUUUUACAAUAUAUUUGAUUCAUGAUUUGUCUUGUCAUAUUUGAAAUGACCUGUAUUUAUUGGAACUUGCAUGCGAUGGGAACAAUAUUGUACAAUCCCCUCUCAACAUCAUUGUUCAUAUAAGUAUCUAUAUGCACUGUGUAGUUACUAUAGUUCAUAAACUAGUAUCUAAUUGAAGUAAAGCCUUUAGUAAUGCCGUAAAGCCCUUAGUAAUGCCGUAAAGCCCCUUUCAGUAAUAAACUAGUACAAUCCCCUUUCAGUAAUAAACUAGUACAAUCCCCUUUCAGUAAUACCGUAAAGCCUUUAGUAGUCAAAGUGAUUGAAGUAAACUUUUUCAAUGAUAAACAUUAUAGUUAAAAGCUUUUAUUUUUGACAAAUGUCAUUCGAUAUUUAAGCAGGUUUAUUUGUAUUUAAUUACGUCGUAGAUAUUGAACAAUUGUUUACUUUUGUCUUUUUACUAUUUUUUGUGGAAAAUUCUUGUAAUGAGUUAAAAAUUAAUUUUGCAAAAAAAAAAAAAAGCACUGAUACGAAAUGGUAAAGUUAACUAUUAAAAUCUUUUAAAAUUGUAGAUCAUGGAGGGUGAUGAUUCCCUUGAGAGCAAGUUCCCACCUUGUCGUAAAUUGGAAUUUAUAGAUGACACUCAACAUCAUCACAGCUCUCAGACAAUCAAUGAAGAUACAGACAUUGAGCUUAUUGGUGCAUCAAGUUCAAACAAAGAGACUGAUAUCAAUUCAAUUCAUCCCUCUAUCCCUAAAGAAGAAAUCCCUCUGGUAGGUAUGGAAUUUGACAGUGAAGAAGCAGCUGGUCAAUUUUACUUAGCAUAUGCUAAGAAGGUUGGGUUCGGCACUAGAAAAGGCAAAUUGCAUAAAGACAAAAAUGGUAAAAUAAUUGAUAGGACAUUUUGUUGUAGUGCCGAAGGCAAACGAGGGGCAGAUAAAAGAGAUGUCAAUGUAAAAAUCCAUCAUCCUGAAACAAGAUUUGGUUGUUUGGCAAAAAUGAAAAUUAGUUGUAGCAAAAGUGAAAAAUAUCAUGUCAUUGAGUUUAUACCAGAACAUAAUCAUUAUCUUUGUAGUCCUCACAAACGCAUUUGUUCAGAGCACAUAGGAGAAUACAUGAAGCUCAUGUAAUAGAGAUUGAUAUGGCAAACAGUGUAGGAAUUGCACCAAAAGCAUCGCAUGAAUUUAUGGUAAAACAAGCUGGUGGACGGGAUAACUUGGGCUUUAUUCCUGAAGAUUAUAGGAAUUAUUUACGUUCAAAGAGGACAAGAGAUGUGAAAAUAGGGGAUACUGGAGGAGUGCUUGAAUAUUUACAGGGAAUGCAAUUAGAAGAUCCAAACUUUUUUUAUUCCAUUCAAGUUGAUAAAGAUGAUUUGAUGACUAAUAUAUUUGGGCUAAUGCUAGGAUGAAAGUUGACUAUGCCGAUUUUGGAGAUGUGGUUUGUUUCGAUACAACUUACAGAAAAAACUGUGAAGGUCGUCCUCUUGCACUCUUUGUUGGUGUGAACCAUCACAAGCAAACUAUUAUUUUUGGUGGUGCACUUUUAUAUGACGAGACAGCUCCGACUUUUGAAUGGUUAUUUGAUGUAUUUGCUAGCACUAUGUUAGGAAAAAAGCCAAAAAACCAUUCUGACAGACCAAGAUGCAGCAAUGGCUAAAGCAUUAGCUUCCAGAUGGCUAGAGACACAACAUCGAUUAUGUAUUUGGCACCUUUACCAAAAUGCUGCCAUACAUCUAAGUGGUGUUUUUGAAAAAUUCUCAGACUUUGCAGGUGACUUUGGUAAAUGCAUAUACGAUUUCGAAGAGGAGGAUAUUUUUGUGACUGAAUGGGAUAAAAUGCUACAGAGGUAUAAUCUUCAAGAUAAUGAUUGGCUGAAGAGAAUGUUCAAAUUGAAAGAAAAAUGGGCACUAGUCUAUGGCCGCCAGUCCUUUUGUGCUGAUAUUACUACGACACAGAGAAGUGAGAGUAUGAAUAGUGUCGUAAAAAGGUAUGUCAGCUAUAAAAAUAAUUUGCAUCAAUUUUUUGAUCAUUUUUAAAAUUUGAUUGAUAGUCAUCGAUAUGAAGAGUUAAAGGCUGAUUUCAGAGCAAGUAUAAGUACUCCUGUAUUAUCUUUUCCAGUUCAAAUAUUAAAGCAUGCAGCAAAUAUUUAUAGCCCGGAAGUGUUCAAGUUAUUUUAGAAUGAAUUAUGUAAAGCUCAUGAUAGCAGCUUACUUAUUUUUAGCGAGAUCGGAACAAUAAUCCAUUAUCAUGUCACUUCUUAUGAAAAAACAAAUCAUCAUGUUGUUAAAUAUGACUCUUUGGAUGGCACGGUACACUGUAGCUGCAAAAAAUUUGAGUGUUGUGGGAUACUGUGUUCUCAUGCCCUGAAAGUUCUUACCACAAGAAAUGUUGUCAAAGUUCCACAGCCAUACAUAAUGAAGAGAUGGACAAAGAAAGCAAAAGUUGGGGUUAUGCAAAGUCCAGGCUUGUCUAAGAGCAAUAACACACUGAAUCCGAAAGUAAUGGUGAAUAUGAGGUAUAGAAACUUGUGCAAGUUUCACAAUCAAUUGGUUACAAGAGCAGCGGAAACAGAAGAAACAUAUGAAAUAGCUAAAGACGGUCUUGUGAAGCUGUUUGAGAAGGUUAAUGAAAAGUUACAGAGCAAAAAUUUGACAUUUGAAGGCUCAAGUGAAAGGACGAAUUAUUUGAAAGAAAAAGAUCCAGCUAUUCACGAAGAAACUGGUAUAAAAGUCAAAGGAAUAAUGGCAAAAAAGAAAAUUAUUUCGGGUAAGAGAUUGAAGAAUGGAUUAGAAAAGACAUCGAGAAAGAGAAAGUCACAUAGUAGAAAAUCAGCUGCAACAACUGUGGUCUUAACUGCCGAAGUUCCAACCCUUGCUCAGGUACAUAGUUAUUUUUCAAUUGAUAAACCAUACCGGCUUUUCAUGUUUUUACUGGUAGGCUUCAGAAGAAGUCAUUCAUAGAGGAUAUAGGUUUGGACAAGAUUGUCAAGUCCAUCUAGUACCAUCAGCCAUGGGGUUGUUUGUAUGAAAAGCAAGCUUUAAUUAGAUAUUACGAUGAUAUAAUUUUUUUUUGAGUCUUGAUGAUAUAAUUAUUCUUUUAUAUUUUUUAUUUUUUAUUUUUAAGCAUGUGCAUGAAGGUCCUACUGGUAGUGGAGAUGGUUUAAACAUAUGGGAACCAAAUAGCCAACGUAUUUUGUGCCCAACGCAAUUGUCACAGGUAAUAUUUUCUUGUUUAUAAUUAAAUUUUAGUUAUUCCAAUAAUUCACUUGUUUGCAAAAAAUAGUUAUUUAAUCUAAAAUUUAAUUUUUUGUUAUUUGUGGAGACAAAAUUUCUAACCAAAAAAGAAAACAAAAAGAUCGGUUCAGGUGAUGCUAGCAUGGCUCAAGCAAUUUAUCCUGAACAAGUGACCUUCGUGCAGCCAUUUGGUUUAAAUAAGGUGUGUUUGCUAUGUUCUUCUAAUUGAGUUACUAUCAUAUGAUGCAAAACUUAUUGCAUAAGGCUUUUCAAGCACUUAAUUAUGUUCAUACCAUAAAUAAUUUUCUCUUUAUUGUUUUUUUUUUUAAAAAUAGAUUCCAGUUUUAGCUCCAAAUCAAAUGAACCAAGUUGCACAUUUUAAUUUUCUUGAAGAGUUGCAAGAUUCUAUGAGAUUGACAGACUUACUUCAGGUAACUUAGUAAUUGUCCAUUGAUAGUAUUUGAUGUUAUGAGAAUUUCAUCUCAAUAUUUUAGUACUUAUGAUUAUUUUUUCUACAUUUAUAGGUUGAAGUAGGACACAAGUUCAGUGGAUCAAGUGUCAAUAACUUUAUAGACCUUAAUGUCAUUUCCAGCCAACCGAGUUCAAGUUUAGUUGCUUGUAAUGAAAAUUGCGGCUAUCCCAUGCCAUGUCCUGGUGGUUUUGUUUGUAGAUGCACAACUGAUGGAAAAUCCGACAAUCUUUAGAAGUUUUGAAUUAUGAAUAGGCAAGGGUUUGAUAUUACAAACCAACAUGAUAGACCAUGGUUAUUCAGGUAUUAACAGGGUUUUUAGGUGUACUUAGUAAGAGUGGUUGAAAUUUUAUUAUUAUUCUCUUAUUUUUAUCCAGCAGACGAUUUUUUGAGAAUCAAAUUCCAAUAUCUAACAUUCUUAUCAACCAUGUGUGUGUUUAUGUCAACUGAUUUAGCUCUUUCUAAUUUUUUUACAUCUCAUAAUUAUGUAAAUAUGAUGAUUUAAAAUUAAUUACUUAAUAGGUUUGAGUUAUCUGUUUUAAUUGAUUUUGAGUAAACCUGUCAAUUAACUAUUAUCGGUUUGUUUGAAUUUGGGUCAACAAAACUUGUAAACCGAUUAUUAUUGAUUUUAUUUGAGUUUGGAUUAACAAAAGGCUAGAGACACGUGGCAGCUAUACAAAUAAGGGACAGAGGGAACAUGGACUAUUUUGGGGACAGAGGAUCUGAAGCCCAAGAAUGGUGGCUACUUUUUCUCCCGCAAAGUUCCUAUCUAAUCUCUACUCCUAUACGGCUGCCAAGAGAAAUAAAAGGAAAGAGUCCUACUGCUUCCCAUCCACCAUACUGUCGUUAUCAGAAGAUAAGGAAACAAUCUUCAAUUCUGCUUUCCAUUGGUCUCGUGUCUCCUGCUAUCACUCAAACUUUUUUGCUAACUACCGUCAAAUUGGCAUCUUUUUAUGAUAUUUUAUUCCACUCCCCGUAAUAAAUACAAAUUUCCAAAAGUGAGUGGAAUAUGACAAUUAAUCCAUAUUUGGUAAGGUAACAGGGGAAAUUAAUUAUAAAAUAAAUGGUAAAAUUGCAACCUAUCACACAUUAAAUCCAUAAGCCUCUCAACAAAUAAUUUAGUGGGUGAGAUCCAUGAUGGGAUAAUGGAUCUGGUUGAUUUGCAAACUUUGAACCUUUCACAUAAUCAUUUGACUGAAAGGAUCCCCGAGAAGAUUGGCAACUUGAGUCACUUGAUCUAUCAAUGAAUGAACUCUUCGGUGCAAUCCCUGAAAGCUUAUCUGCUUUAAACUGGUUGAACUUCCUGAAUUUGUCACACAAUAAGCUAUCAGGGCCAAUACCAUCAGGGAAUCAAAUUCAGACCUUAACCGAUCCAUCUAUCCAUGAAGGAAACAGUGGACUCUGUGGCAAGUCACUCCCAAAUGACUGCCUGGAACAUAAAUUGCCUACGGAAAAUGGGCAAAUUCAUGAUGAUAUAGGCCACGACAAGUCUAAUUGGUCUUGGUUUUAUGCUGGUAUAGGACCGGGUUAUGCUGUCGGGCUAUUGGGAGUUUUGGGAAUCCUUAUUACGUGAUUGAAGACCAGAAAUUUCCAUUCCUUAACUUUUGGAACUUUUUAUCUUAAAAACUAGGUACCAAAACUUUAGUUGCUUUCUCUAGAUUCUCUCUUUCUAUUGGCAAUUAUUUUUACUCUCUCAAAAGUUUGAUUUCUAAUAAUUCUCCUCUAUUCUUCAUAUUUACAUUGCAUUUUCCUAUGUUUCUUUACAUUCCAUACUAUGAGAAUCUUAUUGAUUUUUAUUUACAACCGAUUAUAAGGAUGAUAGGAUGUGAAAUAAUUAUUUUUCUGUUCGCAUUAGAAUGCAUUAAUAAUUAUUUUUGCGUCAACAGAUUUAAACACUUUAGAAGAAUUCUAUACUUGUUUAUGCUAAUAAUUGAUUUAGUUGUUUAAUUUCUAAUUGAUAUACAUUCUAGCUUUUCUGCCAACAACUCUUAUGAAUUACCAACUAAUGAUUUUCAGGUAUUACAUUAAUUCUACCCACCUAAGUUUCAUUCUCGAAACUUAAUUUGACCAGAUUAGCAUAAAAACAAACUGCCCUUCCAAUUAUAUCACUUUACAUGAACAACUAUUAAUUAAACUACUAGUAUUUAGGGCACACACCAAUGUGUGUACACCUAAUAAAAAAACAUAUUAUUAAAAUUUUGAGUAAAUUUGUUGAAAUCAUUUUCAAAGGAAUUGGUUUUAUAUUUUUGACAUUGAGGAUUGGAAAAUUCAUGAAAAUAAGUGUACAAAUAGAUAGUUAUUUAGCAGUAAUCCAUAUCCAUAAUCGAUAGUUGAUUAUUGGGUAGCUAGCAAGGGUAGUUAAAAAAUAAUAUAAAAUGACAAAAUUUUAUUUAUACCAAAAGCCCUCUCCCCCUUGAUAUAUUUACAACAAAAGCUUUCUCCACCUUUACAGAGAGCAUAGAUACUAUUUACUCAAGGACAAUUCAUGUCCCCCCCCUCUCCUUCCCCUCCUCGCCUUUUUGGUCAAUCAUCAACUCUUAUUACUACUCCUACUCUAACCAAUAUUAGGACCAAUGGGGCUGGAGGAAGAAGAUCUCACCUGUAUAUCAAAGAGGUUCACUAGGCCAAAGAAGGGUUGCUUCAUGUUCAAAUCCGCUAUUCUUUUUACAAGGCCAUAGAAAUUUCAAACACCUGAUGCCCAUUUCGUUUCCCUAGCGCUAACAUAAAUCCAAACAUCAACAAGUAAUUCGACUUAAUUAACCUUAUUUUCAUUUGAACUUUAGUUAUUUCUAAAGUGAUAAUCAUGUCUUACUGUUCAUUAAAGUAAUAUACUAUCAACUAAAACUUCACUAGUAUAUUCCGUGCUCUCAUUUUCUGAUUUGCCAGAUUCUCAGUUGCACCCUGAAUUUAUUUCAUACUACAUGCCAUCACAGUGGAUCUAGAAAUAUUAUAACAUAACCACCUAGAAAUUUCUUCAAGAUAUAAUCCUUUUCAAUAACAUCACCCACUCAUGAUUUUCAAUCUAGAAUUACCUGUAGUUUUAAGAUUCAAAUCAAGUGAUCAUAAAGCCAUGUGAGAAACACUAAUGAACAUAAAUUAAAUUUCUAACUCAUCGAUUGCCAUAAAUGGUCCUAUUAGAAACUAAUUCUUGCAACCAAUAAUUGGUAGAUAUGCAAUAAAAAUGUGUCCUAGGCCUCCUAAUCUUCUAAACAAACAUGUAAGAGUAGAAGGGGUUUCAUGAACAUCCUCCCAAUGAGGAAUGUAAUAUGAACGGAUCCCAAUCACGAAUUAAAGAUUCGUGAAAAAAGAGAUAAACUCUAAAAAAUUGGGCAAUUCCAAUAAAGUUUGAUAAAAGUUGAUAAGAGAAUGAGAUAUUACUUAGACCCUAUUUGGCAAAUAACUCCCAAUAAAUAUUUGGGUGAAACUUAGGUCUCGUUUGGCAAAUAAGUUUUUUGAGUGUUUGUCUAAAAUUUUAUUAUAACUUACUGUAAAAAUUGUAGGAAAAAAUUUUAAAAUGAAAAGCUUUUUUCUUUUCUUUUUAUUUCUUUUGCUUUUUUUUUCUUUCUUUCUUUCUUUGUUCUUUUCUUUCCUUUCUUCUUCUUCUCCCUUUCCCGUCACCUGCCAUCUCUCCCUUCCAGUUGGAACAAGAAUUUUUUUUGCACUUUUCUCUCUCCCCUCCCCUCUCCCCCUCUUUCUCGGGUGCUUUCUAGUCGUGUGACUAGAUCGGGCAAAGGGGUAAGGGAAGGGUGGUGGGGGAGGGAGAAGGUGGGAGAUAGGUGGUGGGGAAGAGGGGAGGAGAGGGGGAGAGGAGAGGAAGAGGAAGAAGAGAGAGAGAAAAAAAAGAGGUGGCCUUCGGUGCCGGUCGAUCUUGGCCGGCCGUGAGGUGGUGGUGGGUUGAGGUGGAAGUAGAAAGGAGGAAGAAAAUUUUUUUUGUGUGUUUUGAAUAUUUUGAAGUAUGUAUUGAGGAGUUUUUGAGAUUAUUGUAAUUAAAGUUGUUAAAAAAUUAGAAAACAAACUUAACCAAAAAUUCAUUUGCCAAAUAGGCCAUUAGUUCUAGGAAUGCUUUGAAAAUCCUUGUUAGAGGGAUAGUGAAAUUCUUGUUAUCCAUUAAUAUCUAAGGUCAUGUUAUUCAAUAAUUGUAAUUGUGAAAAUUUUUCUCUUUUUUGAUUGAUUUUUAUUCAUAAAUUCAAGCUAUUAUUCAAAUUAUAGUAAUUUAUUGAUGAAUUUGGAUUAUUUAUUGUUGAAUUUGCCUAGGUUUAAAGUUAAUUGAAGAUGCAUAAAAGUUUCAUAAAUAAGGCAGCCCGUUUCGACAUUGCUUUCGAUGAUGUGUGCAUUAUGUUUGUGAACUUUAAUGACACAAAGGGGCAAGCUACUCCUACUUCUGCUACUUAUUUUGCAUUUGGGGACGAGUCCUGCAUCUCGCGCGGGAGUUGAUACCGGCGUAAUAAAAUAGUAAUCCAAUAUGCAAUUAACGAAUUUCUUAUGUUUAGUUAAGAAGAAAGCGGAAGAAAACAAGAAUAUGAGAACAGAUGGAAAUUAAUGCAAAACAAAAGGAAAAAGAAGGCAAAUUACACUGUAUUUCCUAUGAUUUAGUAUUUUUGUACAUAACGAUCCUAUAAUUUUAAAAGUUAUAUAUAAUCCCCUCAUAAUUUGGAUUAAAGUAUCAAAAUAAUAGAAAUAAUCAUUCGUAAAGGAACAUAUAAAAAUGUCGAAAUUACUCUUAUUUAAAAACUCAAAUGGUUGAAGUAAUCAACAUAUAUAAACAUAAUAUGCAUGACACUCUUACCCCGUACGAUUUUAUAUUUUAUGAUAUAACCCCCUUAUGAUUUAAUGUUUUACUAUAUAACUCCCUUAUUGUUUUCACUAUAUGUACAUAACUCGCUUGUAGUCAAUAGAUAAUUUUCAACUUUAUAUAGGGGCAUUUUUUAUAUUUUAAUUGAUUCCAUUAUAAAUUACAAAUUUCGUUACUUUGAUACUUUAAUUCAAAUCAUGAGGAAAUUAUCUAUAACUUUUAAAAUUAUAAGAAGGUUAUGUACAAAAAAAAUACUAAAUUAUAGGGGGAUAAAAUGUAAUUAGCCUGUAUGCAGCAUCCCGCCCUUUUCCUGUCACUGGAUUGGGAGGACUGUAGUAUGAAAGGCUGCAAGCAACUGUAGUACAAUACUACUACUUCAUCAUUGUUAGCUAGUGUUAUUAUUGAUUUGGUAGUAGUAUUCCUGUCACUUUUGCUGCAUUAAAUAACCUUAUUAAUCAAUUGUCACUUGCGAGAAAGCUUGAUAAAAAAAAAAAUCAUCUCCUAAAAUAAGUUGGCUGUGACAGGAAUGGGAGAGGGGUAAUGACAAUCGUUAGUAGAAUCGUUUCGAAACGAUGUAAAAGUGAAUCAACAGGCAAGUUAUCAAAUAUUUGUAAUAAACUCUUAAAACACACAUGUUAUAUACUUAAACUACUGUUCACGACGACCCUCCAAGUUAGCCAACCUUUACAACAUGAAUUUUUAUGUUAUUGGAAUCUGAGUCAUGAACCUUCCGGAACGUUCAUCAAUCUAACAAAAACACUUGCCUUGUUGUAAAGUAAACUAGAAAAAUUGCCGAAUAAUAAACUAAAUACCAUCCGUUAGCCAACCACAAGUGAUUCUUAGACUGUUUAUUCCAACAAAUUGCCGAAUAAUGAUAUAAUGAAGUAUGUAACUACUUUUUGCUGCUGUUUAAGGGAUUCAGAUUUUCUAGUGUCGGCAGUGUACACUUAGUGGUGGCUGCACUUAGUGGUAGCUGAUGAGUAGGUUUUGAAAUUAGAAAGAUAGAUUGAAUAGAUGAUACAUGUUUUCAUCGAGUGAUAAAAUUUACUAUGUAUUCUGUAGUUAUUGUUGUAGUAUCUAUUUACAUAUUUUGUCUUUAACAUUUAAUAUUUACGUCAAUUAUAUUCUGUAGUUGUUGUUGUAAUGAUUUCCACGAAGACUUCAAGUCAUCGUGAGCUAUUGUUCCGAAUUAACCCUUGAGGUUCUUGCGUGAAUAUGUUUGUACUGGAGAACGAAUAUGUAUAUCUAAUGGUGAUACAUAGGACAACUGAACGAAAAAUACUCAGAAACAAAACCAUGAUCUUCGCGCUAUAUAACAUAUGUUUUGCUGAAGAACAGACAGAAAUUCAAAAUCAAACCCGUACGAUUGAGCUUCAUGCGACAAUUUUAUUUAAUGUGGGCAUGGAUAACCAACCCAUUGUUUAUUUAUUUACCAUUUUCGUCUCCGGCAUUAACAAGCAGGAGUACAUUUGAUUUCAUCCCUCCUUCAGUAGAUAGCGAUCGAGAGGAAGGAACUGAUCAGGCAGCACGAGCAUAGGACCGUAGCAGGGAUUGGAAAUUUACCUCGUGAUGAAGGUAGGGGAAAACCAUGAUGCCUCCAUAAACAGGAGAGUUCUGCAGAUAGGGAAGAACAUAAUAAACUAGCACAUUAGGUGGGAUGUAACCGCCCUCAGGUGCGAUAUCUUUUGAGAUAGGUAUUCCCAGGAACAAUAGAUUAACGCCUGGAUAAUCAGACCAAUUGUCCCAGCUCCGGAAGAGGAGACUGGUAUCGUUUGGAGGCUUAAACUGACAAGAUGGGUUGUCGAAAAAUUCCACCCGCACCUGAUCAACGACACCAGUUCUGAUAGUUGUGUCAAGAGCAGGGUCAGGAAUAGGACAUUCCGCAGCUACGGCUAAGAUGACAUUUGGGUAUCCCUUAAGUGCCCGAGCAAGAUCAUCCAAGUAAGUCGUGUUUCCGCUGUGGAUGUGAAGCUCUACGCCAUCUAAAACAGCUGUGCCGAAUGGACGGUCGCUUGAUUCACCGCCUAAGUAAGUGUUCCAGACAAAGGCUGCCACUUCUUGCGCAUCUUCGACGGAAGAAAGCCUCGGUUGUCCUGCGAGAGAAAUAAACACUUUGGUCUGAUGUUUCUGGCAAGAUUCUAUGUCUGAUGAGCUCGGCAAAGGAUGAAUUAUGUUCAAUUCAGGCAUCUGGCCGCUGCCAAAAUCUUCCAGAAAGGCAAUAUUCACGUCGGUAGCGAAUUCUCGCCUGCAGAACUCAGCCAAACUUGAUGGUUCUUUAUGGCCUCGGCCCCAGUAUUGGACAAUUCCGGCAGCUUCGGAGGACCCAAUCAGAGAAGCAAUCAACAGGAAUGUUAUUGCUGAGAACAGUGGUUGCAAAGAGGCAGCCAUUUUUUUUCUCUUUCUUUUCAGUGAUUUUUGCAGCUUUGCUUUGGUGAGUUCACUUGCACAAUGACUGACCAUUUUAUAGAUGAGUUUAUCUCAAGUGGAUGUUCAGCAUCUAGAAUAUCCAAACAUCCGUACAACAAAACGUGAAUGGCACGAUUUCUCAUUUCUGCUCUCAAAAAGGUGAAUGGUAUUAUUUUUGUGUUUCAAUAUUGCUAGAGACUACCGUUGUGCUCGCCUAACCUCAUCCACAACUGGACGAAGAAAGAUCUUUUUCUUUCUUUUUUUUUUCUUUUGGGACAUUACAUGGCAGCUAGGGGGGGGGGGAGUGGAUCCUUGAGAUUAAUGGGAAUUGAAUCAUCAUUGAAUUAGACGAGUGGUCCAAACAUCCUCUAAAUUUUAGAAGAAAUUGCAUAUCAAAUGAUAAUUGAUGAAAGAUAAAAUUCGAACCUCGAUAAGAGAAAACUAGGAGUCUUGUUUGAAAUGUAAAAUUUUCAUGAACAUUCUUGAAGUAAAAAGAGUGCUCAAGUAGCCUACGAAAUCCUUCAACUAUGGUACAAUAAAGUGAAAUGGGUGCCUUUCAAUGUGCAAUAAUGGUAGGGGCAACUAUUCUUCUAACUGCUGCUUCAAAUGCAAUUUUUAAUUUACACUUUUUACCAUCUCUCUAUAUCUUUAAAAAUUAAAGUAACCUGCACAACAUGCCCUUACUAUGUGCACAAAUAUUCAUACCGAUGUGCAAAACUUUGGAAUGGUCCUAGUUGUAUAUAUUAGUAAUAGUAGAAAUGUAAAGUUCAAUACUUCCACCUCAAAAGUAACUGCAAAAUAUGUCAGUUGGAAUGAUCCCAUUUAAAGUUCAGAUCACCCCUUAUUUAAUUAUGUUAAGUUCUUAAUAUUUUCCCAUUCAAUCCUUCAUUCAACAGCGGUGAUGGUGCUGUGACGUUUGGUCUUAAGCAAGAAAAUUUUUUUCCUCGCCCUCAGUGUGAAUGUGACUCUCAUAUAUAAAUAAUCUCAUAGCAAAACAUGUUCUUACUGAUCGCAGAAGUGAAGCUUGUACACAGGAAUGUAUAGAUUCCAGUUACAUCCAACUAAUCACUGUUUAAGCAUACGAAUUAGCCAUCACGGGCUAAGACACAGAGGCAAUUCCAGUUGGUUCUAGAUAAAGGGAUCUUCCUCUAACCUGCUGUCACAUCCUUUACAGGAGCCAAGACAGCAGGAACUAUGUCCACAGCCGAGAUAUGUCUCUGCUGAAACAUAGCCAAAUUCCUUGCUGUCCAUAGCUAGUAUAGGCUCAAAACCCUCUUCUCUUUCUUUGCUUCUUAAAUUCCACCCUUCAAUCCUAUGCUACUCAUCCUAUUUUUUAAGAAUUUUAAUUUAUUUAUUUUUUAAAAAAAUUGAUUCAUGUCUUCUGUUUGGAUCCAUGUCUUUGCUGCUUUUAAUUCCUUAAUUUAACGUAGCCCCAAACACGGCAUAUAAUAGUCACUCUCUUAAUAAAUGCAAUUAAUUAAUCAUACCAAAUAUAACGUUUGGAUUAGGUAUUGUAGCACACCUUAGUUUUAUUCUGUUCCCUAUUUUACUUAGUUUCAAACAUGCCCUAUAAUAAUCAACCCUCUAAUGAUGCAAUUAAAUAAAUAUACCAAAAAUAUCUAUACAUAUUUGAAACUAAACAUAAUUGUAUCCAUAACAAUCAAUAUAAAAAAUUAACUAAAAAACAAUCUUUGACUAACAUAAACUAAUAAUCUAAGUUCUUGUCCUCCAAAGAAAUAACAAUAUUCCAAAUCAUAUAAGUUGAACAGCUUAGCAAAUUAGCAAAAUUGACUAACAAACACAACACAAGGUUACAAAAUAUUCAACAUUUCUGUAUUCUUUUUCUAACUAAAAUUUACAAAUCAUACCCAAAAAAAGAACUAAUCUAAGUUCCUAUCCUCUAAAGAUAUAACAAGAUUCCAAAUCAUAUAGUUGAACAAUUUACCGAAUUAGCAAAAUUGACUAAAAAAAUACAAAAAGAGAACAACAAAAUUUUCAAUAUAUUUUGUAGUGCUUUCCUAAAUAAAAUUUAAAAAUCAUACCCAAAACAUAAAAAAAAAUGAAAUAUACUUAUCAGAUACUUCAAUUAUUAGAAUCAUCAUGCACAGAAAAUAAAAAAAAAUAGCUCUAAAUUUCAGCCCAGACCUAGAUCUAAAAUUGGACCUGAAUUAUAUAUAAUCGGACAUUAUUCAUGCUAUUAGAAUUGAUAGAUUUUGUUCGAGCAUAAAAAUGAAAUAUAAUAUUUUUACCUAUUCUUUUGUUACACAAUCAAAAUUAAAAUUAUGUUAUAGUUAUGACUAAAAGAAAUGGAGAAGUAUAUUUUGCAACUACUUAAACUUUUUAUUUAAACUAAAGACAUAUUGAAACUAGGAAAAUUAGUUUAGAAAAGAUAAUAUGAAAAUAAUGCACAAAAUUUGGCUCUAUAGAUGUAGCAUCUACAGAAAGGACGAUUUGCAUUUAGGGGUUGCGGGGAUAUGGAAAAGUAGCAUGGAAUGGGGUUGAUGCAAGGUAGAGUAUGAGGACAAGGGAAGAAGGAAGUAGGAAAGUGGUGAUGUGGGGGGUCGUAGGAAAAGUUAAAGGAAGCUAAAUUUACGCAAUGAUACUAAACUACUUAAAGUUUGAAAUUCCAAUUGAAAAUAUUAAUAUUAUGAAAAUUAGUUUAGGAACGACAAUUCACAAAAAUUACACAAAGUAUGGCUCCAUUUUGAUGGGUUACUUUUAGAAAACUUUCAUAAUGGGAAUAUUCUUUUAAAAUCUUUAUAUGCAGUAUUUUUUGGGUCUUUUUUGAAAAUUUUUGGUAUGUUUUCAUUGAUGGCAUUGAGUAUACUUAAAAAUGGUAGGUAAGUAAUAAAAUGAGUCUCGGGAAUAGAAAAAGAUAGUUGGCAAUGGGAGUGUAGGUAGCAAUUGGUAAAGAUUUAAGUUGACUAAGUUUACUUAACAAUAUUAAAUUUACUAUGAAUUAAUCCUAUAUACACUGAUAGUGUAUACGCUAUCAUUAUUAGAUAAAUGAUAUAUGUGCAAAAUUUGAAUUUAAAAUUCAAAAUUUACUCAUAUGUCAUCCAUUCAAUCGUGAUAGUGUAUAUAAAAUUUAUUCAUUUAAGUUAUAGAAAUAUUAGAUUUACAUUUUAUUAUCACUUUAUGAGAUUAAAUUUACUUAACAAUAAAAUUUACUUAACGAUAUUAGUUUCAUAUUUCUAUUUUACCUAUUAAAUUUACUUAAUAAUAUUGCUGUAAGUCCUAGAGCUGUUAAUUGAGUCGAGUAUUUGGCUGCCGAGCUCGACUCAAGUUUAAUUCAAGUCGAGCUCGACUCGAGCUCGUUAGGAAAACGAGUUUUAAAAUGUGUUCGAAUUCGAGUCGUUAAAUGUACAUGUGGCUCGACCAAUUUUUAUAUCACUCGUGUCCUCAUCAAAAUGGGUGCCCGUCAAAAAAAAGUCUCUGCGUGAUGCAGAGAACCUCUGCGUAAGUGUAGACUUUUCACAAUUCCACGUGUAUGGAAUUUUUUAGACAUCGACCGUACAGACGUGGAUUGGUUUGAUACAGUCAGGGAUUUAAAGGUCAAAUAUCAUUUGGAAUGAACGGUUCCUGUAGCUGAUAGGAGGACACGCCUCCCAAGGGAGAUUUCCUCAUACGGAAUAUCUUUCAUUUUCCAUGGCGGAUUGAGACUUCCAUCGUCCACUUGUCCCCACCUUACCCGUCGCCAAGUUUUUCCACACAACUAAUCAUUCCGAUAUCUUUAAUUGAAUGGGGAUAUCUUUUGCAUUUGUCUUUUGUGCUGUUACGUAUAAAAUAGUCGAGUUGAGUUAUUAAAGUUUUUUAUUUUAAAUGAAAGUUUUAAUUGUGCUGUGUAUUUCUGGAUUUUAAUAUAUGUUUUUAUUUGUCAUUAAAGCAAUAAUUCGUUAAUGAAUUAUGUUUUAUUAUGAAAAAAAAAGAGAAUAGAUACGUCAAAUAAUCUACUGAGCACCUAGUAGUAAGUAAUACAAUAAAUAUUGUUGAAGAUCUGCACUCUUGAUUGGCCUAUCUGUGUUGCAUUUCCUGACCAAACUGUAAUUGAUGGAAUUUAGAUCCGAUCAAGGAUUACUCGACAUAAAGGAGAAUAAUUGCAAGAUCAUUUGCUUAGCAAAGUAUGUGGAUCCCACUCCGUACGUUUUGUCGGCUUACUCUUGGAAAUGGACUAUUCCAUCCAACCGGCUUUUACCCGAGAGGUAAUUCUGACAUCAUUUCACAUAUUUUCUGGGAAAAUUUUUAAGUGGUUGCUUUUUUUUUUUUUUUGAUUGAAACGAUAGAAUUAAGUGGUUGUCAUUCUAUCAACAAUUUUCUAUAGACAUAGAUAAAUGAUGCUUUAUCUGAACUUUUUUUUUCCAGUAAUAAUACAUUGUAUAAUCUACUUUAUCCUAAUUUAAAAAGAAGGAAAGCCUAAAGAGGUUUGUGUUAGAGGUUAGUAGGUAUAUAAACUCAACUAAACUAAGAAAGUGUUAUGACACUACCCUUACAUUUUUUUUUACUGUCAAUAAAGUUUGAACCCUUGCCUACAGUCCAAAAGGGACUUAAGUCCAUAAGCUCAGUGGCUUGAAGCUUCAUCUGAACUUAGCUUUUGUGAAUAUUAUUCGUGUCACGUGACUGCAUUGGAUAAGCUUAUUAUCAACUGCCACUUGUACUAACUGACAAGCUCUUAUGUAGUUGAGAGAGAGCCUGAUAAAUAAAUUAAAGUGACGGUCAUGGUAAAUUUCUUCUCAUGAUCCGUGAAUGGAGUUAAUUGUUGCUGAAAUACUCUCUCCGUUCCACUUUGAUAGUUCUGUAUUUCUUUUUUAUCUAUCCCAAAUUAUAGUUCACUUUCUAAUUGAAGAAUGUAAUUGUAUUUUAAUUUUCCUAAAAUAUUCUUAUUUAAUGUAAGUAGUUGUUACUAUAAACCUAUCUCAUUUAAUGAGAGUUGAUUCUUUUUUUACCAUCAAUUUAAGUUUUCAUAAAAUUAUACCAUAUUUAAUGUGGGGGUAUUUUAGAAAAAUAGCAAUUUAAAUUUACUUUUCCAACAAAGUUAACUACAUUUUCUUAAACUGUGUGAAAAAAGAAACAGGACUAUCAAAAUGGAACGGAGGUUGCAGGAAAAAGGGGCGGGAAUGAUUGUCAACAGAACCUUUCUUGAACGGUGUAAAAGCGGUUCAACGAGUUGCGUUAAUUCGCCAUCAGCUUGCAAACCCUUAGAAUAUAAUGUUAGCUACUGUUCAUAUUGUCCCGUACUGCCAUGCUUCAUAUUGAGUCAUUACGAAUAAAAGCCCUAACGUUUCAAUGUCUGGACUAAGUAUAUAAAGUGAUAAAGUAAGAACCAAAAUCUAUCAAGCGUAUUAUCAUUCUACUAACAAGAACUGGACUUGAUUAAUGAUAAUUAUAAUGCCAUAGCUUUCAACUGGUUCCAAGUGAGAACUUACAAAAAGUAGUUCAACUCAAUGACAGCUCCUGUACUAAUACUUGUCACCAAUCCAUAAGCCCUGACGUCACAAAGAGGAAAAGUAAAAGGCAAAUAAGUAGCAACUCGAAUCCGAACUCGAGUUGAGCUCGGUCAAUAUCAAAUUCGAAUUGACCAAAUCGAACUCAAAUUUGAAAAUAUUUAAUUUGUUAGCUCGCGAGCCAACUCGAUUAUAUAAAUAUAUAUAUUAUUUUUUAUUUUAUUAGUAAAAUAUUAUAUAUAUAUCACUAAUAUUUUAUUAUUUAUUAAGAAAAAUUAUUAUUUUAUUUAUUUUUAAAAAUAAAAUAAUUUUUUUUAUUUUUUUAAGCUCGACCUUGAGUUGAAACUCGACUCGAACUUUACAUUUUGAGUUCGUUGAACUCAAAUUCGAGUUUGCGUUUCAUAAAAUUAAAUUGUGAUUCAAUUCGAUUAGGUCAAAACUCGACUCGACUUGACUUGUCCCGUUUCGUUUGCACCCGGAAGGAAGGACCUUAGUAGUGAUUCCUAUCAAUUUCUUUGAUUUAAGGUUUCAGUUCUGCCUGGGAAAAGGUGAAGAGGCACCACUAGCAUGGCUGUAGACCUAGUAGCUACAAUAAAGGCAUCAAGUUGCCCCGCCAAAAUCCGGCCAACCUCCAUCGCCAAUUAACCAAAAGAUAUUUUUAUCAUAGCUAAUAUUUGAGAAUAGGCAAUAAGGGAUAACCUAAGAUUAGUAAGUAGAUUUUUGACUAAAGGAGGAGAAGGCAUUUGGAGAGGUAGGCAUGCUUUUUUUUUUUUGUCGGUAACGGUAGAUAUCUUAUAACCUAAUCUAGGCUAAUCUAGGGGAGAGGGGUAAGGGGAGAUGGUCAAUUAAAAUCAGCCACAUAUUGUGGUAAAAUUUGAAAGAGAUAGGGAUAGAAUUCCUAACCUCCAAUAUCACCAAAGAGGGUGAUGAUCACUGGACCAAAUGACCGUGACAUUUGGAGAGGUAGCAUGCAGUUGAGCAACUUUAAGAAAAUGCUCGAGAUGAGGAAGACGAAGAGAGGCGAAAUUUCCUAGCUAGGGGAGAAUCGAUCGGGUGGCUUCAACCUUAUUGGUCCAUGAAUUUCUUUGACCCAUGGCCCUUCACGCGGUGUCUUCGUACGUCUCGCACUGGUACUAGACUACUAGGUUGUUUAUCGGCCGAUAAUUUGAUUAAAAAUUCAAUUUUUUUUUUCAAUUUUUUCAACAAUGUCAACAUCCAAUUACCGUUCAAACUUUUAUUUAGUAAUUGGAUAUUGCAAAUUGGAUUACGACCGAAUAAUUAGUAUUUCAGUAAAAUAUCCAAAGUUUUAGAUUGAUUUUCUAAUAUAUAUUAGUUAAGUAUAUUUAAUAUGUAAUUAAUAAUGUAAAAGGUUAUUAAUAUGUUCAUUAAUAUGGUUUUAAGGUCAUAUAUUUGUCUAUAAACAUAUAUUAUAACUUAUAACACUAUUGAUUGAUACAUCAAUAUGCAAUAUGAUAUAUUAAUAGGCAUGAAAUAUAUAAAAUAUUUAAUUAAAAUAUGAAAUUCGGUAACUCAGUCGGUGGUAAUCGAAAAUUCGAGAAUCGAAAUUCAAUAUCAAAUGACAAACUGUUUUGCCAAAAUUUAAAAUUGGAUCUUAAUCGGUUUUUCCAAAUUUCAUUUUACCGACAUCCGAUUUUCGAUCUAAAUUGAAUCAAUUGAUUAUUCGAUUUUUCUUUUUUUUUUUUUUUGGAAGUGCGAGCACCCUUAGCUCGCUGGUACCGGGGUAGCCAGCCAAAUUACAAUUGACCAGCUGAAUUGACAAAUCCUGAAAUCCAAUUCCAGUCUCUUUCUCGUCUUUAUAGCAGUCUAUCGCAAAAGAUUUCUCGUCUUUAUUGUUCCGUGCUUCAACCGGUAAACUUAGACGGCGAUGGGUAUCUAUUUGGGCAGGGAAACACCAUGCAUUUAGGUGUCACUGCAUGACGUGCAGGAAAAGUUAUCGUGCGGGCCAUGACUUGAACUCAUCGUGCUCACUAGCUAUUGGCUACUGCAUCAAACACGUACCCCAAAAAGGAACAAGAGAAAAAGGGUAUCCAAUGGAGCAUUUCUUUCCUUUAGUAGUUUCUAGCUAAUUACUUUUCUUUUCAUCAGCCAAAUUCAAUUAGGUGAGAUGAUUCCUCGAAACUACUGAGCCAAGCUCAGGGGCCACCCACUUUAAGUGAUUCCGAGACAGGUAAAUAAUGCGUUCGUAGUCUAGGUCAACGGUGAUUCAAUUUUUAUCGAUUUUUUUGGACUAUUUUAGAUUCCUCUCCUAAUAUAAAAUAAAUAUAAAUCUAUCAUAUCCGAAAAAAAAAAAGAGAUGCUUCCUCGAAGUUUAAUAGUAAAAAAAAGUGGACAAUAGUAGAAACCCAAAGUUUCACAAUCUUUCAUUUUUUUUGGUUCUGGGGGUUUGGCUGUAUGUUACGUGUGUCGUCGUAUCAAAAUUAUACCAUAGUGAUUUAUCAUUUUGAUCGACGGGACAAAAUGAUAUUUUAUUAGGAGAAUGUUAUAAUCAAGUAAAUAGUAGAACUCCCAUCCCUAAGUGUCUAAUUAAUACAGACACAAACGGAGGUGUGAUUGUAAUCUAGAAACUAAACCAUAUACCACAUAAGCGGAGCAAGUGGAAUCUACUAUUCACCCUCUUUUUUUUUUCAAAAACGAAAAAGAAGAAAAAAAAAACUUGUUUGUUUAAGGGUGUAAUUGUAGUUUAAUAUGAGUUUCAAUUUUUCCCCCAAAAAACUAAUUCUGUCCCUCAUGUGUAGAUCAUUGUAUUGUCAUAAAAAAAAAAUAGUUUAUUUCCUUAUCUUAUAAAUCAUAACCUAUCAAGUUUUGCAUAUUGCUGGCCAAAAUUAAUUUUUUUUUUAUUAUUUGUUGAUAUUUUAUGAAACAUUCUCUCAUAUCCAACUAUAAACAAAACAGGAGGAGGAGUUGCGGUGUUAAAAUUUUGUGCCAUCUUUUACAUUACCUUUUUUGUUCUUACACUAGGGUAAAAUGGCCUAACCAUAUUCAAAAAUUACUUUUUCUAGUUUUAUGUGGAAUUUUUAGCUUUGUUGCUAAUCAUUAUAAUUAAAGGUAACUAAUGAAAAAUAACUACUCGUAUUUUCACCAAAGAUUAUAAAAACAAAAUUUUUUUCAACAUGUAAAACUGAUUUCUAGAAAACUACUUUUUACAACUAAAAAUUAUAACUAGGUUAGGACUGAUUUUUUUGGAUCGUAAUGUAGGUAUCAAUAUCAAACUAAAUCCAAAUAAAAAUGAAUCAGUGUUUCCAUUUUAAUUUGUAUGUCACCAAGGAUUUCUCCCACAAGCACGCAAUGAUUUUCCACCAUGAUUUCAAAUUUGAAGACUUUUAAGUUGUCGUCGUGUUAAUAUCAACUUUGUAUAGUAUAGUGUAUAGUUCCUCCCUACUUCCUACAACACAGAACUACUUCCUCCCUACUUCCUCUCUACUGCUUUCUAGCUUUUCUGUCAAUAACUCUAUGAACUACUCAUUAAUGAUUUUUAAGUAUUUUUGAACCAUUGAUUAUGGUAGCUGGAUAAAUUCUUAUAGUCAUGUAAUGUUGAUAUACGUUGCAUCUCCUGGAUUAGUUUUCUACCUCCUUCACCAUUGCAAGAAGUAAUGAUUUGGCAAUUUGUAUAUUUCAGACUAGACAGACUUGACUUUAAUUUCCAUAUAUCUUUUUCUUGUUAUAAAUAUUGAACUUUAAUUUUUUUCUGAAAUUGCAAAGAGAAAACUACAUUUCUCUAUUUUUUUAAUAUUGCCACAAAAUCUGUAGAUUAUUAUUGAACAAUAUAAAAGAAAUAAAAUAAACUAACUUAAAGCUAACAUAUAUGUGCCACAAAUAAUUUUACAGCCAAGAUAGAGGUUGAUGGUAUGUGAUAAGAAGCCCUUUCCAGAUACGCCUUCCAGGAGAGAAUUGAAGUAAUGGGAACGAAGUUAAAUUGGCAUUGUAUCUACUGAUGGAACUGUUAGAAUCGCGUCACAAUCACUACCAGUAACUCAGCCUAUGAUUUGUUGUUCCUCGAAAAUUGUUAUCCAUAUUAAAGUUCGAAAAACAAUUUAACCAAAUCGUAUGGAGUACUAUUCAUCCAUUUUUUUGGUCUUUACUUUAACAGCACAACUUAGAGACAUUAUUGAGUUUCUGCAAAUUCUUUUGUCAAAAAUGGCCCAAGGAUGAUUUUUAUUUGAAAACUACAAUAUUUUUGGUCUCUUAGCUUUUCAAAUUGUCUAAAAUAAUGCUAGAUUUCUGCUCUAGAAUACUAAUUUAGUCUUUCAAUUGUCAACUAUUGCACUGAAUUUUCACUUAUUUAGGAGGUGGCUGGGGAGAGGGGAGGAGAGCGAAGAGGGAGAAGGAGGAGUGGAGAGGAGAGAGAGUUAGGGAGGAAGGGAGGGAGUAAGAAGGGGAAAAAAAAAAAGAGGACUCCGCCGGCUACCGCGAGCAGUGGGGAGGGAAGGAGGAGGAAAAUCAAUGAGGUGGAGGAUAUGAAGAGGAAAGGAAAGAAAAGAAAAAGAAAAAAGAGGAAAACUUUUACACAUUUAAAUAAGUUUUUUAUUUUAACAAAUUUUACAGUAAGAUACAGUAAAAUUAUAUACAAACAUACAAAAAAUUCAUUCGCUAAAUAGGGCCUACAUAACACACAACCUGGUAGUACCAAUCACUAUUUCAGUACACAAAUAAUCAAGAGUUAAAACACACAUGAGGCAAGCCAAGCUCCCAAGCCAAUUCGCAGCUGGUUCUAGUCAAAGGGAUCUUCCUCUAACCUGCUACCACAUCCCUCGCAGAAGCCAACACAGAGAAAGUAUGUCCAUAGCCGAGACGUGUCUAUGCUGAAACAUAGCCAAAUUCCUUGAUCUCCUUAGCUAGUAUGCCACAAUUUUUGAGAGAGAGAGAAUUAUAUUUGGAAGUGACUGAAUUCCAAGAUUACAUGCAUCUAUCAGAAACUAAUAUUGUUUUGUGGAUACGAAAUUCAAAAAUCUAAAGAAGUAGGUCAUCUUUGAAUAAUAAAAACUAAAGGGCAUCCACACUUUACAUAUGAUUUAGACUAAAUAAUAAUAAUUUGCCAUAAUCAACACGUUGGAUGAUGCAAUUGGACGUUCAAAAAGAAUCAAAGAUCAAGCGCAAACGUGUUGGUACUAUAUUAUGAAUUGGUUUAACAUUAAUUUGCCUGUAACCUCCUAUAGAACUCACCAAACUAAGCAUAAAUGCAUGGGGCCCAAGCACUAAUUAUUUGAGCAAGAUUAUUUCCCACUUUGUGUGACGACAAAAAGAAUGUGGGAAGUUCUGUAGUCAUGUGAUAUAGAUCAAGGUAGCAUCUUCCAAGGAGCACUUCCUGAGUUCCUGUGGCCGAUACAAAUACAACGUUGUUGAACUAAUCCCCAAAGGACCUCUUCGUGUUGUCGGUUUUGCCAAUGUCUCGUCUGUAUCACCUGUUUACCUCCAUUCAUGUAUAGUUGCCAUUGUGUUCGUUCUAUGCAUAUAUCCUGUUGUUUGGUUUAAGAUUCCUCAACUCGAGGUAGGAAUUGGGAAUCCCUUUUUGUUUGGAAGGCAAAUAUUUUCCAGAAAAUGUUUUCCUGAUUUUCCAUUGUUUGAUUGGGUUAUUGCUUGCGAAAAUUUUCCACAUAAAUGAACUGAAAUUAUUUUUCAUGUCCGACUUGUAAGGCUAUUCAUUCAUGCUCCCUUCUUUGCUGUUUUCUCUCUUUUUUUUUUCUCUGUCUCUGUCUUUCUUUCUCUCAGAUACACAGUGUUAGGAAAUUGGCUUAAAUUCUUUUAGGUAGAUUUCUUAUUUGGUGUGGGAAGUGACUAGUUUCCUAAUUGGAUUUAGUUACUUGAAGUAGUAGUCAAGUAAAGCCCUAUUUAGCAGAAAUUAGAUGCUAUUUCUAUAUGAGUUUAGGAAAUAGUAUUGGUUUCCAAAUUGUUAUUUGGUUUUUUGGCAGUAAUGUUCCCUAUAAAUAGGUGGGUUGGCAUACUACACACACAAGAAGACACGCAAAAGAAGACACAAGGGGCCUCAUGUAGCCUUAUACAUGGGGUGUGAGAGAGGGUUCUUGGGAGAUGAGAGAUGGUAUACAAGGGUUGGGUUUGGGUUCAAAUUGUAUUCUUGUAUAGGGUUUUUCUCUCAUAAUAAAGAACAGGUUUCUCUCCUUGGAUGUAGGCUCAAUGGUGGAGCCGAACCACGUUAAAUAUUGUGUGUCGUUUAUCUUUCAUGCUUGUGGCUUGUUUCUCAUUAAAUUGUUGUGCAUUUGAUAUCUCAAUAGUUGUUUAUUCCGCAUCUGGAUCCCAACAAGUGGUAUCAGAGCCAGGUUGCGAGACUUGACUGCUCAAGGUUCAUAGUUGGAUCCUAGUUAACUAUUGAGAUCAAGUGGAUUGAUAGUUGUCACCAAUUGAACAAUUUAAUGGGUGGUAUCCUUGUUUCAAUGGCUUGGGAAAAACCAUUGAUGGUGAAGGAUGGGAAGUCGAAAAGCAUGGAAAUGCUUGACAGUGAAUCUAAGCAGGUGAUUCAAGGGUCAAGGAAAAGGUGGAGUCCAAUGUUGAUUUUGGACGUGAAUCGGUGGAGACUUUCUCACAUAUCCAACGGUUGAUUCUUCAUCCCGGUGAAUUUUAGAUUUUGGUUAUGUUUUUUGGGUGGUGUGGCACGUGUCCCAAAGAAAUAAGGAGAUCUAAUUUCUAUGCGCCAGAAGACUCUGACAAGUACGAGUUUUUCGUUUUAGGUGGAGUCUUGAAAACCACAUGUGGCGAGACAGUCCUGAGAAUGGGAAGAAGUAUGGUGACUUUACCACUUGAUUGUCUCAAUGGUUAGGGUUAGAGCUCACAGAAGGGAAUCCCAGAUUGCAAGUGCUGAUGAGAAGAAAUCCUGCAAAGGGAGACGGUGAAUUGAGGCACCUUCUCACGAGUCAACUGGAGGUUGGACUCGGGGUAACUACACAUGUUCAUUUGCCGAUUGAAUCAAUUUGGUAUCAGGACUGUAUUGAUUCGGAUGUGUAGUUUGGUACCAUAUUAUUUGGUAGUUGAAGGCAAAUGGUUUCUAAAAGAAAUUUUCGCCAAGGUGGAGAUUUGUUAGGAAAUUGGCUUAAAUUCUUUUAGGUAGAUUUCUUAUUUGGUGUGGGAAGUGACUAGUUUCCUAAUUGGAUUUAGUUACUUGAAGUAGUAGUCAAGUAAAGCCCUAUUUAGCAGGAAUUAGAUGCUAUUUCUAUAUGAGUUUAGGAAAUAGUAUUGGUUUCCAAAUUGUUAUUUGAUUUUUUGGCAGUAAUGUUCCCUAUAAAUAGGUGGGUUGGCAUACUACACACACAAGAAGACACACAAAAGAAGACACAAGGGGCCUCAUGUAGCCUUAUACAUGGGGUGUGAGAGAGGGUUCUUGGGAGAUGAGAGAUGGUAUACAAGGGUUGGGUUUGGGUUCAAAUUGUAUUCUUGUAUAGGGUUUUUCUCUCAUAAUAAAGAACAGGUUUCUCUCCGUGGAUGUAGGCUCAAUGGUGGAGCCGAACCACGUUAAAUAUUGUGUGUCGUUUAUCUUUCAUGCUUGUGGCUUGUUUCUCAUUAAAUUGUUGUGCAUUUGAUAUCUCAAUAGUUGUUUAUUCCGCAUCUGGAUCCCAACACACAGAUCAUACGCACUUAGGGGGAGAUCUAGACUUGAAAUUGAAAGGGGCUAUAGGGAGAUCGUGAAGGAUGCUAGAGAAAGUUUUGAUGUAUGAAAAUGAAAUGAAGUUGUUAAUUUUGUGCUAACAUACUGUAAAUUUGAGGUAUGUUCACGUUCAAUGGACAUUAACUGUUACCGUUUGAAUUGCUAUUUUCUGGAACCUUUUUUUUUUAUAAAAAAUAUACUAUAGUGAUUUUGAUAUAUGUAAAAUAAAAAAAUAAUUGAAAAAUAUGAUCACGAAAAACGUAAAAAUUUUUUGAGGAAAAAUGGCUUUUCCAAACAAUUGCUGAAACUUUUUUGAGGUGUUGAUUAUGGUGGAAGAACGGUGGCUUUUAGGUAAGAGCCUGAGAUUUGGUAUGGGCUUGUGAACUAAAGGGUAUCUUAACUGCUUGAAGAAGAGUAAGUUCUGACAGUGGAUCCCUCAAGAAUUUGUCAUCCAUAAGUUAAUAAUUAUCAACCAACGUACAUAGUAGUUAACAAAAUAUACCUGUUCUUGUUCUCAGGUUUUCACUUUUCGGCAUAAGAAACCCACAAAAACACUACAAAUUUGUAGCAAACAGUACUGGGACGGAGAGUGGAUUAAUCCGGAGAAGAGAAGGGGGCGUCGGCAAUCCUGUGUUUUAAAACUCGGACCGGACUGGCCGGUUCGACUGGUCGAACCAGGAAGUCGAACUCGGAACCGGACAAGUGUUCAGUCCGAGUCAUGUUUAAAAACCAGGUAAGUAAAAAAUCGGUCAAAAUCCGGGUUUGACCGGAAAAAACCGGAUUUUCCGGUUCAAACAGUUUUUUUUUUUUAAAAUAAACUUUUUUAAUAUUAUGUUUUGACCCCUAGAUUGUUAAAAAUUAUUAAUAUACCUCAAAUAUUUCAUACUUUAUCAAUAUUUUCUUAAAGUUUGGUAUUGUUUUUCAAUUAAGUCCAUAAUUUUAAUUCUAAACUUGUUAAUGCUCAUUAAAUAAUAUAAAUUGUUAAUUGAUUGUUCUAAUUUCUUUGUAUUUUCUUGUUCAAUAUAUUUAAAUUAUCAAAUAUAUAUGAAUAUACCUUUAUUAAUAUUAACAUGUUAUUAGGUAUUUUAUAUAUAAUAUUUUAAUUUUUAAAUAAUUUUUAUUUAUGACGUCAUCCGAUUCAACCCCUAUUGAACCCGAUUGAAUCCAUUGACCCCUGACCCCUAAGUUUGAUCGAGUCGAUACCUGGUUCGGUUCUGAAAACACAGCGGCAAUCACCUGGACUUGGUUCAUAUUACACGCCCUGCUGUUUUGCUAAAUCAGUGUGUGAUGGAAUAAUCAGGCCCCUCCCUCGACAGUUUCAUCUAUGGUAGAAAGCUGACUCAUGUGUGCAUGGUGGGAAGAGCAAAGGAAAUUUGGCCAAGACAUUAUUGUGGGGCUGGGCAGGAUGCAGCUAUUAAAUGAACUACUGGAUAUCGGGGUUGAUUAUGGGUCCCAUUGUAUUUCUAGGAGAAAUAAAAUGCAAGUCCCUCAACAACUCAUGGGCACUCAUUUGCACCCAAAAAAUUUGGCAUCAACCGGGGAGCAGCUCCCCAGGCCAAAUUGGUCAAAUGCAAUAAUCCUUGGAGAUAUGUGGAAAUGAAGUCAUGUGUACUCCAAUCUUAAACUAUAAAUGCUUACCUGAUGAAAAGUUAUAACUGUUUAAAUUUAAUUAUUAGUUGACUUAGAUGAGUAAUUAUAUGCAUAAAUAAUUAAAAGAAAUUAAUUUUAUAUAAAUUUAAUUUUUACAAAAAUAAAUUUAUUAUAAAUUUAUAGCAAUUUGGCAAUUACAAUACUUAGGGUAGUUAUAUUGGCAAAAUGUGAUUAAGUAAUUAGAGCAAAAAUUAAAAGGUUUUCCCUAAGGAUAAAAUUGAAAGUCUAGAAAAUGACAUUAAAAAGCUUACACUAACUGUGAUCCCUCUAACUUUUUAUAUUGCAUAGAUAGUGGCUUUUUAACUGGAAUCAAAAUUAUAGAUGAAUAAUUAGAAACAUAAUUAACAAAGUGUUACAAAAAAAAAAAAAACCAGAAUCGUGACAUAAUUAACGUGGUAGAUUUUAAUUUAAAUUUAGAAAUUAAAUAAGUAAUCUUAUACGCAACAUGGUGACUUUCAAAUCGAUAUCAAAUUUGUAGAUGAGUAAUUAUAAAUAUAAUUAACAUAGUACACCAAGAAACUAGAAUUGAGAUUAUAGAUAAAAUAAUCACAAACAUAAAUCACAUAAUACAAAAGUUUCAGAGAUUGAACGUUUGAACUAUUGAAAUAACUAGAUAGUUACCAACUUAAGUUCUAACUCCGCAACUAGUUGUAUUGGAUAACCAAUUAUAGUAAAAAUCAAAAUUUACUCUUAAAAGUAAGUGUUGAAUUAAAAGAUUUUGUUGUGAUAAGGAUUAUCUAAUGAGAGCAAAUCCAUUGAAACAAACAAGCAACGAUAUCUAGAUAAAUGUCAAUUACAAUCUCGUAUUCAAAUGAAUAUACAUAUCCAAACAAUGCACUUAACGAUAAAGUAAAGAGGUGAGACCCAACACAUUAUUUAAAACACAAACAUUGUUUAGAGUAGUUACACUAGUUAUAUUGGCAAAAUGUAAUUACGUAGUCAGAGCAAAAAUUGGUUUUUCUUUAAGGAUAAAAUAGAAAGUUUGAAAAAUGACAUAAAAAUGUUUACACUAACUACGAUCUCUCUAACUUUAUAUGUUGAAUAGAUAGUAGCUUUUUAAUUAGAAUCAAAAUUAUAGAUGAUUUAUUAGAAACAUAAUUAACAUAGUACUUCAAGAAACUAGAAUCGUGACAUAAUUGACCUAGUAGAUUUUAAUUUAAAUUUAGAAAUUAGAUAAGUAAUCUUAUAUGUAACAUGGUGACUUUUAAAUUAAUAUCGAAUUUGUAGAUGAGUAAUCAUAAACUUAAUUAACAUAGUACUUCAAGAAACUGGAAUUGAGAUUGUAGAUAAAAUAAUCAUAAAUUUUAGAAGAAAAUACUCUCCUUUUUGAAUAAUAAAAAAUUUAGAGUAGCAAGUAUUAAUCUCUUUUCCUUGGUAAUCUUAUUAAUAUUGAAAAAUAUAUAUAAAGAUUAGGAGGGGGAGUGGGAGUGAGAGAGAGAGAGAGAGAGAGACCUAGAAUGUGUCUUAUGCACUAAUAUAAUAUUAAGUACCAAUCAUUCAUUGACUUUUCUUUUUCUUUACUUACAAUUGAUUAUUAAUUCAUUUUGCAUACUCUCAAAACAUUAAGUUUAAAAAAAUUACUCAUGGUUUGGCGAUUGCAUCGCACAUUUCAUGAAUUUUCACAAAAAAAUGAUCUACACAAAUUAUGGCAUGCAUCUAGGUAAUUAGUGUAUACACUAUCAAUUUAAUUUAGAUUAGUCUUUUUUUAUACCAUCCAUCCAAUAUUUGGGAGCAUCACUAAGUGUUGUUAAUACACAUUUUUCAUCUUUUAAAUUCCUUUUGUAUCUUACUAUUAAGAGUAUUUAAUUUUUCCUCACAUAUAUAAAAAUUAUGGUUUCUUGAGUAGUUUUGUUAAUUAAUUAUUUACUAGUUACUCGCCCUCCUUUCUGUCCCUUUCUUUUUUUUAAGCACUUCAUUUGUAAAAUUUCAAUUAAUGUUAGUAAUUAGCAAAUAAGUAAAUACCGUACAAAAAUCAUCAUAUUAUAAAAAUUCUUUUACAAAUUAAAUUUCAAAUUCAAAAACCAAUUGUCAUGAAAAAAUACAUUUUUAAAUGACCAUAAAAUUAAUUACUUCUACAUACAUAGGGAAACUUAAUGCAACAAUGGUACGAAUUUAAGUGAUUCUUUGACUUUUGUUCUUUUAUUUAUUUAUUGCUUAAGUUUAUCAAUUAUUGAUCCAUUUUUCACUCUCUUAUAAUAUUCUACUUGUUUGGAUUGUAAGUUAUUUGGAAUAUUUUUACUGUAACACUUUUUAUGACGUGAUGUAUGUGAGAUAAAAAGCUAAUUGGGAAGAUAAAAAGAUAUAUUAAAAAUUAUAAUAAUGAUGUAAGCAAAUAAAAUUGAAAAAAUAAUACUUAAUCCAAACAAACCUUAUUAAGUUUAAAAGAGUUAGCAUCUAUACCAACCAAUUUAUAUCGAUAUUGUUGUCCACUACUUCAGGUAAUAUAAACUUUGCCGGUUACCUUUGGCCCUUGUCAUCUUAGCAAUAGUUGAUCUGACUUUCCACCAUAGAAGCAACCCUACCUCAACAAUAAUGGAAUUAGCUGCCACGCACGUACGUACCUAUGCAUGAAAACUGACUUCAUAGCUUUAUAGCUGUCCCCUCCGUGAAUAUGAAUAUGAAUCAGAAUCUGAAUCAGUCACUCAGGACUUUAUUAUCUCUGAACGAACGCCCAUAAACAGCCCCUGAAACACUAAAUUCUGGCAGCUGCUCUUUGUCGUGAUGCCAAAAAUGGUCCUUGGAACAUUAAUUACGUGAAACACUACAUUCUGGCAGCUGCAGCUCUAGCUCUCUGUCGAAGAUGCCAAAAAAAAUUAUCCUGGCCUACUUAAAUCAAUUUUGAACCAAUUAAUUUGCAUCAAAUUCCAUGACUUGCAUUUUUCUCUCGAUUUUUUUAUGAAACUCUUUAGAUUUAUUCCUCUCUUUGAAUAUAAAAUAAAUUUUAUCGUGUUUGAUAAAAAAAAUUUAAAUCAAUUUUGUUUUAACUCUCUGUCUAAUCUUCAAGGAUGCCGUGUCACGACUAUCGCUGUGCUUCCUCUCUCCUCUCCGCCAUGUCUGAACUCUGAAGUCUCAACUCCUCCUUUCCUCACUUUCAGUUUCAACCACAAGUCACAAGGCUUCAACAACCUACCACUCUCAUCUCCUCCUCCUCAUCAUCAGGCCUGAGAAUUCUUCCUUUUUUUUUUUUUUUUCCCUUAUCUUCUUUGUCCUCCAGAAGCCCACUUUAAUAUAUAUUUUUUUGGUAAGUAGCCCACUUUAAUUAGUAUUAUCCUCACGAUAAGUUAGAUGUUUGAACAGACCAUAUUAUUUUGGAAUGCAUUUUUAAAUUAAAGGAAUUAAAAUUAAAUCGAUGAUCUUACAUCAAAGAGAUUUGUCCCAAAAAUAUAUAUAUAUAUAUAUGGGAUGGGGAAGUCGAUUUGGCUUAUAGCAAUAAAAUACUCCUACAAACUUGUCGGUGGUUGGUUGAAAGUUGAAAUAUCUGGCAGAUAUAAUUUGCAGAUAUGUUUGUGUGUCCUCUGAGUGAGAAAGAGCAGGAGAAGGAUGGAGAAACAAUAGGAAGCAAAGUUGGAGGGCUGGGGACUAGCUAAGAUUGGUGGAGAAGGUGAUGAUGGUGUUCGGUAGUUGGCAAGGAUUGAGUUAAAGUGCAUUGUGGAGGAAGUCUCAACCAAUUUAUCGUGCUUCCUCUUUCCUCUCCGCCAUGUCUGAAGUCUCAACUCCUCCUUUCCUCACUUUCAGUUUCAACCACAAGUCACAAGGCUUCAACAACCUACUACUCACAAGGAGGUUGAUGUUUGAACAGACCAUAUUAUUUUGGAAUGCAUUUUUAAAUUAAAGGAAUUAAAAUUAAAUCGAUGAUCUUACAUCAAAGAGAUUUGUCCCAAAAUAUAUAUAUAUAUGGGAUGGCGAAGUCGAUUUGGCUUAUAGCAAUAAAAUACUCCUAAGAUUGGUGGAGAAGGUGAUGAUGGUGUUCGGUAGUUGGCAAGGAUUGAGUUUAAGUGCAUUGUGGAGGAAGGAACGAUCAUCAAAGUUUUCCGACUCCAAAUGGUGUCGUUUAGUUUUAAAGCGAAAACCUUGGGCAGGACGUUCUGUGUCCGUCCGUCCAAAUGGGGUGAAAGUUCUCGCGGGGUAUAAGCCUCACAAAUUUUUAUUUUUAAAUAUUUUAAAAAUAUAAAAAUACACACACAGACACACACAUAUAUAUACAUGUGUGUAUGUAUAAUAUUAAAAAUACCCAAAAAGAUAAAGAAAAAUUAUAACCUUACGUGACUAAAAUAAAACCUGCUUGUGUAACUAAUGUCAUCCCAUGAACAGAAACCCAACAAACCAUUGUAAAGUUCGAUGAUUAUUUGUAUAAAAAACUUGUUGUCAUCCUGCAAACUAAUGAUUACAGUUGCGAAAAUCCUUUUCUAGGUACCUGUGAGUUUUGACUAUCAAAGCAAGUGUCUUUCUCCUAUUUCUUUAGAGUAUCCUCAAUGUGAGGCACAAAGUCUUGCGAAAACUCUUUGUAUCACUAAAUUCCAAACUGAUAUCCAUGUUUGCCAACUUAAAUUUAUAGGCUGAUCUAAGAAAAGUUUUCAGAAAUUGCAAGUUCAGUUUGAGGGUUUCAACUUCUUUUAGGCAAGUGAAGGGAAAAUCCAGUUUGGAUGUUUUUCUGAAACUUUAAAAAAAGGGAAAAAGUACUGGGAUUUUAAAUGUAUAUAUUUUUUACGCCUCAAAAAAAAAAAAACUCCUUAUCAUUACUUCCUUAUCUAUAUCCUACUUUUCCAUUCUUUUUUUCAACAAUUAAUUAUCUUCCUUUUUUCACUUUCUUAGUUAUAGCAACUUUUAAUGAAUUGUAUAUGAGCCAUUCUAUGUAUGUAAAUUGUGUUCAUGAAUCAUCAAUAUCCGUCAAUAUUUCUACAAAUUUAUUGCACAAAAUGUUUACUACAAUUUUUUAGAUCUUCAAACUAAAUUCUUUUGCAUCUUCAAAAACAAAAUCUUUACUUUAAUUUUAUAAUUACCAAAAGUAAUUUUCAAAUUAACAGAAUCUUUCAACAAAUUAUUUGUACUCCCGCUGAAGUAACGGUUAAGAACUAGUACAAUUCAUGUUCUUCUUGUUUAAUUUUCACCACACCUCCACAUAUAAAUUUGAGAAGCAGAUUGGAUGACAAUUUUUGAAGUCAAUUUUUGAAGCUAUGCAUGCAUCCAUCAAAACGGUGUCCAUUUACUCGUAAACUUUUCAAAGUCUUAUAAUUAAUUUCGUUGAAUUAAAUGAAUUGUAUGAUGCAAUUGCAGAGAAUCUCCAUCCAAUUGGAAACAUUUUCCAGACUACGUGUAUACAAUUAAUCCAUCGUUUGGAAUUUUGUACCUCAAUCAUACACGGAAUUUUGAAUUUAACGUCAUUGCCCAAUACAUGGAAUUUUGAUCUAUUCUUUUUUCUUGAAGGCAACACUUUUUGAUGUCACAUUAAUGUCAAAGAACGUCUUCAUUGGAGAGAGAAAUUUGGAUUAGCUGGAAAAAGUCAAAAAAGAAAAAAGAGUUUCAUACAUACAUGAUACAUCUCCUUUGGGAGAAACUAAUAGAGGUCAUCCAAUUAAGGUGUUUGUCACGCUACAUGUAACUCACUUUAUGUAUAAAUGCUUUUGAAUGCUCAAAUAUCUUAUUCUCAUGCUUUAGAAUUUGUUAUUCUCAUGGAAAACUCUUGUUUGGAUUGUAUUUUUUUGGAUUUUUUUAUUAAAAAAUUACUGUAACGAUUUGAUAUAUGUGAAAUAAAAAGAUGAUUGAAAAAUGUGUUUACGGAAUAUGUAGCAAUUUUUUUUUUGAAAUUGCUCUCCAAACAUUGAAAAAAAAAAAAAGAAAUUGCAGUGUAUUCCUCGCUACACAGUGUAUUCCUCGCUUCAUUUUUCUGGUGUUUGUUUAACUUUUGAAAUAUUUUCACUUUUAUCUCUAUCUUUACUUUCUACACAUUAUAACUACAUACUUCUUCUCAUGCAAAAUAAGAAAAUUUAUCUCAUUGUUUAACUUUAAAAAAUCUUGGAGAAAUGUAUAUAUGAAUAAAAAAUAUCUCCUUAAGUAAUAAACAAAUUGCUGGCCAUUUAGUAUCAAAUAUCAAUCACAUGCAAUGCUUAUUGUGACAUAUAUCUUGCACUCUCACUGCUGAAAGUUUUUCUAGAAAAGAAUGUCCAUAUUAUACAUAAUUAAUUACUAGCAUAGGAUGGGCAGGAUGAGGUUUUUUUUUUUAUUUUGAAUAUACUAGGGGAGGGUUGGGUUGGGUUGGGUGGUACGGGGGAGGAAGUGUAAGGAAGAGGUCUUGGGUUCAGUAAGUUUGGAAGGGAAGUUGUUUUCCAUAAGAUGAGUGAACAUAUUUUACAUAAUAAAAUGUUUUCAGUAACUUUUGUGCAACCAAACACGGGAAAUUAGGAAAAUAUUUUCACCCGAAACAAACGGACCCUACAUGUAACUCACUUUAUGUAUAAAUGCUUUUUGAAUGCUCAAAUAUCUUAUUCAACGAUGUAAACUUUUGAAUGAUCAAAUUUUAAUAAGGAACAAGUACAUAAAAAAAGAAAAAUCAAAGUCUGUACAAAUAUUUUUUUUUUUCACAAAGUGUGCACCAUUUUUGGUAACCAUCCAACACGCAUUGCGGACUUUUUUUUUUAAGUAUUAAUUUUGUCCCUCAUGCUUUAGAAUUUGUUAUUCUCAUGGAAAAUUCUUGUUUGGAUUGUAUUUUUCUGGAUUUUUUUUAUAGAAAAAUUACUGUAACGAUUUGAUAUAUGUGAAGUAAAAAGAUGAUUGAAAAAUAUGUUUACGGAAUAUGUAGCAAUUUUCCUUUGAAAUUGCUCUCCAAACAUUGAAAAAAAAAAAAGAAAUUGCUCUCCAAACAAGGCCUUAGAUCUUAACGUUGCUUACUUCUUUAACGUUGACCUAUCAACUUUAAGUUAUGUGACAAAUUUCCAAUCCUUUUAGUGAUUUUAUGCCAAACAAUUUUAAAUUAAUUUAGAUUACAAAAGAGAGGAUCGUAAAUCAAAAGGUCAAUUUCACAACUAAUUGUUCACUGAUUUUACGGCAAACAAUUUUAAAUUAAUUUAGAUUACAAAAGAGAGGAUCGUAAAUUGAAAAAUCAAUUUCACAACUAAUUGAUAGAGAAUCAAAAUUUCCAUGAAUUCAGCACAAAUUUUCCACAUGAUGGAUGGACUAGACCCAACACGUCGGUGAAAUUUCUACCCAACUUGGAGCAUUAUAUGUGGCCGUCGAGAUUUAUUUUGGCUUUCUUUGCUUCUCCUAAUUUUAAAUGUAUAUUUGAAAUUCUUGAUCUGUUUAUUUUUCUUUUAGCCUCAAUCUUUUUAUAGUUUGAAAACCACCCAAACUUUUUUGUUUAUUAAAAAUUUAUCAAGUCAGAAUAAAAAGAGUUUAUCGAGUCUCAUUGAAUGUGUUAAACAAGGUUUUCACGACAUAAAGAAGUACAUAUAUACACAACUAUAAAUUAAUGUUGUAUACAUUAUUACUGUAAAAAAAAAAAAAAUUUUCUAACAGGUGUAACUAUAUGAUAUAUGAGCAAAAAUUGAAUUUAAAAUUUAAACAGUGAUAAUAUGAUAUUUAUCUAAACCUACUUGUAUAAAAAAAAAAUUUAUACGCUCCAUAUAAACAAUGUAAAGAGUUUUCAUGAAACAAAGUCAAAAAAUUUUUUUAAUUGAAGAACAAUCGCAAGCUCAUCUACGUAGCAAAGUGUGUGGAGCCUAUUUUGUAAGUUAUCAAUUUUUGAUUGGUUUAUUCUUGGACAUGGAUUAAUCCAACCAUAAGUGUGUGGAUCCCAUAUUUUGCAUGUCAUCAAUUUUUGGUUGGUUUUAUUCUUGGACAUGGACCAGUCCAACCAGCCAUUAACUAAGCGGUCCAUACCAAUAAUUCUGGGUAAAUCUUUUUUUUUUUUUUUUUAGCAUGUGCUUUUUUUGAUGAAAAAGAUAGACACAUUUUAUUAAUGAUGUUACAGGAAAUCGUUCAUGAGUUGCUUGACAAAAUUUGGAAGGGAAUUUCAAAGAGCUUAAAAAAGAUUAGCACUCUUAGCAUGAUGGGUUAAAGUAUGAGCUGCCUUAAUUCGCUUCUCCUGGAAUCCAUUGAUUCAUUGAAUAUCAAUACAAAGCUGAUCUAAUAAUGCUAAAUGCACGUCCUCAAUAAUUGGACCUGAAUCAGACACGAUGUCUUCUUUGUCCUGUCUUCUUUGCCAUGAAUAAAUCUUAUAAUUGAGGCUGCAUCUCCCUGCAAUUUUGGAUCAUUUGUGGGCCUCAAAAUCAAAUAAUUCCAGGGAACAUCAGAAGUCAAUCGGAACGAAUAUCACAAUGGACUUGAUUGGAACGAAAAUGCCUCACCAAUCCCACAAUCCAUUCCAGUUGAAGUUAAGAUCAGCAAUAUCGUUAAUUAGCCCCUUAAGCUUUGUUUAAUCAUAGCUUACGCCUAUUGUCUUACAUCUGAAGCAGAUACUCUUUUGGUUUUUUCAUCUUAAGCAGAUACCAUUUGCUAUAUCGCAGUCAAUUAAAUAGUUAAACCAUUUGCUUGCUAGACUGACGAGGGAAAUUAACAAUAUAAACCACUGAACAGAAAAUCUUUUUUUUUUUUUUUUUAUAAUAAAAUAGAAUAAUUUUAUUAAUCAUGAGAUUGAAUCUACAACAAGUGCAGAACAAAUAAAAGAUGGAGGAGAGUUUCUCCAUAUACAAGAAUCUGAAAAAUUAAUAGCAUACUUAGCAAAGUUAUGAGCAGGAACAUUAAACAACCUAGAAAUCCACGAAACUUCCCAACACAUGAACUCUUGACAUAAGACAAUGGUAUCAUCAAUCAACAAGCCACAUGAUGAAUCAUCAGAUUCCAAACGGUUCAGCAUUUUGAUGACUUUUUGUGAAUCUCCUUCCAAAACCAUUUUAUUGAAACCCAAAGAUUGUAGUAAUUGAGCCGCAUGUUUGGCCGCAUAUGAUUCAACCACAUUUGGUUCCAAUAUCCCAAGAAUUUUCUUGGAGAGGCCAGCAAUGAAACUUCCUGUAUCAUCUCGAAUAAUAACACCAACUCCUGAUGAUUUAUCAUCCAUAAACACAGUUCCAUCAAAGUUUGCCUUAACAAAACCUGCAUUGGGUCGUAUCCAAUGACCUAUUGAUAACCUUGAUUGAAGAGAGGUAGACGUAUCGCACUUAUCUUUGGAAUUUGUUUCAUGGAAUUGAUUUAGGAAUGCUAUGGACAGGGAGACCAAGCUAAGAGGAUCUCUGUAGGGCCCAUCAAAGAUUGCUCCAUUUCGAUUAUUCCAUAAAUUCCAAAGAAUAACACCUACCAAUUCCAUCUCUUUGCUUGAUAGUUGCCAAAGCUGGUUGGGAAGCCAAGACGUAACCUGAUCAGCCGAUUGCAAUUGAACUUUCUGGCUUAAGAAACUAAGUGCCCACGAUUGCACAGCUACAGGACAAGUUAAGAAGGUAUGAUCAAUAUCAUCAACUGGAGCGAGACAUAAAGGGCAAGAUGUAUCUAAAUGGAGCCCUUUAGUAUUGAGUUUUGUGCUGGUUGGUAGUAUAUCUUUACAAGCCCUCCAUAAGAAAAUUUUAAUUUUCUCAGGAAGAUUCAAGUGCCAAAGCCGAGACCAAACACUGUGCUUUAGAGUACUACUACUUGAUGGCAAAUUCUCCCAAUUAGAAGAUCGCUGCUUGAUCAAGUGAUACGCACUCAUCAUAGUAAAAGAUCCAUUCUUUGAAAAGUGCCAAAUUAGCUUAUCUCUAUUGUGAGUGUCUCCAAUUGGAAUGCUUUGAAUUAACUCAAUCUCCUCGGGCCAAAAAAAUUCUUGCAAUAAGUCAACUCGCCAAAUCUUUCGCUCUUAAUCUAUUAGGCAAUCAACUGUGGAAUUCUCCGGCAAUGCAGUAGACCGCGACACGAUUUUAAAAGUAGAUGGCCGUGGAAGCUACCUAUCUUUCCAGAUUUUGAUAGACUGGCCAGAACCAACUCGCCAUCUGCUUCCUGCUUCAAUAUACUUCCUGACCUCACAUAGUCCGCGCCAAGACUAGGAAGGCCGUGAUCCUUCUUGAACUUGGAAGAAAUCAGUAUUUGGAAAAUAUUUAGUUUUAUAUACCCGAUGAAGAAGGAUAGAUGGUUGUGUAGCAAUACGACCACUGAACAGAAAAUCUAGCAUUUAUAUUAAAUAAAAGAAUUUUACUGAUGCAUAUUAUUUGCUGCAAUCCUUAAACCAUCCAAGCCUAAGAAUUUAAAAUAAAAGGUCUACAUGAAUAAAAUAAAAGAUUGGAGAUUAAAGAUGCUUUAGAAAAAAAAAAGGGGGUUAAUUUAAAGGACUAAAUGAACUACUUGCAAAUUUUUUUUGUCCUUCCAGGUUAAAUGAUUUGUCGUUAAUGGUAUUGAAAUAGUUAAAAAUUAAAAUUAUUGGGACUAAAUGUAUUUUCAUAAAACUUUAAAAGGAGAAAAUGGUGUAACCCCAUAAGUUAGAGGUAUAAAGUGUCAUCUUUUCCAUUUGUAAAAUUUUCAAUUGGUUUGCUGAUUUUCUGUCAAAUAUUUUUACAUUAAUUUGUUUUUCUAUAUGCUGACAAUACAUACUAUCAAAGUCGGAUACAUGACAACUGAUAUGAAUUUGAGUUUGAAAUAUAAAUAUUUUGCAUAUGUAGUAUGCAUCAAACUCCGUUAACGUAUACACUAUUCGGGUACAAAAGAUUAAUCAUAAUUUAAAUUUCAAACGAGAGUGUCGAAGUUGUAGGAUAACGUGAAUCAGCAAAUCAAUUUAACAACUAGCUGCUGCCAAGGAAUCAACAUUUCCAUUAGUUGAAUGCAGAAUAUGUCUCCACAAGAAUAUCUUGAUUUUCCACGGCGGGUCAUUGUCCAGUGCGUAGGACCCAAAAAAAUUCCAAUGGAAAGUUAUAGGUGACAAAUUUCAUAGAACCAAUGUAGAUGGGGAGGCAAAUUUCACACACACAAAUAUGCAUAGGGGAAGAGGAAUAAAUCAGUAAUAUAUUAUUAAUUACACAAAAUAAUAUGGUUCUCAAAUUUCAUUCUUCUCAACUAAUACUAAUAAUAAUAAGACUAGACUAGGUAAUUUGGUAAACAAGUCUUACAAUCACAAGAAAUUUUCUAAUAAAAUACUAAUUUCUAAACAAUAAAACUACUAUAAUUUAAAUCAAACAGAAUUACCAAAACCAUAACAUAAAAUAUUGCUAAAUAAUAAUAUGAAAAUUUCUAUUUUUUAACCUUGAUUUAACAUUGUCGGACACAACACGUUGUCAAGUUAUCUGCAUAACUUAAUCAAGUUUGUUUACUAGUCUUCUUGUCUAAAUGUCGCGUCAUCUUAAUCCAGAUCGGCAGAUUGAAUGACCAGAAUCAAGAUAUUAUCAGUUAAGUCAAGACAUUACUAGGUUGCCUAUCUAACCACCACCACGUUAGAAAAACAAAUUUUAGCAAAGUUAUUCUGUCUUCCAAUAACCCUUUAUCAUUUUUCUCCUAAGCAUAGUGUAUUUUGUUGCACGUUCGAUGACAAAUCGGAAACGAAUAUGCGAAUGCAAACAUAAACCAGAAUUAACUUGUAAAACAAAAGCUACUCACCUCAAAUUAUUGAUUUCAUGCUAGUCUUCGGAAUCCCAUUAUCUAUUUUUUCCAGUUCAUAUCACCAAUCUGUGAGUAUAUUUCCAAUUCAAUCCCUUUUGGAUCGUUUAUGUGUCCCAAUCAAAUAAUGCACCGGAUUUAGCCGUCAGAAUGAGCUUAGAUUAAAAUGCAAAUGCCUCGCCAACUCCAUGAUCCAUAUCCAUUAAAAGAGCUGAAGAUAAGAAAAGUAGAAGAAUAUUGUUAAUUUUGCAUCUUAAGUAGAUUGCUUUUCCUAUAUCGUAGUCAGUUAAAACACUUAAUCUUCACUGGCUCGACUUUUCCAUGAAGACUUUCCGGUCGUCGGCAUUUUAUCACUUUCAUGUAGUUCUUCAAACGCAGAAUGGUGAAAUGAUGCUUUUAAACGUGUUUAAAUGAAACUGCUAAUCUAACCAUACUUUGUCAAAUAAACCAAUAUCAAAAGAAAUCCAAUGGAGCAUCAUCUUCUUUGUACUCCUUCGUCUAUGCUAAUACUGUUGUUAUUCAGUUCUAUUCUUGUGACCAGCCAGUUCUCGUUUGGGAGCAGCAAACAAGCUUAUAAUUAUUCAAAUUUCUCUUGUAUUGAGAGUGAAUGACAAGCUCUUCUUCAAUUCAGAGAUGGGUUAACAGAUGAAUCAAAUCAUCUGUCAUCUUGGAUAGGAGAAAACUGUUGUUCAUGGAAAGGCGUUGGUUACCAUCAAAUCACUGACCGUCUGGUGAAAUUUGAUCUACACAAUGCGAGCCCGUUACGUUCAAAUGAUAUAUUUAUUUACUGAAAAAAUUGCUUGGGAGGCCAAUUAAGUCCAUUUUUGGUCAAUUUAACCAAUUUGCGACACCUAAAUUGAAGCUGGAAUAAUUUUUCAGGAAUCCAAGUUCCCACGUUCCUUGGAUUGUUGAAAAACUUGAGAUACUUAAAUCUCCUGAAUGCAGUGUUCGACGGUGAAAUUCUAGGCCAUCCAGGAAAUCUCUCAUGUUUACAGCAUUUAGAACUUGGAGGUGUAACUCCAUUCUCAAUAAAAAAAAAAUAGAGCUUAGAGAAUCCGUAAAAUAUUCAAUUUAUUUGGUGAUUUCUUGCAGGAAACUCCCAUGUUAAUUUAACUGCAAAAGAGAGGAUCAAAACUUAUUUGUGUAGCAACGUAAAUCAGUAAACAGUUCAUCAAUAUUAUGAUUGCCAAUGCGAUACUUGUCGCCUUCCUGUUACAAGUCUCUUUCCAACGGGGAAAACCUACAGCAUAAAUGUCCAAUUAAUUCAUAAAUCAGAAUUAACUUGUAAUUGCAAUUAUAAGCCGCUCGUCUCAAAUUCUGAUUAGUUUCGUCCUAUUCUUCAGAAUCCCAUUGGAUAAACUCUAUCAUUCCCAUCCAUACAAAGUUGUGUGCUUAGAUUUGCUUUCUCAUCUGAAUUACAGGUCAAUCCGCCGUCACAAUGGGACUUGAUUAGAACGCAAAUGCCUCACCAACCAUAUUCCCAUUGAAGUCACCGUAAUCCAUUCCCGUUGAAGUCAAGAUUAGCAAUAUCGUUAAUUAGCCCCUUCAGCUUUGUUUAAUCAUAGCUUACCAUUGUUGCUUUGUACAUCUUAAGCAGAUGCCUUUUACCAUAUCAUAGUCAAUUAAAUCGUUAAGAGUAAAACUGAUAGUGUAUAUAUCAUCGUCGUUGAAUGCAUGAUAUAUAAUUAAAAUUCAAAUUUUAAAUUCAAAUUUACAUUACUUAUCAUUCAUCCAAGGUUGGUUGACAGGAUAUAUUCCAUCAGUGUAUAAAAGGUUAACCCCAUAGUUAUAUCGUUUCCUUGCUAGACUGUCUGAUGAGGGAAAUUAACAAUAUAAUCCACGAAACAGAAAAGCUAGCACUUAUAUACAUAAAAAAAAUGAAACAGUAGAAGUUGUUUUGGUGGGGAGGGGUGUUGGGUGGGGGGGAGUGAGUGUUUAAGAAAGUUAGAAAAAAAGGGGAAAGAGUAAACAUAUCUAACAAAUAAACAUAAAUUGGAAGAAAGUAAAGGUCAGUUUCUGUUUUAACAAGAACAGUUAAAAUUUUGUUCACGCCCUUUAACGCCACUGAAGGAAGUAAGACAAGAGCAGCUUUGGUAAGAGAAAAAAAUAAAAGGGCUAAAUGGAUGAAAUCAAAGAUUGGAGAUUAAAGAUACUUUGGAUUAAAAAAAAAAGUUAAACUACUAAAUGAACUACUUGCAAAACUUUUUUUUCCCUUCCAAAUUAAUUGAUUUGUCAUUCAUGGUAUUGAAAUAGUUAAAAAUUAAAAAUAUAGUGAAUAACUAUAUUUUUCAAUUGGUUUUGUGAUUUUUUGUCAAGCAUUUUUAUAUUAAAGAAUCUUUUGUACAUUAAUAAUGGAUACUAUCAAGAUUGGAUGCAUGAUAACCGAUAAGAAUUUGAAUUUAAAAUCUAAGUUUUGCAAAUGCAACAAUCAUUAAACUCCAUUAUCCUCUAUAUUAUCAGUUUAUAAAAGAUUAAUCGUAAUUAAUUUAAAUUACAAAUGACAGCGUUGAAAUCGUGUGAUAACGUGAAUCAGCAAAUGAAUUUUACAACCAGCUGCUGAGGAAUGAACAUUUCCAUUAGUUGAGUGCAGAAUAAGUCUCCAAGGAGAUUUUUUUCCAGAAGAAUAUCUUGAUUUUCCACGGCGGAUCGGGACUUCCAUUGGCCAGUGGACUUGCAGUCGUCGGAUGCAACAGACGGUCAAGUUUUCUACGCAAAUUAAUCAUGUUUGUUUACUAGUCUUCUUAUUUAAAUUUCAUUUCAUCUAAAUCUAUAUCAGCAGAUUGAAUGACUAGACUCUUAAAAGAUAGGAAAAUAUUGUAGUAACUAUCGUUAUGGUAACUAAAUAAUUUUUUCCUGAUAUAACGGGUUAUUAUACUUUUAACGAUCAUUUGAUUACCUGUUGGACCUAUCCACCUAAAUAGGAUAAUGCCUAAAACUAAGGAAGUAAGUUUCUCAUCUAAAAUAGUAAGUUAACCAUAAUAAUUAGUAACUUUUGUGUCUCAAAAGGUAAAUUGGAAUAAAUAUAAAACUUACUUUUUAAAGAGAUAAAUUACUAUAUUAUAUCUCAAACAUACUUUUGAGAGAGUAAGUUUAGUUCAAGUAAUAGUAAGUUUUUAUACAUAAAUAGUAAUUCUUACUUAUAACAUAUUAAAUUUGAUUAAUGACCAAAACUUACUAAUUUAUGGCACAAAUGUACUAUUUGGCUUAAAAAACUUAUAACAAACCAAUACUAGGAAGUUUAUUUGAAAUAACAAUAAAAUGUUUUAUUAAUGAUUAAAUCUUAGUACCUUAGUUAGUAAGUACUCGUAAUAUACUUGUAUAAUACAUGAUUAUAUGUAUAAUUUAAAUUUUUUUGUAUUUAUAUAUUUUAAAAUACUAUGAAAAAUAUUUGGACCCUUCACAUAACCUUAUAAAAUAAUAAAAUUUUGUCGUAUUAUAAUUUUGAAUAAUUUUUGAAAAUUUUCAAAGUUUGGAUAAUAAUAACAACACAUCUUCCUAGUUAUAUAUGGAAUAUCACUUAUCUAUGUAAUUUCUAUAAUUUAAAACCUAUUAAUAUAAUAAGAUGACAAAGUUUUAAUAUAUUUAUUGUCUGGGACACAAGAAAUAAUAAGAAUUAAACUUGUAUUAAUAUAGACCUAACAAAAAGAGAGAAAUAGUGUAACAAUUAAUACAACAAUAAAAAUAACAUAAUUAGUAUAACAAAAUUAGUAUAAUCUGGAAUUUUUUUCUCUGGAGAUUACUCACGAAUAUAAGAUCCAACCACUAAACAAAAAUCACAUGCAUAUAUAAUCUAUUGUAUAAUUUAAAUUAAAUUUAGUUCAUGUACAAAAUGAUCCUAAAAUAAUUAGCACACUACAAUACCAUAUUAUUUUAACAAAAAAGUUUUUUUUUUGCCAAAAGUCUCCAAUAUCCAUGACAUAUGUAUGAGAGAUAUUUUACCAUAUUUUUAUCUCUCUUUUUUUCCCAUAUUUGUAUCUCAUGUCUAAUCAUUGAUGUUAAUUUGAGGAAGAAUAUUAUGUAUAAUAAAAUUAUUUUGAAUUUAAUUAACAAGUUGAGAUUUUUUUAAAAAUAAAAGUGAAAUAUUUUGGGAACUUAUUUUUUGUUUUCCCAAAAUUAAAAGAUUGCAAUUUUUUACAAAUUGUUGCCAUAACAUUUCAUUUUCUAGACUAAUUUUUAUCAAUGUAAAAUUAGUUUAGUUAACAAUAAUUGAAGUUUUGUUGGUCCGAGGAUUGGCAUGCUAUUGUUGUUAUUUUACAUGUAAAUAUAUUACCUAAGUAAUAAAAUAAACAAUAGCUACUUAAAAAAAGGAAAUAGGUGCUCAAUUGAUUGCAUUCAAACUACGAAUUCUGUUAAUGAAUAAUUGCUAAAUUAUAAUUUUAUUUACAAGGAAUCAAUAUGCAUCAUAUAUUGACCAGGACUAAAUUACUGAUUACUUAACAAAUUAUAUCUAAACACAUGAUGUGAUGUAUAUUGCAUUUGGUCACCUUUAUACUCAUACCAUUUUCUUUUCUUCCUAUUUAUAUUUUAAAAGUGCAAAAUUCUCUUGAUUAUAUUAGUGAAAAUGCAUAAAAUCUUUUACAAAAUUAUUUCAAUUUAUUUACAAAAUAUUAGUACUUUUAUAGAAACAAUGCAUUGUAGGAAUGGUUUACUAAUUUUUUAGUAAACAUAACUAUUGCAUUAAAAAGUUAAAAAAAACUUGAUUUUAUUAUGCUUUAAUUAGGAGUGCUUUUGAAGAAAAGAAUUUGGGGAUUAAUUUCUCUGAUUCAAGAAUUUUUAGAGAUUGUAAUGAUCAAAAGAAAAAGAAUUUUUAGAAAUUGUAACUCUCUUAUUAUUUGAUAUAAUAAAUUUGAUAUUUGUGCAAGUUUUCAUGUCUUUUUAUUUUCGGCAAUGAAAUUUGUGCUUACAGUUAAAUACAAUUAUGGUAAAAUAUCCCUCAUAUGUAUGUCAUGGAUAUUUGAGACUUUCAGUAAAAAAAUUUUUUGUUGUUCCGUUUGGAUUGGUUAUUUUUUUAAAAACAAGUUUUUCAAAUACAAUGUUAUGGUAAUACACAAUAACUCAAAAAAUAUCUUAUCCAUACAAUAUAUCAAAAAUUUCAAAAAAAAUUUUAUAGUAAAAAUUUUUCAUAUACAUUGUUACAGUAAAAUUUUUCAAAAACACCUCUAAAAACAGUUAAUCGAAACGGAUUAAUAUUAUAGUGCGCUAAUUAUUUUAGAACCGUUUUUUACGUGAACUGAAUUUAAUUUAAAUUAUACAAUAGAUUAUAUGUGCAAGUGAUUUUCAUUUAAUUGUUGGAUCUUUUUUUUUUAUGAACAAUCUCCCAAGGAAAAAAGUCCAGAUCAUACUGAUUUUCUUAUAUUAACUGUUAUACUAAUUUUGUCAUUUUUAUUGUUAUACUAUUUCUCAUUUUGUUUGGGUUUUAACUCUUAUUAAUUCUUGUGUCCCAGAUGUAAAUUUAUUAAAACUUUAUCAUCUUAUUAUAUUCAUAGGUGUUAAAUUAUAAAAAUUGUGAUAUACAAACAAGUGAUAUUCUAUAUUUAACUAGGAAGAUUUGUUGUUAUUGUUAUCCAAACUUUUAAACUUUUCAAAAAUUGAAAAUUGAAAAUGAUUAAAAACUUAUAAUAUGACAAAAUUUUAUUAUAUAUUUUACAAGAUUAUCUAAAAAAUGAAACUACUUUUCAUAGUAUUUUAAAAUAUAUAAAUACAAAAAAAUUUUAAAUUAUACAUAUAAUCAUUUAUUAUACAAGUAUAUUACGAGUACUUAAUAACUAAGGUACUAAGUUUUAAUUAUUAAUAAAACAUCUUAUCAUUAUUUCAAUUAAACUUCCUAAUACUAGUUUGAGAUAAGUUUUUAAUGUAAAAUUGUACAUGUAUUCCAAAAAUUAGUAAGUUUUGAUCAUUAAUCAAAUUUACCAUGUUAUUAGUAAAAAUUACUAUUAUGUAUAAAAACUUAUUGUUAGUUGAACUAAACUUACUCUCUAAAAAGUAAGUUUGGAAUAUAAAGUAGUAAUUUAUUUAUUUAAGAAAUAAGUUUAAUAUUUAUUCCAAUUUACCUUUUGAGGUAUAAAAAUUACUAAUCUAUUAAUGUUAACUUACUAUUUUAGAUGGGAAACUUACUUCCAUAUUUUUAGGUGUUAUCCUAUUUAGGUGGAUAGGUCCAAUAAGUAAUCAAAUGGUCGCCAAAAGUGCAACAACCUGUUAUAUUAGAUAAAAACUAUUUCGUUACCAUAACUAUCGUUACUAAAGCAUUGUCUUAUCAGCUCAAGUCAAGAUUAGCUUGUCUAUCUAGCCUACUCCAUUUUUAAUUUCAUGCUAGUCUUCGGACUCCCAUAAUCUAUCUUUCCAGUUCCUAUCACCCAUCUGUGAUUAUAUUUCCAAUUCAAUCUUUUUUCGAUCAUUUGUGGGUCCCAAUCAAAUAAUGCCUCACCAACUCCAUGGUCCAUACCCAUUAAAAAAGAAUAUCGUUAGCUAGCCUCUUGAGGUUGUUUAAUCACAAGAAAAGUAAAAAGGUUCUUUUGCAUCUUAUUGAGAUAAUUUUGUGUCCGUGACCCUAAACCCUAAGCCCUAAAAGAUCGUUAGCUAGCCUUUUGAGGUUGUUUAAUCACAAGAAAAGUAAAAAGGUUCUUUUGCAUCUUAUUGAGGUAAACUGGUGGAAUUACCUUAGAUUCUAUGUGCGUGUGUUUCUUUGCGCUGUUGAAAGAAAAAGGAAAAUAGGAGAGGAAUGUCAAUGUGAGUAUGGAUUCUUAGUCAAGGCUCUUAAGCUUCCUGCGUUCCCUUUCCCCCAACUCCUUGUUCCUACAUCGAUUAUGAGAGGUGUGUGUGUGUAGGAUUUAAGGUCCGUGAGUUUACCCAGAAGUCAGCAAUUGUAUUUUGGAUAAACUGGUGGAAUUACCUUAGAUUCUGUGUGCGUGUGUUUCUUUGCGCUGUUGAAAGAUAAUUUUGUGGAAAAAGUACUGUAACACUUUUUUGAUAUGAUGUAUGUGAGAUAAAAAGGUGAUUGAAAAAUAUAUUGAUGAUACAAACAAAUCAAUGUGUGUAAAUAAGGUAUAAAUAAAGUGUAAUUUUUUACAAUCCAAACACAUAUUGUAGAUAGUUAAAUACUUGAUUGUUUGCUGGCUCAACUUUUCCACCAAGACUUCCGGUCAUCACAUAGUUUCUUCCAACGCAAAAUGGUGAAAGUGAUGCUUUUAAACUUGUAUAAAUGAACCACUUCUCUGAGCAUACUUUAUCAUAUAGUUCAAUAUCAAAAGCAAUCCAAUGGAGCACUAUCUUCUUGGCACUUCUUUAUCUUUACUACUAGUAAUGUUCUUAUUCAGUUCUAUUCUCGUCACCAGCCAUUUUCCGUUUGGCUGCAGCAAACAAGCUUAUACUCAUUCAAAUGUCUCUUGUAUCGAGAGUGAACGACAAGCUUUUCUUCAAUUCAGAAAUGGGUUGAUAGAUGAAUCGAAUCAUCUGUCAUCUUGGAUAGGAGAAGACUGCUGUUCAUGGGAAGGUAUUGGUUGCCACAAAAACACUGGUCAUGUGGUGAAACUUGAUCUACAAAAUACGAAGCCGUUACACUCAAAUAAUGUAUUUACUUAUUGCAAAAAUUGCUUGGGAGGCCAAUUAAGUCCAUUUUUGGUCAAUUGGACCAAUUUGCAAUACCUGGACUUGAGCAAGAAUAAUUUUUCAGGAAUCCAAGUUCCCACAUUCCUUGGAUUGUUGAAAUACUUGAGAUACUUAAAUCUUGCAAAUGUAGUGUUUGACGGUGAAAUUGUAAUGGUACUAUUAGUUAUGAUCUGAAUAGGCUAAGAAGGUAGAAGGGUGUAGCAGAGAGAACGCAAGGAAGGGGGAAAAUUGUGAGAGAGAAGAGAGGAAAGGAUAGUGUGACAGGAAAGGAAGCUGAAUUUGUUAUAUCUCAUUACAUGCCUUUUCGUCCCCUUUAGGCUUUAUUUAUACAGAAUGCUCCCUCUAGAUCCUUCUGCAACUAGCCAAUCUCAUAACAGAAUGAGCAUACAUACAUGCAUGCCUUUGACAGCUAGCUGACUAACUAAAUAACGGAAAUGCUAACUAACUACCUGAAAAGGAAAGCAUGGCAGAUACAUUUCUGCUCAGAAAUAUCUAGCGAGAAUAUCUAGGGUCAUUACAACACCUCCCCCUUGAGAAUCCUAGUCACUAGGAUUUGAGCUGGAAAUCUGGAAACUGUGAUUGUAUUACCGUGACAUCCUCCCAAGUUGAGUCUUCAGUGCUUAGGUUCACCCAUUUGAUCAACACUUGAGUCACCUUCUGCCUUUUCCUUAUGAUUUCACGAGUAGCAAUCACCCUUUUAGGGGCAAUUUUAAUCUGUCCGUCCGUAGUCGUCAAGGGUAACUCCUGAGUCACAACAUGAUUCUUUGCAGAUGGUUUAAGCAGGGAGACAUGGAAGGUAGGAUGUAUCAAAGAACCAGCAGGUAAUUCCAGUCUGUAGGCCGCAUUCCCCACCUUCUGAAGGACCUUGUAAGGGCCAUAGUAUUUGGAAGAUAACUUCAGAUUUCUUCGGACUGCUACUGAAGUUUGUCUGUAAGGCUGCAAUUUCAAAUAAACCCAGUCUCCUACCUGAAAACUCCUUUCAAUUCUGUUUUUGUCAGCAAAUUGCUUCAUUCGAUUCUGAGCCUUGAUUAGAUUACCCCGCAGCAGUUCAUUCCAUUUCCUUCUAUCUCCUAGCCAUUGUUCCACAGCAGCUACAGGAGUCUCUAAGCCAUUGAGGCCUAAUUGCGAGGGUGGAUAACCAUACAGAGCCUGAAAAGGAGUCAUCUUUAAGGCUGUGUGAUGGUUGGUGUUGUACCACCAUUCAGUAGCUGUUAGUAAGGACUUCCAUUUGUGAGGCUGUUGGAAACAUAAACACCUCAAGUAUGUCUCUACACAUCUGUUCAGCCUUUCUGUCUGCCCGUCUGUCUGGGGGUGGUAGGCAGUGGAGUAAUGCAACUCAGUACUUAGCUUCCCAAACAACUCCUGCCAGAACAUGCUAGUGAACAGCCUGUCUCUGUCUAAUACAAUGCUCAGAGGUAAUCCGUGCAGUUUGUAGAUGUUAUCAAAGUAUAUGUUAGCUAUUGACUGUGCUGUAUACUUAGAGGGUAGUGCUAUUAGAUGACAAUACUUGGUGAACCUGUCGAUGACCACCAGUAUCCCUUCAUAUCCGUGAGAUUUGGGUAAUCCUUCUAUGAAGUCCAUUGAAAUAUGUUGCCAUGCUUGCUCAGGGAUAGGGAGGGGUUGCAGUAGACCUGGUGCCUUACAGUUUUCCACUUUGCUCCUUUUACAGAUAUCACAUUGCUGCACCCAUUCUUCUACCUUCCUUCUCAUUCCAGGCCAGAAGACUGGUCCCUUCAAUCUCUGAUAGGUUCCCAGAUAUCCUGAAUGACCCCCAAGGUGCGAGUCAUGGAAGCAGGCUAUCAACUUCUGUCUCAAGUUCCCCGAAGCUCCAAUGUAUACCCUGCCCUUAUACCUGAGCAAUCCCCCAACAAAAGAGUAAUUUGGGAGAGAAUCUGGUGUAAUAGUCAGGGUUUCCAUUAAUUUAGUCACUGCAUUAUCCCAUUGGUAGCUUUCCACAACUUCAGAUAGCCAUGCAGGUUUCAUGACUGAGAGACUGUGUGUAGAACUGUCCUCUUCAUAGUCUCUUCUGGACAGUGCAUCGGCCACAAGAUUUUCUUUUCCUUUCUUGUACUGUAUUUCAUAAUCCAAUCCUAACAAUUUAGUAAGCCACUUCUGCUGAAGGGGGGUAGUUAUCUUCUGCUCCAAUAGGUAUUUUAAGCUCUGGUGAUCUGUCUUGAUAAUGAAAUGAUUCCCUAACAAAUAAUGCCUCCACUUCGAUACAGCUGUGAUAAGGGAUAACAACUCUUUCUCAUAUAUUGAUAACCCCAAGUUCUUAGGCCCCAAGGCUUGACUGAGAUAAGCAAUAGGCCUUCCUUGCUGCAUGAGUACAGCUCCUAUAGCCUUAUGACUGGCAUCUGUUUCCAGAACAAAUGGUAAGGAAAAAUUAGGAAGUGCGAGGACAGGUGUGCUACGCAUCAGUUGUUUGAGUUUUUGGAAGGCUAGCUCAGUAUGUUCACUCCAGUGGAAAUUUUCUUUCUUCAGCAACUCCGUAAGUGGCUUGGCAAUGAUUCCAUAACCUCUCACGAACCUCCUGUAAUAGCCCGUAAGUCCCAAAAAUCCUCUCAAAGCCUUCACUGAUGUAGGUGCAGGCCAGUCCAUCAUGCUUUUGACUUUUGAGAGGUCUGCCUGUACUCCAUUACCACUGAUAAUGUGUCCCAAAUACUCCACUUGAGACUGUCCAAAGAUGCAUUUGGAAAGCUUGGCAAAUAGGGAGCAAGAUCUGAGUGUUUCUAGGACAGUUUUGAGGUGUGAAAGGUGAGUGUUUAGGUCCGAACUAUACACAAGGAUGUCAUCAAAAAAUACUAGCACAAAUUUUCUCAAGUAAGGUUCGAAUACACGGUUCAUCAGGCUUUGAAAGGUUGCUGGUGCGUUAGUAAGGCCAAAUGGCAUGACUGUGAAUUCAUAAAGUCCAAGGUGAGUUUUGAAGGCUGUUUUUGGAAUGUCAUUUAGGUACAUUUUGAUUUGAUGGUAACCAGCUCUUAGGUCGAUCUUAGUGAAGAGCUUAGCACCAUAUAGCUCAUCGAGUAAAUCAUCAAUGAUUGGUAUUGGAAAUUUAUCUUUGAUAAUCAGGUCAUUUAGUUGUCUGUAAUCAACACAGAAUCGCCAAGUUCCAUCUUGCUUUUUAACUAACAGAACUGGAGAUGCAAACGGACUAUGGCUGAGCUAAAUAAUGCCACUACUAAGCAUGUCUUUUACCUGUUUCUCUAUUUCAUUUUUCUGGUUGUGAGGAUACCUAUAAGGUGCUAACUUGAAUGGUUUGGCAUUUGGUACUAAAGGAAUUUGGUGGUCACAGUUUCUAGAAGGGGGAAGGGAUUUUGGCUCCCCAAAUACAUCCUUGUAGUCCGCAAUUAGAGCAUCUAGGGACUGUUGAAAAGUAAUAUCCAACUGAGUUACAGAGUGUACCUGAGUUCCACUCAUCCUCAGCCCGCAGGCCUGCUUCCAAAUUCUGGUGCUUAGUCCCUCCUUCUCAGCAUUGUCUCUAGGAAACUUAAGGACGGCCUCCUUAGACUCUCCUUGUAGCAAGAUCCUUUCCCCUUCCUUAUCAAAUGUCAUGUUCAACUGCCUGAAGUCAAAGGUGAUGGGGCUGUGUGCAGCCAUCCAAUCCACACCUAUGAUCAUAUCAUAAGGUUCUAAGUUAAUGAUAAACAUGUCAUGAGUGAAUGGUUUACCUUGCAUUUCCCAGUUCAUGUUUGGAAUCAUCCUACUACAGGUCAAAUACUCCCCAUUAGCCACCUUGACCUUGAAGGGCUUGAUAGACUUAACCAUCCCUGGAAAGAGUUGAGCCACAGUAUUUUUGACAAAGCUGUGAAUACUUCCCCCAUCCACCAAGAUUGACAGGGGGUUCCUUUGAACAGCCCCUGCAAUUUGAUGGUAUUGUAAGUCAUCUUCCCCGUCAGUGCAUGUAUUGCCAUUUCCACUCCUUUGGCUGACUGUGCCCCUUGGUACUCAAUUACCUCCCCUUCCUCCAGAUCCUCAGGCCUAUUUUCUACUGCGACAAGCAGAUGAAUCUCCUUCUGCCUACACUGGUGACCUGGACCAAACUUUUCUCCACACUUGUAGCAAAGAUGAUGUUCCCUUCUGUACUGCAGUUCUUCUGGUGUGAUUUUUUUGAAAUGUUGAGGUGUUUUUUUUGACAGCAUUGGCAAUGACAGGUUUGGUAGGUGCCACAGUUUGCUGAGCAGCAGCCUGUGUGGAGUUUCCCCAAGCCAUGGCCCUCUGAUGAGGUUUGUGCUUCCUGUGGUAGGCUUCAAAGGCAUUCUCCUGUAGUCUGGCUAACUCAAAGGCUUUGGAUAAUGUUCGAGGGUCGUGAGCUUUCACCAUGGAUCUCAAUUCAUCUGGCAGCCCACUCAAAAAAUAGGAAAUAUAGUAGUUUUCUGGAAGGUGUGGGGCUCGAAUCGUUACCUCUGAUAACAGCUCCUCAAAAUUUUCUUGAUAUGCUAGCACCGUGGAAGAGAGUUGCAACUUGUUGAAUUCCUCCACUGGAUCCAUCUGUCCUAAGGUUCCAAACCUCUUACACAGCUCUCCAGAAAACUCCAUCCAAUCUUUGUGUUACCCCUAGUAGACCUGAAUCCUUGAUACCACACUGCCGCUUUCUCCUCCAAGUGGAACUCUGCCAACUCCAUCCAUUGCUCCUUGGGAAUGUGCAGAAGCUGGCAAUAUUUCUGCAGUUUCCUGAUCCACUCCCUAGGAUUGUCUCCCCUAAAUGCUGGAAUUUCCAAUUUAGGCGUGCUAGCGAAGAAGGCACUCCUAGCAUUCCUUUCUCCUUGUUCUCUACUCCCCAGGUCUGAACUUCUAGAGUGACUUCCUUCUGGAGAUCCUAAUAUGCCUUUCUCUUGAUUUCCACGGUUCAAGUUGGAGAGCUGCUGCGAGAUGGCUGACAUGAAUGCAUCUAGCUUAUUGCCCAGCUCAACACUCACUGCAUCCAACCUAUCCUCCAUGCUCUGCUUGUCUGCUGCCAAGGAUUCCAGAAUUCCUUGAAUCUUGCUUUCUUGCCUGCGGAGCUGUUCCUCCAUCGUCUUCAUCCUUGUUCCAUCCGCCAUUGUGAUAUGUCGAUCUAAGCUUCCUAGUCCAAGGACCGGAAGCUCUGAUACCACUUGUAAUGGUACUAUUAGUUAUGAUCUGAAUAGGCUAAGAAGGUAGAAGGGUGUAGCAGAGAGAACGCAGGGAAGGGGAAAAAUUGUGAGAGAGAAGAGAGGAAAGGAUAGUGUGACAGGAAAGGAAGCUGAAUUUGUUAUAUCUCAUUACAUGCCUUUUCAUCCCCUUUAGGCUUUAUUUAUACAGAAUGCUCCCUCUAGAUCCUUCUGCAACUAGCCAAUCUCAUAACAGAAUGAGCAUGCAUACAUGCAUGCCUUUGACAGCUAGCUGACUAACUAAAUAACGGAAAUGCUAACUAACUACCUGAAAAGGAAAGCAUGGCAGAUACAUUUCUGCUCAGAAAUAUCUAGCGAGAAUAUCUAGGGUCAUUACAGAAAUUCCCCACCAUCUAGGAAAUCUCUCAUGUUUACGGCAUUUAGAACUUGGAGAUGUAACUCCCUCCUUAACAUGGAAUCGAUUGACAACGAAGGAUCUCGGCUGGAUUGUUGGGCUUUCUUCUUUAGAAGGCCUAAUCCUGUCUGAGGUGAAUCUCAGUGCCGCUAAAGAUGGUUUACAGACAAUUAACAUGCUUCCGUCACUAACAAGCUUCGAAUUGUCUGGUUGUGGACUUUUCAUCAAUCCUCAUCUUUCACAGGUCAAUUUCACAUCUCUUUCUUCCCAUGAACUCGGUGAAAGUAAUUUCAACAACUACACGGUCCCUCCUUGGCUCCAUAAUCUUACUGGUCUCCAUAAUCUUGGUCUUAGCUCUAAUCAUCUUUCCGGUCCAAUUCAUGGCCUAUUCGAACAAAUGACCUCUCUAGUUUAUCUCGAUCUAGGGGAAAACCGCUUUGAUGCAUCAACGUUGAUGUCACUUUGCAAUGUGAGCACUCUUAAUUAUUUGGAUCUGAGUUUUAAUGAUAUGCAAGGGUCGAUACCGAGUGAAAUAAGCCAACUUUCGAAGCUGCAAGUAUUGGAUAUUUCUUCCAACUCAUUAACUGGUGUAUUAUCUGAAGACCAUUUUGCAAAACUCGGAGAGCUAAAGUCGUUGAACCUAUCUGAAAACUUAUUCACUCUGAAUGUGAGCUCCUGGUGGGUUCCUCCUUUUCAACUCCGAGAAAUUAUGAUGUCACCCAUCAAAGUAGGCCCCCUAUUUCCAGUUUGGCUUCAAACGCAAAAGGAGGUUCAAAGUUUAGAGAUGCAGAAUGCAGGCAUUUCGGAUAGCAUACCCAGCUGGUUUGGAGUGCUUUGUUAUGAAAUUUAUAUUGUAGAUUUCUCCAACAACAACCUGACUUGGAAUCCGUUGGAGUUCAAACAAAUGAAGAAGAGUCCUCCUGAUGGUAAUUCUCCAAGCAUAGUUCUAAAGUCCAACAAAUUGGAUGGAUCUCUCAAAUCGUUUCCGUCUUAUAUUUAUGAAUUAGAUCUUUCACAAAAUUUUCUUACCGGACAUAUUCCAUUGCCUGAUGUUGGUCAAACUGUUGCAUCUACUCGUUUUCUCAUACUCUGUGAUAAUCAUUUCACAAGCAGUAUCCCGGAAGACUUGUGCAAAUUGGAAAAUUUAAAAUAUCUGGAUCUAUCCAACAAUUUUCUGUUCGGAAGAGUUCCUCUGUGUUUGGGAAAUUGGCUAGACCUGCGGGUCCUAAACUUGGCAAAUAAUAGUCUAUGCGGUCAAAUUCCGAGUUCACUAGGCAACUUGGGGUAACUUUGGAUUCUGCAUUUGAAUUGAAAUAAAUUCGUUGGGAAGCUCUUAUCCUCAAUGCAGCGCCUGAGAAAUUUACAAAUUCUUGAUCUCGGUGACAAUGGACUUACAGAUAUUAUACCAACAUGGAUUGGGGAAAGGUUAUCAAAUUUAAAGUUUCUAAGAUUUCAGUCAAAUAACUUCCAUGGAAUCAUUUCUGAUGAGCUCUGCCUAGUCUCACGUCUUCGUGCUGAACCUAGCGCAUAAUAAUUUAACAAGAUCUAUUCCUCAUUGUUUUAUCAACUUCUCAAUGAUGGUAUCAAGUGAACCAGGAACUGACCUAUCAAUGCAUGAACUCUUCGGUGCAAUCCCUAAAAGCUUAUCUGCUUUAAACUGGUUGAACUUCCUGAAUUUGUCACACAAUAAGCUAUCAGGGCCAAUACCAUCAGGGAAUCAAAUUUAGACCUUAACCGAUCCAUCUAUCUAUGAAGGAAACAUUGGACUCUGUGGCAAGCCACUCCCAAAUGACUGCCUGGAACAUAAAUUGCCUACGGAAAAUGGGCAUAUUCAUGAUGAUAUAGGCCACGCGAGUCUAAUUGGUCUUGGUUUUAUGCUGUCGGGCUAUUGGGAGUUUUGGGAAUCCUUCCGUUCAAGAAGUCAUGGCGCUAUGCAUACUUCAGGUUUCUGGAAAAUGCCUAUGACAAAAUUUACGUAAUGAUUGCAUUGAAGGCUAAUCAGCUGAGGAGGAAUUUCCAUUGAGUAAUACCCUGUAAAAGCACAUUUAUUCCGUUUUUCAUAUCACACAGUAGCAUACUCUCCUUGAGAAUUUGCAAAACUAUAGUAAUUUGUAGUAAAGAUUUGUUUUAUGCGUCCCAACUUGACCGAUUCUUAUUCAAUAAGAAAAUGAUAGCUUACUAGUUUUCUUUCUUUUUUUUUUUCAAGACAAAGAAGCUCAAUAAGUUAUAUCAACAAAAGAAUAACGCACCAAAAGCAGUAGAUGAUUCUAGCAUCAAAUCAGUAUCUUGCAAAGGAAAUUUUCCCAAUAAACUAUUACGUGAUUGAAGACCAGAAAUUUCCAUUCCUUAACUUUUGGAACUUUUUAUCUUAAAAACUAGGUACCAAAACCUUAGUUGCUUUCUCUAGAUUCUCUCUUUCUAUUGGCAAUUAUUUUUAGUCUCUCAAAAAUUUGAUUUCUAAUAAUUCUGCUCUAUUCUUCAUAUUUACAUUGCAUUUUCCUAUGUUUCUUUACAUUCCAUACUAUGAGAAUCUUAUUGAUUUUUAUUUACAACCGAUUAAAUAAUUAUUUUUCUGUUCGCAUUAGAAUGCAUUAAAUAUUCUAUAUCGAGCAAUUUAUAGGUUGUUUAUCUUGCUUACUGAUCUAAUUUUUGCGUCAACAGAUUUAAACGCUUUAGAAGAAUUCUAUACUUGUUUAUGCUAAUAAUUGAUUUAGUUGUUUAAUUUCUAAUUGAUAUGCAUUUGAUAGGUUGCGAUUUUAUCAUUUAUUUUAUUAUUAAUUUCCCUUAUUGCCUGAUCCGAUGUGGAUUAAUUACUGGAUUUAUUCACUUUUAGUAUUUUGCAUUUAUUUCAGGGAGUAGAAUGAAAAUAUGACAACAGGUGCUAAUUUGGCAGAAAAGGAAUCCAAAUGAUAGAGUUUAUCCUAGGGGUAUUUUUGAAAUAAAAAGAGACGCAAGACCUUUUUGAUAAUUUGGUCGAAGACAGCAGGAAAGAAAAGGGAGGAGCUGGAGUCUUCGGUUUGAAGACUGGGCCGCCGCACAGUAGCAGAGGCUACUUAGAUAGGAAUUAGAAUUAGAAUUGAAUUAGCACUACUGUGGAUAGAUAGCUUUUCUUUCGAGGAGCUAUGCCCCAUGCAUGUCAGGAGCAAAAUUGGGGAAAACUUUGACUUUUCUUCCUUUGAGCUUUUAGUAGUUGUUUUUCCUCCUUCGUACGGCAGACGAAGGGAAAACUACCAAUCACCUUUUGCAGCCUGCUAUCUUUUCAAUAUUCGGACGAAUUGAAUUUUUCCAAUCUCAAAGGACGAUGGCUGCUGCUUUCUCUUCAGUUUUGUAUGGUUUUUUCGCACCAAAUAUGAACUAAUUUCUUCACUUUAAUCAAGGAACAACGGAGGCUUUGGUUCGUCUAAAACUUGUGAGAUCGAUUUAAUUUUAUCUUUUUCUUUUAUUUAUUGGUAUUCGCAUAUCUCUUGAUUGCAUUGUUCAUGAUUAUUUAAUUAAUUGAUUGUCUUGAAUCCGGAUAAUCAGUUAACUUAAUAAUUUAUUGUCAAUUAGGGCAUUAAAUCCGUAAUUGUUUAAGUGCCUUGAAAUAGUGACAACUGGCACGAUUAGAUUCGUGUCAAAGGGAUACGCAAGCUAAUCUGAAAUAACCCCGGUAGUGCAUUAUUUGGUUAGAAUAUGGCUCCUCUAAUACGUAAGACAAUUAGAGAAUUGAAUCUUAUGGGCAUACCUAAGAUUAUUUCUCAAUUAGAGCAGUGAUUAAUGGGCGUACCUUAAUCACCGAUACAGUAAGGAGGGGUUGACUGGCAUCACUUGUUUGGUAGUUAUAACCUAUUUAUUAAUAAAUAAUUGGAAUUGCUUGUGCAUCGAUGAUCAAUUAGGUGAACCAUUGCUGAAGUUAUUUCUUGGCUAGACCUUUAAUUAUUGUUAAUAUAAUUUUAGUGAAUUGUCAUUUAAUUUCUAGCUAGCUAUUUAUUUUUAUUCUUAUUUGAAUUUCUUUGAUUGUCAUCGUUUAUACAAAAACACCCCCUGUGUUACUUUGGAUUUCUUAAGAGACAAAUAUCCCCAAUCCCUGAGGAUACGACCCUACUUGCCCUGUCUACAAAUUCAUAAUUAUUUGUGAAAAAAGCCAUCCCAUUCGAGUAUAUCGGAUCAACCAAACUCUUUGGGAACAGGGUGAAUCAAGUAACCCAUUGCACACCUAGAGUCCUUGCUCCAGUACUUGGAAUCAGAUUUUGGUUACUUUAACUGGCAAUUAGGUUUAAUUUUAUUAUUGUACAGGCUUCGACACCUGUCAACAUUCUAGCUUUUCUGCCAACAACUCUUAUGAAUUACCAACUAAUGAUUUUCAGGUAUUACAUUAAUUCUACCCACCUAAGUUUCACUCUCGAAACUUAAUUUGACCAAAUUAGCAUAAAAACAAACUGCCCUUCCAAUUAUAUCACUUUACAUGAACAAGUAUUAAUUAAACUACUAGUAUUUAAGGCACACACCAAUGUGUGUACACCUAAAACAAAGCAUAUUAUUAAAAUUUUGAGUAAAUUUGUUGAAAUCAUUUUCAAAGGAAUUAGUUUUAUAUUUUUGACAAUGGGUAUUGGAAAAUUCACGAAAAUAAGUGUACAAAUAGAUUGUUAUUUAGCAGUAAUCCAUAACCAUAAUCGAUAGUUGAUUACAUUGGGUAGCUAGCAAGGUAAGUUUAAAAAUAAUAUAAAAUGACAAAAUUUUAUGUAUACCAAAAGCCCUCUCCCCAUUUAUAUAUUUACAACAAAAGCUUACUCCACCUUUACAUAGAGCAUAGAUAUUAUUUAUUCAAGGACAAUUCAUGUCCCUCCUCUCCUUCCCCUCCUCGUUUUUUUGGUCAAUCGUCAACUCCUAUUACUACUCCUACUCUAACCAAUAUUAGGGAAUGAUCCAACUGGACCAAUGGGGCUGGAGAAAGAAGAUCUCACCUGUAUAUCAAAGAGGUUCACUAGACCAAAGAAGGGUUGGUUCAUGUUCAAAUCCGCUAUUCUUUUUACAAGGCCAUAGAAAUUUCAAACACCUGAUGCCCAUUACGUUUCCCUUGCGUCAACAUAAAUCCAAACAUCAAGAAGAAUUCCACUUAAUUAACCUUAUUUUCAUUUGAACUUUAGUUAUUUCUAAAGUGAUAAUCAUGUCUUACUAUUCAUUAAAGUAACCUACUAUCAAUAAAAACUCCACUAGUAAAUUCCGUGCUCUCAUUUUCUGAUUUGCCAGAUUCUUAGUUGCACCCCCAAUUUACUUCAUACUACAUGCCAUCACAGUGGAUCUAGAAAUAUUAUAGCAUAACCACCUAGAAAUAUCUUCAAGAUAUAAUCCUUUUCAAUAACAUCACCCACUCAUGAUUUUCAAUCUAGAAUUACCUGUAGUUUUAAGAUUCAAAUCAAGUGAUCAUAAAGCCAUGUGAGAAAAACUAAUGAACAUAAAUUAAAUUUCUAACUCAUCGAUUGCCAAUGGUCCUAUUAGAAACUAGUUCUUGCAAUCAAUAAUUGGUAGACAUGCAAUAAAAAUGUGUCCUAGGCCUCCUGAUCUUCUAAACAAACAUGUAAGAGCAGAAGGGUUUCAUGAACAUCCUCCCAAUGAGGAAUGUUAUAUGAACGGAUCCCAAUCACAAAUUAAAGAUUCGUGAAAAAAGAGAGAAACUCUAAAAAAUUGGGUAAUUCCAAUAAAGUUUGAUAAAAGUUGUUAAGAGAAUGAGAUAUUACUUAGGCCCUAUUUGGCAAAUAACUCCCAAUAAAUAUCUGGGUAAAACUUAGGCCUCGUUUGGCGAAUGAGUUUUUUGAGUGUUUAUCUAAAAUUUUACUGCAACUUACUGUAAAAAUUGUAGGAAAAAAUUUUAAAAUGAAAAUUUUUUUUCUUUUCUUUUUAUUUCUUUUUCUUUCUUUCUUUCUUUGUUCUUUUCUUUCCUUUCUUCUUCAUCUCCCUUCCCCGUCCCCUGCCACCUCUCGCUUCCAGUUGGAACAAGAAUUUUUUUUGCUCUUUUCUCUCACCCUCUCUUCUCUCUCCCCUCCCCUCUCGCCCCUUUUCCGGGUGCUUUCUAGUCGUGUGACCAGAUCGGGCAAAGGGGUAAGGGAAGGGUGGUGAGGGAGGGAGAAGGGGGGAGAGAAAUGGCGGGGAAGAGAGGAGGAGAGAGGGAGAGGAGAGAGAGAGAAAAAAAAAGAUCGGCCGACUCCGAGGUGGUGGUGGGUUGAGAUGGAAGGAGAAAGGAGGAAGAAAAUUUCUUUUGUGUGUUUUGGAUAUUUUGAAAUAUAUAGUUAAAGUUGUUAAAAAUUUGAUAGGAAACAAACUUAGCCAAAAAUUCGUUUGCCAAAUAGGCCAUUAGUUCUAGGAAUGCUUUGAAAAUCCUUGUUAGAGGGAUAGUGAAAUUCUUGUUAUCCAUUAAUAUCUGAGGUCAUGUUAUUCAAUAAUGGUAAUUGUGAAAAAAUUUUCUCUUUUUUGAUUGAUUUUUAUUCAUAAAUUCAAGCUAUUAUUCAAAUUAUAGUAAUUUAUUGAUGAAUUUGGAUUAUUUAUUGUUGAAUUUGGCUAGGUAUAAAGUUAAUUGAAGAUGCAUAAAAGUUUCAUAAAUAAGGCAGCCUGUUUCGACAUUGCUUUCAAUGAUGUGUGGAUUAUGUUUGUGAACUUUAAUGACACAAAGGGGCAAGCUACUCCUACUACUGCUACUUAUUUUGCAUUUGGGGAUGAGUCCCGCAUCUCGUGCUGGAGUUGAUACCGGUGUAGUAAAAUGGUAAUCCAAUAUGCAAUUAACGAAUUUUGUUCUAAAAGCUAUAUAUAACGGAAAUGUGUGAGAACCUGAGAAAAUUAUGUGUAUGCCCUAAAUUUAUUUCAUUUUAUUUACUUUGAUAUUAGAAAUAUUAUAUAUAACGAAUAAAUGGUUAAAUUAAAUGCCUAAUUGAAUCCUUAUGAAAUUGAGAAUUUAGAAAAUAUCCUAGAAUAGUGUAGAAAAAUUUUAUGAAUUAAAUAAAUAUAUGGCAUUCAUAUCGUAAUUUAUGUCAUUUGCAAAUAUUACUAGACACGAAACAUAUACUAUAUAGUUCAAUAGGUACAUGUCUAAUAAAUCCUUUUUAAAGCUAAAUGUGUGAAAAUCUACUAGAUCAACGUAAGAAAAUUUUUCACGAAAAUAAAAAUUAAGUUAAGAGUGAAUGUAUGAAAUAAUAAACUAAAGGACCAAUUUAACCAUUAAUGGAUGGACAAUUAACCAUGCAACCAAAAGAGGAAUUGAGCUUCUGGACAACCGAGGAACUUAGGCAAUCAAAUGCUUAAUUACUAGAGCGGUGAUUGAGAGAACACUAAGAAGAAAACAGCUCAAGUAGUAAGUAGCACCGACUGGGAAACAUUGACCACCGAGUGGACUGUUCCUUCUGAUUCUAGAGUCUUAUAAGCUGCUAAGUCCAAGCGGUGGCUGAAGGAAAAACCAAGAGAAAUCCACAGCCAAUAAUUUGCUAAGUCAAGCGGUAGAAGUGAGGAAACAAAUAGAAAGUGGCUUGCUAAGUUGGGCGGUGGCCGAGUGGAGAAGCGAGGCUUCAAUUCUUUUCUUACCAACCAAACACCAAGAGCAAAACUGAGAGACUAAGCCAUUUCUUUUCAUCUCAAGGCACAACCGAGAGAGAGGAAAAUAUUUCUGGUUCCUCCUUGUUCCAGUUUUCAACCGAGAGAGUGAGGGAGAGAGUUAGACAUUUGCUAGCUUUAUUUCUCCAGCUUGGAACCUCAAAACUCUGAGCCAAAGUGAGUGAGAGGGAGAAAAAUCCUGGUGGUAUACUUCACCUAACGGCCUCAACCGAAUGAGAGUGAAGUAGAUUGAAGAAAGAGUGAGAGUUGGUGCAAUUUUGAGGAACCGAAGCUCAACUUGGAGCCGUCUGCACUUGCUGAAUUCUAGAGGAAAGGAGUUCUUGUCCUUAGUUUAGCUACCCGAGAGACAUUAGGAGGAAAAGGAGAGAAGGACCAAAAGAAAGAAACAACAACAACAACUAGGAACUCAUUUCUGGCCACCUUCAACCGUGAGAACCAGCCACAAAGAAAGCAGGAAUGCAGUCUAUUGAGCUAAGAAUGGGAGAGAAAAACCAGAAUUUUAUUUUCCUAACUUAGAACCAUAAGAACCAGAGGUAAACUACUAUCUUUCUCUUCCAUUUCUUCUACGUUUAGCUAGUAGUCUUUUAGAAUGAAUUGAAACCAAGUAAAAGAAAAUUUUCUAGAAAACAAAGGUUGUCAAAGCUGGAAAUGUUCGUUUGAAGCUGCAUGUUCUCACUCUAAUGUUUAUAUGAUUGCAAGUUAGAUUUGAGUGUAAAAUGAAGAGAUUAUUAGAGGAAAUUUCAUACUUUUAAACUGCUAGCUGCUGAAACUCCUUCAUCUUGGCCGAGAGAACAAAAGAGAGUAUUCUCCAACUUUUCUCUUCAAACCUUGGCUAUAAAUUCUAUAUUGUGAUUCAAAACACCUCAUAGAAUAAUAAUUAUCACCUGGAUAUUAAGUUUGAAUGAGGAAAAUAAAGAAUUUUAUGGAGAAAACUUGUUUUCCAAACUACCUACUUGCUGGAAUUUUUCAACCUCAGCCGAGAGAGAUGGAAGGGAUAUUUUCUGAUAUUUCUCUAUAGAUUUUGGGCUGUAAACUUUCAUAUUAAGGUUGAUUACACCUUAUAAUAUCAUUAGAUGGUCAUGUAUGUGAAUUUUGGGGUGAAAAUGUGAUUUUUUAUGGCUGGAUUGUUGUUUGAAAGACUGUUAGGCUAAUAAACCAUUUACAGUUUAGUCAACGGAAUUUCUUGGCUUUGAAUGGAUAUUUUAGUAUAAAAUUUGCUGGAAAUGCUUGAUUUGUACUUGUUGCUGUGUUAUGAGUUUGUUGGUGAGUGAUUGGUGGAUGGAAAUAAAAUCUAAAUAGUUAAAAUGGAAGGGAAAGUUUGCUAUACCACCUACAGGAAUCAAAGGAGCCUUGUAACUUAUAUAAGAAGAUAUCCAUUUAUUACUUGGUUUAAUAGGCUCUAUAUAAAUUGUAUACACAUCUUAAGGUAAUAAACUAGUUAUGCAUGUGGUCUUGGUUAAUAACAGAAGGAAUUAUGUGACAAGAAAGUACUUUAAGGUUAGCUACUUCUAAACUUACCUUGUUAAACGUUAAUGUUGAGUUUUAGUACGAUAAAUCUAACAGUAUAAAAGUAGUGAAGUGACAUUACUGGAAUUGCUACUUAAACUUCCUUUCUUUUGGAAAUUAAAAGUUGAAGUAACAAGCGAGUGUGAGAAAAUGCACUAGUCAUCUCAUUUAAACAUAGCAAUGACUUAGAUUUCGGGUGGAAUGGUGACUUAAGGCUAGAAUACAACACGUAUGUUGAUUAUACUUUAGAAUUUCACCAAAUGAGUAGUUAAAUAAUUAUGGCAAUUAUAACUUGUCUCAGGAGACAGCGGUGCGCAAGAAAGCAAUUCUAAGAUCGAAGUGUAACUUUUGAUUAGGGUGAGUGUUUAAGAAUUUAUAUAUUUAACUGUUUAUGUUUAUUUAAGUGAAAUUAUGUGAUAAAUGUGCUUAUUAUGUAUAUUGCCAGUGAUUUAUUGUAAAGUGUAUCUCAAUUGUCCCUCGCCUUCUAAGUCGAGGGUGUACUUUAUCGCACUCGACUUAGUUGAACUUGAAGGUUGAUUAUUGACUAAAUGUUACUGUAAGUAUGUAUGAAUGUAAGCCGUAUGUGUACUUUAUCGCAUCGGCUGAACUGAGCCUCAAAACCCUCUGUUCAACAGAUUAUUCGAGCCAGCAAAGGGCUUGUUGGAUAGGACGGAAGCUUUGGGUAACUGUUUGGUAUACUCGGGUAUUACCCUGAAGUUGGGAGAUUAUUGAACUGAUUGCUGAAUGUAGGGGAUUGAUUAUUGUUUUGGAGGACAUAAGGAGGUGGAUUGGCGGAGUGUGCAAUAAUAUUGAAAUGAAUGUACAAUGACACUGAAAUGAGUGUGCAAUGAUAUUGAAAUGACACUGAAUUACUGAACGGAACUAAGUGCUACGUCUGGAACGAACGGGAACCACCUCUAGAGUCCGUAUCAAUACCGUAUCCUUUGAGGUGAUUGAUUACUUUUAUUAAAUUUGAUAUCCUGAAUUGUUAAGUUUGGUGAAUGUUUUAUACUGCUAAUUGGUUGUUGUAUCCUUUUGAAAGUGACAAUACAGUGAAAUGUGCAUUACUUGCUUAAUUUUACUAGUUAAGUGUUUAUUGAAUGUUACUUGUUCGGCAAACCUCACUAAGUUUUAGCUCAACCUUUUAGUUUUGUUUUCCUUACAAGAAUUGGUGGUCAGGGAAUGAACAAGGGAUCUUAAGGAGUUAACGUGAAGAAUUUUGUGAAUGUAAAUCCUUUAACAUCAAAUUAUGGUUGAGGCUAUUAUAUUGAACUUGGUAUUGUAAAAGAUUUGAGUAUUUGGUUUUGGUUUAUCGAAAUGUUAUCUCUGAAAUUAAUGUAAGUGAGUGAGUCCUGGCGAGAGUCAGGCAGAUGGUCCGCUAACUUCUAGGGUAUGCUCUAGGAGAAGGUGUGACGACCCCACCUCCCCUAAGGCGUACCAAAGGGUUCGGCGGACCGCCUGCCCAACUCUCGCCAGGACUCACUCACUCGUGUCUUACGCAUACAUCCAUAGACAAGAAAUAACAUUGCAAUUCAAACUUGUAAUAUACAUCGAUGCACAAACCCAGAUACAAGACAUCUAUACAUCCAAAAUACUUAAAAGUGUAUACAAUACAAGUACAACGCAUUCUAAGCGAAUGAUAGCGUGAGUACAACUCGAAAGUCAAAACAAUUAGUCUAAACUAGUCUGUACACGUCUCACGCCUCGCUCGUACCCCUGUAAGGAAAACAAAACUAAAGGAGGUUCCAAAUAUCAAAUUGUCCAGCAAAUAAAGUAACAGUGGCAUAAUGGUGAAAUAGCGAGCAAAACAAGUCAAGAAAUGAGUAAUAACACUUCAUAUAGCUAGACACGUAAUUUUUCCGCAUUUCACAUAUAAGAAUACAGUUGCUCAUAUAUCGACUCCACCAUAGCUUGAUCAAUUGGUAGUUGGCACUCCGUCAACUUUCAAGUGAGAAACUAGUCCAGUAGGUCACCACUUCACUCCAAUCUCCGUCCACCGAUCAAACCUCUUACUGGGCUCGAACUCCACAAUAAACACUGGUGGUAAUACUCGAGUAUACCGAUUAGUCGAGGAGAUAACACUCCACUCGACAACACUAGAUACCCAUGGUUCGUUAUCUAAUCGACCAAACCCUUGCCGGCUCGACUCGAUUAACUAGCCAAUGGGGUUUGGAUCCCCAAAAAAUCGAUGAGAUAACACUCCAAUCGAUUGAAUCAAGAUAAAAGUAUGGAGACGGGAAUGAGAGGUACCUCCCACUCGGAUCGAGUGUGGUACAUACUGCCGCUCAGUACUUACAAGUCACACACAAAUAUCUCAAAUCAAUUGCAACAAUAAACAAGUACAUAUCACGUUAGGGCAAGUGCGAUAAAGUACACCCUUGCCCGAUCAUACCAAUCACAUAUCAUUCGAUCACAUUGGUCAAGUAUUAAAAACAAGUAUCCAGUUCAAUCAGGUAUUUGGAAGUACUCACCAAAGAUGUAGUGCCUUUACGGAUCACGGUCAGGUAUUACUCCUUGUGUGGAGUUCAACUCUGCGAUAAAAUGUCAUUUAAGAACUUGAAAUCAAUUAGGGUUCAAGUUUUUUUUAAAGAAAAUCAAGUAAUUGAAACUCAUUUGGGGAAUAUUCGUAAAACUCAUGCUCGCUCUUAAAACUUUGAAAAUUUGAAGCGAUUAAACUUUGAAAUUCCCAUUUGAGUCGAAGAGAGGAGAAAAACGUAUUUCUAUUAGUCGUUACUUUUAUUUUUUCAAGGUUACAAGGUUCGGUCGAAUUCUAACUUAUAUACCACUAUGAGCGAAGACUUGAAUACCCUAGAUGAUUCGAGUUCAAUUCGACCUCAAAUCUUCGCUCAAACUGCGAGUAUACACGUCUCACUUUCGAGUGAAAAUUUGGGCAGCAUACCCCUUUGUAUUUAGCUAUUUUCCAGUCAUUUAUGGCUUCAUUAUUGUUCUCAAUUCAGCCCUAAAAUCACACGCAAAUAAUCUUACCACAAUAGCCUUUCACUAGGCUCAAUGUCAUCCACACACAAGACAAUUUUAGCAUGUAAGCUUCACUUGGAAAUUCGGAAAUGGUGGCCAAAAGCUAAGUACAAGUCUUGACCGCUUUAAUUAAGGUAACUUGUUAAAAGAGUAAAACUUUGAGGAAAUGAGAGAUACAUUAGCGAGAGAAGUUCAAUAGGGAUAUAUUUGAUGUCAAGGAAGUGGAAAAAUCAAGGUGAGGGGUUGGAAGUAGGCCGUCUGAGGUUUUAAAGUCAAGAAGCCCGUUUCUAUACUUCAGGAAUCUACUGAGAUGAAUAGUAACAGUAAACUUUAAAAAUUCGCAACUCGAGUUCCACAAAUCAAACAAUUAUCAAAGUUAUACUGUUGUAAAAUAGAUUUUUAGUACUAUCACAUCCCAGAAGACACUUUUCAGAGAUUCAAAUCACAAAUAGGCCAAAUAUUCGAUCCAAGUCAAAAAUUCAUUUUCCUGAAGAAACAGGACAUUCAAGCAGGACAGCCUACUUUGAGGAGUCACGGACAGCAGUACACAUGGAGGAAAAAUAUGAAAUUUUUACAAAACAAAGGCCCAUGAUUCUAGUUGCAAAUGCCACUGAUGACACCUCAAUCGGAUUUUUCUACACCAAGAUAUAAGCAUUUUACUGAGACUGGUCAGUGAAAUCCGAAAAUCUGGAAACUCAUUUUUCACUUGUGAAAAACUCCUUUUUCUCUUUUAAAACCACAAGACUUUUAUUCAAACCACCCAUACAUUUAAGUAUGACAUUCAUACCAGCAGUUUUAACAUAAUUUAAGCAUCAAAUUUCAACAGAAACCAAAGAAAUAUACAUAUAUUCCAAGUUUAAAGUCUUGUAAGAUGUUUAUACUAAGAUUAAAUCAUUUUCUAUCCAAUAUUCAAGGAUUAAGGCAAAUGAACUCUUCAUUUGUUCCAUUUAAGCUAAACCAGAUUCUAAGUUGUUUGUAGUUUGGGUUUUGUUCCACUACACCAGCCCCUCACAUUAAUAGUCUUUAAAAUAUUAAUGAACACAAUAUUAAAUCAUUAGAAGCCACUUUACGUAUAUAACUAUCAUAACUUUCCACUCAAUCGUGUUGGUUUAACCCUACUCGUGGAACUAGGUAUAUCCAUUAAAUCUGAGAACAAUCGUAGCUAUCAUUUAUGAAAGCUUGCAAGAUUGGAAAUUAGAAGAAAUGUUAGUUAAAAGUUGGUUUCCUCAGGGCCAUCAUCAAAACUGCAUGCAUGUGAAACAAAAGGAAAGGCAACGAGGAAGUCAGCUUUGCCAUCCUCUGGUAUUUCAAUCAUAACUAGAGCUAUGCUUAUCAGAUUGAGGCAAGCUUUAUAGCGUUUCGAAGCUAAGAUAUAUACCUACAUUUCUUAUGACGACACCAACACCCAAUUCUCAUAUUUUCAGGGUCAAAAAUGGCCGGACAGAAACACAUCCUGCUUCACUCUGUCGGACAGCAACCACAAAAUUAAUCCAGUACCGUUACUUCAACUUUUGUCAAAAACUCUAUUCUUUCACUUGCUUAAAGCUCUAAAUACUUAAGGUAUAUUCAGUCCAGCAUAUACAAGGUGAGUAACUCAUAAUUUCAGCAUGUUGUUCGGCCAAAAUCACACACAAAAUCUGUCAUCAGCUGUUGCAUCAUUCAACGAAGUUUUCCAGCAGUAUAACAGUUCAACUUUGAUGUUUUCUCAAAUAUUUCCUUUCAGGUUCAUGCUCCAACUAGAAGUAUAAAACAUAUCUUAUCAAGCUACAAAGUAGCCUUAAACAGAACAUAUGAGGUUUACAACUAAAAUUCGAAGGAAGAUUGAUUAAAAGUCCUUUUCUCUCUCUCUCUCUCUCGGCCUUCCUAGCCAGUUCCAUCAGCUUUAAUCAAAAUUUCACCAUUAGUUUUUCCAUUAUGCUCUCAAAUCUAACUUGCAAUCAUAUUAAACAUUAGACAGAUCAUAAUACGUGAGUUCCAGUCACAAUUUAGCAAACGUUUUAGAGAAAUAACCAAAAUUGCAGCUUUUCCCUCUCGAUUUGCUGUGCAGAAAAUUCCAGCUUUUGAGAUUGCUUUAAAGUCAAUCUUUUCUUGCUUUUAGCUCCUCAAAUAACACACGGAUGACUGGAUUAGGAAGAUGGCAGUUAUAUGAAGUGAGUUUUUAACUAAACUAACAAAAUUUUCUAGAGAUAAAGCUGGAAAUUUCCAGCUUCAUCUUAUUGAUCCUUCAUGUAGUGUCCAAACAGAAAUUCAGCAAAGUUUCUUCAUAUUUUACACUCAUUCCACUUGAGUUCAGGUCAAGUACUGCACCCAUGUCAAGAUAUGUAUACUAUGGAAUAUAUAUAAUGCAUGAAGACAUAAUCUAACACAUUUUGAAGGAGAAUUGACUAAAAAAUUGCAGCUUUUUAUCAUCGGGUAGCAUGCAAUAACUUUGAACAGAAUUUUCCAGCUUUGAAGAACUUUUAUCGGUGAAUUCCUUCCUUUCUCAGUUCUAGUUCAUCCCAAGGAAUUAUUAACCAGGCAUAGCAGGAAAAUGAAGAAGAGCUUAAUUAAUUACCUAUUGUCUCUUCACGGUUUAGACUGGAACAAGAUUUCUGGUUUUCUUUUGUUUCCCUCUCUCGAUUCCUUGGUUAAAUGAGCUGGAGUUUCUCUUGUUUCUUGGCUGGUGUUCAUGGUUGGAGAAGGUAAGAGAGGUCUCCGUUUUUCCUUCUUGUUGUUUCUCGAUUUUAGGCAACAGGGGAAGUGAAUGGAACCCUCUCGGUCACCGCCCAACUAGUGCACAAAUGAAUUUCUUAGCUCCUCUCAUUCGGUCAUCACCUCACGUAGCAAAUAAAUGGGCAGCUGUCUUAACAGGUACCGCACAAUCUAGAAGCCAAUUCCUACUGGUUUUCUCCCUUCCACCGCUUGGACUCAGCAGAUAAUUUCUCUUUAUUGUCUCUCUUUCGGUCACUACUUAUUCAGCAAAUUUGGUGAUGCAUUCCUUCCUGGCAGCUGUCUCAACUCACCGCCCCAGUCUCAGUUAAUUUCUACACUUCACCGCUUAGACAAGUAGAUGGUUGCUGGCUUCUAUUCGGUUCCUAUCAAUUAAAUUUUUAUUCCUCUCUCGGUUUUGGUCUUCUGAAUUCUGAUAGCUUAUGCCUUGGCCACCUGGUAGUUAGUCUAAAAUUUAAGGUUAGUUUGGUCUUUUAACUGUAGCUUAUUUGCUCACAACGGCCUGAUUUGUUUAUUUAUUUUUUUAUGAGUUCAUGCAUGGACUCGUACCUUCAUUUGUAUUUUCGUGGAAAAAUUUUGACACCUUUAGCUUUAAGAAAAAUUAUUAGACAUGUACCGAUUGAACUUCUAGUAUAGUUUACGUGACUAGUUGUAUUUGUUUGCAAAUAACAUACAUUACAAUAUGCAUGCCAUAUAUGUAUUUAAUUCAUAAAAUUUUUCUAUACUAUUCUAGAAUCUUUUCUAAAUUCUCAAUUCUAUAGAGAUUCAAUUAGGCCGUUAAUUUAAUCAUUUAUUCGUUAUACAUAAUAUUCCCAAUAUCAAAGUAAAUAAAUGAAAUAAAUUCAGGGCAUACGUAAUUUUUUUUUCCUGGGUCUUCACAGAAGGUGGGGCCGUCACAAAAUGAUUAUUCGUAAAGAAACUUAUUUAAAAGUUGAAAUUACCCUUGUUUUGAAACUCAAAUGGCUGAAGCGAACAAAAUGCAUAAACAUAAUAUGUAUGACACUCUAACCCCAUAUGAUUUUAUAUUUUACCAUGAAACCCCUUAUGAUUUAAUGUUUUAUCAUAUAAAUCCCUUAUGGCUUUCACUAUAUAUACAUAACCCCCUUAUAGUUAAUAAAUAAUUUUCAACUUUAUAUAGGGUAUUUUUUAUAUUUUAAUUGAUUCCAUUAUGGAUUGUAAAUUUCGUUAAUUUGACACUUUAAUUCAGACAAUAAGAGAGUUAUGUAUAACUUUUGAAAUCAUAAGAAGAUUAUGUAAAAAAAAAUAUUAAAUCAUAGGGGAGUAAAAUGUAAUUUAACUGUGUGCAGCAUCCAGCCCCUCUGGCUGCUGUCACUGGAUUGGGAGGAAUAUAGUAUGAAAGGCUGCAUGCACCGUCCAGCGUCUCUACCACUGUGGGUCAUGACUUUAAUUUCUUCACGGGUAGACUUGUAGUUGCCAGACUCAACACGAAACAAAGUUUGUACCCAAUUUCGAACGCUAUAUGGGCACGUCGAGAUAUUGAAUGCUGUUCAUUUACGAUUGUUUUGGUUACUCCAAAAUUUAAACGUGCAUUUGAAAUUCAUUAAAUAUCUGUUUACUCUUCUUUUAGCUUCAACCUUUUUAUAUAUUCAAAACCACCAAAAUGUUUUGCUUAUAUUUAAAAAAAAAAAAAAAAAAAAAAGAGAAGAGUUUAUCAAGUCUCAUUGAACGUAUUAAACAAGGUUUUUACCACAAAAAAAAAAAAAGAAAUAUAGCUGGAUCCAUGCAAAUAUCUGUAAAGGCUUUGUAAAGUAUGUGGAUCCUAUUCUAUAAGUAAUUAAAUUUUUUUUUUUUGGGUUAUUCUUGGAAAUAGACUACUGCAACCAGUUACUAUUUAAGUGGUCCAUGGCAGUAACUCUGAUACAAAUUGACAAAUGAAUACAUAUUUUUCAGGAACUUCAAGUCAUUGUCAUUUUAUCAGCAAUUUUCUACAAGCAUUUAGAACCAUAGAUGAUGCUUUAUCAGACGACCAAUACCAAAGGAAUUGAAUACGCAUCUCCUUAAUACUACUUCAUCAUUAUUAGCUGAUUGAUUUGGUAGUAGUAUUCCUGUCACUUUUGAUGCAUUAAAUAAGCUUAUUAAUCAAUUGUCGCUUGCGAGAAAGCUUGAUAAAAAAAAAAAAAAAAAAAUCAUCUCCAAAAACAAGUUGGCUAUGACAGGAAUGGGAGAGGGGCAAUGACAAUCGUCAGUUGAAUCGUUUCGAAACGAUGUAAAAGGGAAUCAACAGGCAAGUUAUCAAAUAUUUGUGAUAAACUCUUAAAACACACAUGUUAUAUACUUAAACUCUGUUCACGACGACCCUACAAGUUAGUUGAGUUAGAGUUACAUAUAUCGUUAUCUAUCUCACCUUUACAACAUGAAUUUUUAUGUUAUUGGCAAAAUCUGAGUCAUGAACCUUCCGAAACGUUCGUCAGUUUCGUGACAACCAUUUAGUCCGACAAAGACACUUGUCUUGUUGUAAAGUGAACUAGAAAAAUUACCUCGCAGUAUAUUUCUUAGAAGAAUAGACUAAGUACCAUCCGUUAGCCAACCACAAGUAUAGCAAUUGAAUCAAUUAUCCUGACUGAUUCUUAGACUGUUUAUUCCAACAAAUUGCCGAAUAAUGAUAUUAUGAAGUAUGUAACUGCUUUAUGCUGCUGAUACAUGUUUUCAUCGAGUGAUAAAAUUUGUUAUGUAUUCUGUAGUUAUUGUUGUAAUGAUUUCCACGAAGACUUCAAGUCAUUGUGCCUGUUUCAAGUCAUCGUGAGCCAUUGUUCCGAACCAUAGAGGUUCUUGCGUGAAUAUGUUUGUACUGGAGAACGAAUGUGUAUCUAAUGAUGAAACAUAGGACAACUGAAAGAAAAAAUACUUAUAAACAACGCAUUGUUUAUUUAUUUAUCAUUUUCGUCUCCGGCAUUAACAAGCAGGAGUACAUUUGAUUUCACCCCUCCUUCAGCAGAUAGCGAUCGAGAGGAACUGAUCAGGCAGCACGAGCAUAGGACCGUAGCAUGGACUGGAAAUUUACCUCGUGAUGAAGGUAGGGGAAAACCAUGAUGCCUCCAUAAACAGGAGAGUUCUUCAGAUAGGGAAGAACCUCAUAAACUAGCUCAUUAGGUGAGAUGAAACCGCCCUCAGGUGCGAUAGAAGAGUUUAUUGGUAUUCCCAGGAACAAUAGAUUAACGCCUGGAUAAUCAGACCAAUUGUCCCAGCUCCGGAAGAGGAGACUGGUAUCGUUUGGAGGCUUAAACUGACAAGAUGGGUUGUCGAAAAAUUCCACCCGCACCUGAUCAACGACACCAGUUCUGAUAGUUGUGUCAAGAGCAGGGUCAGGAAUAGGACAUUCCGCAGCUACGGCUAAGAUGACAUUUGGGUAUCCCUUAAGUGCCCGAGCAAGAUCAUCCAAGUAAGUCGUGUUUCCGCUGUGGAUGUGAAGCUCUACGCCAUCUAAAACAGCUGUGCCGAAUGGACGGUCGCUUGAUUCACCGCCUAAGUAAGUGUUCCAGACAAAGGCUGCCACUUCUUGCGCAUCUUCGACGGAAGAAAGCCUCGGUU
This 108581-nucleotide long non-coding RNA is filed under the name Coffea arabica (coffee). RNAcentral's name for it is "long non-coding RNA (CARA_LNC007300)". The record is from RNAcentral. Lineage: Eukaryota; Viridiplantae; Streptophyta; Magnoliopsida; Gentianales; Rubiaceae.